UUUGUUGGGGCCCUAUAUCCAAUUCUGUGGAUUUCUCUCUGCUUUCAUUCAGUAGAUUUCUCUCUGCUUUCGGUACCCUACCGACUGUCAGGAGUUUGGAUUCCAAAGAAGUCUAGUAAGUAGGGACCUUAUCCAGGCUCUUUCUUGAACCUUGAAAACGGAGCUUGGUUUCGUAUUCUAAGAGGUUCUAUAAAGAGAAAAGAGGGAAAGAACCCUUAAGUAAGGGCCAAAACUAGUGUCGUCGAUCUAAACACUGUAGUGCUGCGCAGGGCUUCCUCUUUGAGUGGAAGGAAGGUACUUUUCAGCUCCGCCUAUUCAUCUCUUUGGGGAAAUAGUGAAAGCCCGAUGAAAGUCACUUUGUUUCCUAGUCGAGUCUAUAGGUAAGCUAGCGCUUCUUCGUUGCGGGACACAUUCUUCGAUUGAUUUUCAUCGUUCCUGGGCGGGUAGUGCAAUGGAUCAGGGAAUGCAUCUCAACACCUCGGUUAUGAAGUUGUCUUAAUUAGGACUUGACGUCGAGUAGCUCUUCUUUAAUAAUAGGACUGGUGUGAGAAACCUAGACGCAGUCUGGAUCAAGGAGAAUUGUAGCCUGCAAUCGAAAACAUUGCUAUCAUCGAGAGACCUGCCGAAGGGAAGAGGAGAGAGACGAGAAACCUGCUUACUUCGAAUAGGGCCGCAACAACUAGGUUAAAGCCAUCGAAGCCCAAUCCGUGAGGGCGCCUAGAAGACUCUAUUUUCUAGUCUCAAGGGAAAGCGCUAAUUCCGCUCGGUAUCGAUCAGUUCAAAAGGUCAGUACACACAGUGGAUUUAGAGGCCUACCACAUAGAGAAAGCGAAACUCUAUUCACGUCACUCUUUCCAAGUCAAAGAAGUACAGCGGAGGUAUCGGAUAUCUUAGGCAGCUAUAGGAGUUAGAGGAGGGAGAGAGAAUCCAAAAAGGGUAGUAUAGCUUAGUAUCAAGUUUCCCAUUAGUAUCUGGGUUACUAUAUCAUGUUCUUAAGUAUUGAAAUGAGUAGUUCCCUAUCCUUGCCCGGAGUCUGCCCUUAACAACACCAGUUUUCCUUGGGUUCCCACCUAUCCUAGGGGAAUGGUUCUUUUCACCUUGAAACUCUACCUUGUAGCCGAGGAGCCUAAUUCUUUUAAUAGUUAGUUGCCCUCAGCAAGUUGCAUUCUUUGGUAAGCGAGCCCAGCCCAGCCCAGUGGAAUCAGUAUGAGUGGAGGUCGGUUCGGGUGUUCCUGUUAAUAAGUGAGGAAAGGGAAGUUCACCAGGCAAACAACAUAGUAAGUAGCGCGGCAGUCAGGGUACAACCAGGUACUAAAGAAUAGGGCAGAAGGAAAGGGGUUUCAUAGUUGACUAGCUUAUAAGCGGGAAUAUAAGUGGGAUAUGGAUCAGGGUCUCAUGCAAUGCAAUGCAAGCUCACCUAGUUAUUAUCCUUAGUCACUUUUCUAGGUUCUCUCUCGGACUAUUUUCAAUUACAUCGGGGGUCUCUCGAAUCAACAGUUCUAAAGUAAGCUUCUAAAUCCCCAGUGCCAGGUCCAGUGAGAAAGUCGGGUUAAGGUGCUGCCCCAGUUACAGUUCUCAAGUUUCGUAGGCCUAUGAGGUUGUGCGGCUGUUUCAUCUUUUCUCCUUUCUAAAGAGAAUACUUAAGUGAUAUUGAUUUGAUUAUGUUGCUAAGGCCUAGAUGCUAAGUAAUGAAAUACUAGAUGCAGAGAAUUGGUAAUAUGUUUAUUAUACCUUAUCCGAGUACCUCUCUUGCUACACCCUCCGCUUUUUGGCACAUUUGAUUAGAUUCAACUACUUACAUGGGACCUACUUAUCGAAACAGCUCUUUUUUUCACUCUAGGGUUUACAAGCCCCAACAAGUCUAAAUGCCCCUUUGCCAUGAUUUGUUACCAGAGUAGAGGGAUAGAAAUUAGAUACUAAGGCUCCCGGCUAUAUACUAAUAAGUCACUGGACUACCAGGAACAGGAGCAAGAUCAUAGGUUCUUAUGCUUCCAAGUAGAUUGAAUUGAGGCCUAAGCCUAAUAGCAUUAGUUCGCAAAGAUAUGAUCUGAUCAAGGCUUUAGUAUAGUAUCAGCAUUGGCCCUGUGUCGUUGCUUGUUUAGUAGUGUAUUGGCGAGUUAGAUAGUUAGAUGAUAAAACCAAUUGAGUUAGAUGAGCCGGGGGUAAAGCAAUUUCUAGGCAAUUCCACUCUGAGUUUCUUGUUUCAGGGUGGUUGACUUAAGAAGUUAUCAGAGAGAAAAGAUCCUCGUUCACCAAUUCCCGGGCAACGCUCCUACGCGCAACAAUACCUAUGGAUACAAUGAAUUUCACCCUGCUAGCUCAUCUCUGCUACCUGAAUGAGGCUCAUCUCCCAUACUUAUGCUUAUAACCAAGUCCUUUCUUCUGGAGUCCUGUAUUAAGAGUUUGUUACUUAUAUCAUCUAUGAAACCUAGUUCAUGGUUGGGUUAGUUACCGAUUCAAUCUAAACCUUAAUUAGGACACCUCGCUUCAUAAGUACUUACUUCUGCUUGGACAACUCUUGAAGCUAUAUCCUAUCCAAACUCUUGAAGCUAUAUCCUAUCCUUGGUUACUUCUUUCUAGAAUACCUAGUACAGAGAAUGGAUCUUAAGAAGGUAAAGAAGAAGCAUCAUCCGCAGGAGCUGGAAAGUAAUCAGGUAAAGAUACUGGUUCGGUGCUUGUGUUUAGCAAUGCAAGUGGAGGUCGGAAAAAGUCAUAGAUUAGCUUUUGAGUUUGGCAGUGAGGUUCGGUAGAGCACUUAUAGAGAGUGAGCUUGCCUUUCUUUGCUUUUGUAGUAGUAGCUCAUCCCGUUGUCGGACUCGGUAAUAACAACUAGUAGUUACUUGCCUGGUUGCUUGGCUACGUUUCCUCUUUGGGUGCAAGUCAGGUAGUCUCAAGAAAAGAAGCCGGUGAUUAAUUCUAGGAUCAAUAGGCUUGAGCAGGUACAGGGGCAUAAUAUCUUACUUUACAGGACUGGCUUCUUCAGCGCUAAGUACCGAAGUCGAGUCGACAGAAGAAUCUUCCAAUUCCGGAUCAACAGCAGUUAUAGUUUAGGUCGGGUCGGGUCAGAAAGGGAAGCAAUGAGUCUACUCGAUCAGAGGCUAGAUCCAGAGCUGGCUUAGUCUUAUUGGGUGCUAGUGUUUCCAUAGUCAUUAGUCUGGAAAGUCGGAAUGAAACUAAGAGGUGAGCUAGUCAGAAGGGUAAGGCUUCAACCCUUAAGUGACAGGCUAUAUGACCCGAGUGAAAGAAUGGAACAAAGUAGACUCAGAAUUGACCUCAGAGGUGAGCUAGUAGUUAGUUAAGUUAGAAUGCAACUAACCCCGAUCAGACUUCAGGCUAGGAAUACGGAGCUAGGAAUACGGUACGGAAUUACAGAAUGUCCCUAAGCAGUCUAAGAAUGAACUAGUUGCUCACUCGUCUAAGAAUUACUGACUUUUUUCAUUCUGUAUUUGGUAUAUGUAGCUAGUGGUAUCAAAGUGGAAUUCUUUCCUAUUGUAUGCCGCUGAGUGCCCCUUCCUAUCUUUGCCAGUUACUUGUCCCCGUUUGAUAGCUUCGUGGUUGGUUUUCUCCUUGCAGUGACUUGGACCUAACUCAUAACUCUAGUAUCAGUACAAGUCUUGAAUGGAACUCCUAACUCCUUUAACUCACUGACUCCCUUGCUGGUUCUUUGGCCUGUACCUGGACCUAAUCCUUCUCCCUUUCUUGCCUGUCCUGUGUUCAUGGCGGCAGCCCUAGUGAAAAUGGGUUUGCGAACAUCACUCGUAUGAAACACGGAUGCACUUAAUGGUGACUUUAGAACUGGGCGAACAGAUAAGAAAACCUCACAGUGGUUAGUAAAGAUUAAUAGACUUAUAUAAGAAUGAAUUUCAUGAGGUAUCCAUGGUAUCCAAUAGCUUCAAGAGCGGAGGCAGGCGAGGGAGGUCUACUCAAGAAUAAGCAGUGCCAGGAAAGAUCAGAGGAGAUAUUCGAAAUUAGCUAUGAGCCAAGUCACGUAUAAUGUGUAGCGGCAGCGGCCAAGUCACACAGGAAAAGAUGGAAGCACAGAAGUGAAAGCAUCAGAUCUUUGCACAGUAGCAGUAAAAGCUCGAGCUCCCGUUAGCGCCUCACCUUAGCCACUUAGUAUUGUUGGUCCUGUAGCCGGCUUACCCCCUUAAUUAUCAUCUUUCUUGCGCCGAUAGGGGUUUGCCGUAAGUAGUACUAGAGUCUACGGUUUUUCUUCCUCUCAAUCUUAUCUUAUUAAAGCAAAGGAGUGCCUCUGCCUCUAUUCAAUAAGCCGUUAGCGCAACAGUGCUCGUUGCUUGUUCAUAAGAUAAAAGAAGAUCAAUCAGAUUCCAGUACUUUCCAAUCUUUUCGUUAUUCUGAUCUGAUUGCAGUCAAAGACAUUAUGUCAUCUCUCUAUUACUUAGAAAUCACAGAAUUCACUGACCAUUGAUUAUAGUGCGAACGAUUUUCGUAUACUGCUCUUUCGAGCUCUAAUUACCCUUUCUUUCUAUGCAAUACUCUAUUCCCUUAUGCAAUACUCUAUUCCCUUCUUGUAAAGUCAACAAAUACUUUAUAUCGCAGAGCUCCCUAAGCGCCGAGGCCGAGUCAACUCAAACAUCAAUUGAUUCCUUGACUUAUGAUUCAUAUACAGCAGGCUCUGCUCCUUAAUUUGACUACUUUUGUUCUUUAUCUACUUACUAACCAUCUCCUUCUUUUUCUCUUGUUUGGCACCAAGCAAGGGCUAUAAGUAAAGUACUCUAGUAUUGGGUGAAGCUACAUCAAAUAGUUCUUCCAGUAGCGAGUCGGCAGAAGAAGUCCGGGCUAAAGAUCAACUCGGUUGCGCCUUAGUUUAUUGUUGUUUCGGGGCACAAGUUAGCAAGUUCACCUUUUUCAUCUAAAUUGGACUCUCUUUUGGACUCUCUAGCAGGGCAUAUCUCUCUUUUGGACUCUCUAGCAGGGCAUAUAAGAUUGGAAUGGAAUCUUUCUCUUGCGCCUACGCCUAUAAGAUGAUUUGAUUUGAGAUCUCUUACUGAUGAUCUUUCUCUGGUUGACUUUGCGCUUGCAGCUUACUUUAGCCCGAGAUACUUUCUUCGAACGGCGGGAGACUCUUAUUCAGUUGCUGACUUGAGAACGUAACUGUCUGUUGAAGAAUUAAGAGAAUCCAUAUCUGACCCUUAUUACCACAAUAUAUAUCCAACAACCCCAACACUUUGAUACUGUCCUGUUUUCGAGGAACUAGAUCUGGCUUUGAACGGUAGCGCGGUUAAUGGUGAGGAAGGUUGAGUUUAGGGGUAUAGUAUAGAAGUCUAAGAAUCAGAGGUUUGAGAGAAUCCACAGUUCUGGUUAAGUAUCUUGGUUAAGUCGAAAAGAAGCUCGUUGAUUGACUCGUUGAUUUAGUAUAGAAAGAAGGUCCGGUAGGGUCAUAUUCCUUAGGCGGGUGAGAGAUAUUCCAUUAAUGUAGUUGCGAGAGGAGAAGCUGUUUCCAUUCCAGAUCUGAAUCUUGAGUUCGAGAAUCAUCCGUGAAGUCCACCUCUGCUCUUGUUGGUAACUCUACGGAUUGUUCUGCUGUAGCUCCUUGUACUAAAGUAUAGGUUGGGUCGGAUGCUUGUUAUAAGUCAGUGAGAUGGGUUCCGUUCGAGUGUCUAAAUCAUAGAGAUCAGUUAUUGGCUCUAAGUCCUAAAAGAAAGAUGGGUUUACUGCCUUAACCGAGCGGGGCAAUAAGAUAGUCAAGUUCAGGAUCUGGAUCUUAAUAAGUAUAUGAAGUGGAAAGAUGAAUCAGUUUCGGAAGCUGAUGCGGGAGCAGGAACAAUAACACUACUUAGAUCAGGAACAGACCCGCUUGCUGUUGACCUGGACUUUCGAACUGCCUCUGACGCAAACUGGAACUAUCAAUUCUCUCAUUCUGAAGAAUCAAGAUAAGAAGUUGUGUUAGCUCCCGAAUAAGCUAUUCAAAAGUGCUAGUGGUUCUCCUGAUACGGAUGCAGAUCCUACACCUGAGAAAGCUUCUGUGUUUAUUCUGAACUCGACUCUUCUCUGAAACUACUGAGGUGCACUCUGAUGCCUACUUGUUGGAUUCUGACCUUCCAGUUUCCAUUCCUACCCGGUAUUCCAAUAAGCAAUAAGAAGAACUUCCCUAGCUCCCACCUAGCUUCAAAGCCAGUAUUUGAUGAUGAUUCCUCUAACUCAAGUCGGAUGGACUCAAAUGACAAUCUUCGAAAAGACAUGGAGAACAGUAUCCCUUGGCAGCGUUACGGAUGAGUCUAGCGACACCCUUUGUUCGAAGUGGUAAAAACGAUGUUGCUCCGAGCAGGAGUGGUAGAGUUCGAAAGAGAAUUGUUUCACCUUAUUCGCAGCUUCGCCCCUACUAGUUUCUAUCAAUGGGUUUUCAUUAUCAGCGGGAAUUCAAAUAACCUACUCUAACCAUGAGAAAUGGGGGAACCCCAGAAGUGGUUAGAAGAUGAAAAGAAUCAUAAUGAUGCCUACGAAAAGCAAGCGGAGGGGAGAACUACAGUUUCCAAAGAGAUGUUACCCUUAAGAUUGCGGGAGGGACAGUUAUAUCCUUUAACAAAAGGGGUUAUGAUUGUUUUAAUGAAGUUUGGGAAGAUUGAGUGAGGCCCAAUUGGAUGUGACAGCUGAGAUAUGGAGGAAAUAUCUAAUGGAACCCACUCACUUGGUUACGAAGCAUUUCUAUUUAUCUUGCAAGAAUUUUGGUAGUAGUGAAAUUAGCAAAAUCCACUCAUUCUCCUACACAACCCAACCGAACCCUAUACAUCAAAAUGGUUUCUAUCGAUACAAAUUUGGAACAUGAGAUAAAACCGAAUCUAAUCACAAGAUGAACCAAUAACUCUAUCCAUGAAGAUUCUCUCUGACACGUUUCUUGCUCUUCGUCGUCGUAACUAGUCAGGGUAACCUUUUUGACAUGAAAUUGCAACCUAAAAAACACUUUAUUAGGAAUGAACCUAUGCUGUGCUUUCGCCCUAACAAUUUAUCGAACUUGCAUCAGGGAGUUAAUCCCACUGCGGCUGGGGAUCAAGUAGCAAGGUAUGCAUGCACACAGAGGACCAUGCCCUUCGAAAGUAAACAUCAAUAUGCUGAUCGGGAAAUUAAGAGAACGGAUUUCUAAGUCAACAUUUUCGCUUUCUUAGGUGGCAUUCCCUGAAUUAAGAUUACCAUAUGAAAGAAAGUACCAUCCUGCUCUGCUACUUGUUUCUUGAUCUCUGAAUUUGAGGCUUCGUUGCGCCUCCCCUUGGGCCCCAUCUUUUAUUGAGUGAUUCCUAACUGCUUGUCUGAGGGAAGUUUUCUCUACCCGAAAGUAGGUGACAUCGCGAGUCGUUGUGAAGGGCCGCGAGUUUUCCAUUUCCAAUGUAGUAUCACUAUUCAAGUAGAGUAUAGUAUUCUCCCCCAUCAGAGUACUAAAAGCUUCAAGUAUAUCUUGUGAGAAGUCAAUGAGGUCUCUUUGAUUGAGAAAACGGACUCCUAUAAAGUGAGAGUAUACGAGUUCGGCAAAAGAACAAGUUAUGUAUCAUAUAGAAACAGUAAAUAGAGAAUUAGUGCGGAGGGUGCUCCCUGAAGAAAAGACGGAAGAAAAGAAUAGGGCCAAUACACUACUAAUGUUACGCGGCAGCGAGCUAAAAGCGGUAGCAACAGCCGCCAAGGCACUGCUAAUGUGCCGCGGCAGGAGUCAUUAGACUACGUUAGUUGCGCGGCAGGGCCGCUUCCUAUAAUUCCUUCGAGUUAUAACAAUAGAUGCUUUCGGCGUCAGCGAGCUAAGAGAGCGGCAGCCAAUAAACAGUUAUAACGGCCAAGCAACUACUAACGACCGCCAAGACACUACUAACGUGGCGCGGCAGUGAGUUUUAGGCGGCGCAAGACGUUGGGCGGUAGCAAUAGUAACAUAUAUUACAAGUUAUUACAAUAGAUGCUUUUGGGGCCGCUCCACUCUUUCUAUUACAAUAUAUGUUUAAAGCUACUGAACUAGUACGGAGUUGGUAGACAGGUUUCCAAAGUGGUUUUUCAGGAUUAACAGCGUUCGGUGGUGUCUAUUGCGGGUUCCAAUCAUGACUAGUGGGUCCUAGCUUACUGAAAGAAGACAUCAACUCGUCGGGAAGAGGGAACGGAAGGUAGACAAACGCUAUGAUAUCAUAUUAAAGAACUCCCGGAGAACUUAGCUACUUCCUCCCUAAGACUGACUGAAUCCAUAGAUAAUAUCUCACUCAUUAUUCUCUUAUAGAAUUUCUCACUUAUAUAAUUUAUGAACUUACUUAAUGUCGACUACUGCUUUCAUACCAGAAACAGAGCUCAGCGCUCAUCUCGCUAAGGAACAAAGCUUUAGAAUAAACGCGCAAUAAACGCAAAUCCAGAGCCAUCAACCACAAGGGAAGAGAGCAGAAAAGACAUCCUACAGAAAAACAGCAGACAAGAGAACAACUCACUGCUAGAGUAAACGAGGAAACAGCAGCAAAUGAGAAACAAACUAACCUAAAAAAGCCAAAUACCACUUGCCUUACUACUUGCCUUACUACUUGCCUUAACACCUGAGCUCCAAACAAAGCCGACCCGAACUCUUAUAAGUGUUAACCCCGAACCGAACCCACCUCUACUCUUCUCUGUCCUGUGUGCGGGUGAUGAAAAACAGAGCAGAGACCCGACCCUAAGAUCGAGCGAGACUAAAGAAAGGCCGAGGCCGAGAAAGAAGCUCAGUAUUUGUAGCCCUCUAGCUCUGCCAUACUAUCAAUUCUUCCCCGAAUCCGAACCUUAACUUUCAGCUGACUACCUUUCCACUUAUUCUUAUCUCGACUACUUCACUCGAACUUUGGAUAACCCAGCUCUUUCCCCAGCUUCUUACUAAUAAUUGCUAGUACUUUCUUCUUUGAUUCCCCUAACUGCAACGCCUUUACUUUAUUCUGACUUAUAUAUAAGAUAGGAACCGAACCCCCAAACUAACUUUCAUCAUGAAGCUAGGAACCCCUAAACUAGAACUUUCAUGAUUCGAACCCCGAAACUCACUUAACUAGGGCUUUCUCACUAACACACCUCACUGACGCCGAUACGACGAACACAGGAUAUCGUAGAUGAACUACAGCCAGCCUACAGGAAAGGAGAUCAGCUCGUUGGCAGUCAACAAAGAAUUCAAUCUAUAUUGCAUCGGCAUGACUUAACGCUUCAGUCAACAAAUAAUUCAUGGAAUCUAUCGCGGUCAGGUCAACUCGUUAACGCCACUUAGUCUUGUCUUGCCAACGACUCUAGGCUUUCUUUCUUACUUAUAGACACAAGCACUGGAACCUAUACUAGAUUCUUUUAUUCCAUGAACUACACCUUUACCGCUUGCAGCUUGCUGACUUUAUACUCCUGUCUAAUUACCCAAAUCUAUACAAUAGCGUCACAUUGCUUGUUUCAACAAAUAAGGAAUUUCUGAUUGAUGAGCGUAUAUGGGAAGAUUGCCCAAAUAAGUAAGCGUUAGCGUAACGGCUUGCGGAACUCUCUUUAGCCACUGAGUCUUAUCCUGAAAUUGAUGAUUCUCUCAAUGAUUACACUCGAACCGAAGAAGCAUGGGAAGAAAAGAAAACUGCAAUAAGCAACUCGGGCCGGCGCUUCUGUCUUUCUCGCUUACUUUCCUAUAGCCAACACUCGCACACUAAACUAUACUUGAUACUGGAUACAACACUGGAAUCUCUCUCUACAACAAGGGAAGGAACCAUAAAGAUAUUGGUGUAAAAUGCACUAGAACAGCACUAAAGUAGUUUAAUGGUCAAUCACAUUCUAAACUUCUACCGAUUCGAAAUACUUAAUUUUAGUGUAUAGAAAUAAGGGUAUCAAGUCUCACCCUUCAAGUAGUAGUCCCAGCAUUAAGGUUCAGGUCAGGUUCUUCUGUUUCGACUAAACCUCCCUUUUGGCAUUCUGUACUUCCUGCUUUGUGGACAACACCGAGUUUCACUGCUGUUACUACUGAGUUCAAUUCUGAGUCGUACUUGCUCUGGUUUCAUUCUGAGUCUUAUACCGGAUGUGCUUAGUUGCAUUCUGUUACUACCCCAGAAGUAGGAGUUAAGUACUUUAUUCUUUUUGGGAAACUGGUUCUCUUUCUUCCCUCGCCUAAUAAACCCUCUUUAGCUAGUGUUUCUAGGAAAGUAGACUCGACUCUGGCUCUGUAAACUCAUACUGAUUCAAAAGGGCUACUACUUGGAUGAUUGGAUCCUAUAUCCCCGGUUUCAUUCUGAUAUUGACUACUGAGCUGCUUUCUCAUCUCCGCAAGUCGACAACUAGGUGAAUGAAGUGACUACUGAGUGCAAUUCUGAGUCCCCGAACACAGGACUUGGUUAUUACUGUGACUAUAUACUUCAUGGGGCUCCAAAACACAUCCAAAGUAGUUGCUUGUCCCCGACCUCUAAUAAGUGUUAACCCCGACCUAUCCUAGAAAGUCACUUCUUGUCUUCCCCUCCUUCUGCUGAUUCCACUCUUUCUAGUGCAUCUGAUCUGGUCGAUUCCACUCUUUCUCCACUUUCUGAACUAAAACGUCUUGAUGGUUCAUCUGCUCCUGAUUUGGAUCCUGCUGAAGAUUCUAAUUGGAUUCUGCAUCCUAAAACAGGAACUGGCAUAACUCCUAAGAACUCUUUACUUGAAGAUUAACUAAAAGUGGAGGUCGGCAAAAGAAAAGAAGAAGGUUGUUCAAUUGAUUUAUGCGCGCAAGGAGUUGAUAAGUGAGUUUCCAGGCUAGGUCAAUUCCUUUAUUAUUACUAUAUUACCCCCUUACCGAGAUCUGAUCUAUACCUUAUAGCAGCUUACUUUUACUACCUUAUAGCAGCUUACUUUUACUUAACUGCUUCUUCUCUAAAUCCUGAGACUUUGGAUUCUUUCUUCCUGGGGGCAUGAUCCUGGCUUUACUGCCUUUAACUCAACCUAGUGCUACCUAGAAUCGAGUCAGAGAAUACGAGAAUGAAAUCACAACAAAUGAGAAUUGGACUACUAACUAUCAGAUGGAAUACUGCCUUAUAAAAGGAUCGAAUUGUGCUACUGAUGAGAAUGAAAACACUGACUCUGUACUAUAUAUUAGAAUAAUGAACCAACUGACAGGAAGCAAGGCUGCCAGCUACUAUUUAUGAAAAAAGGGGGGAUAAAGACUCUAGGGCAGAAGAGAGAUAGGAAGAAAUAAGAAAGAAGUAUUUUUCAGUAAAUAGGAAGAAAUAGAACUCCUAAUAACGCCGAAAACGGGAUAAGAUUAUAGCGCACAGAAUGCAAAUAAUGAAUUGAGAAACUCAUACAUACUUACUUGUUUCUUUCUUUAUGCCCGUUUGUUGUUGUGCUUGUUAGUGUGCGAAAGACGUUGUGCUUAACGGGAGCUUCAAUUGACUGACGACUUGGAUCACAAUGAAAGGAAUCAUAUGCAACGCUUAGUGCCCAUUAUGUUGUUGGGCCCGGUCCAGAAUAAAGCAAGGUUAAGGGAAAAGAGGCCUUCAGCACCUUUAUGCGAAUCCAGGUUAAGGGAAAAGAGGCCUUCAGCACCUUUAUGCUUAUAGGAGUCAGGAUUAUAAGUGAGUUUGAAAACAAUGAAGUUUAUUUACUCUUAUCUAUAAUGUAUUUAGAAUGCUCUAAUGUGCGACUUGGACCACACCUCGCUUCUUUGUCAGUAGUUUAUCUUGAUGCUGAUUCUUCCUUGACACACCAUACUUAUAAUAUAGGACAGAGCUAUGGAGACACCUUUGAUUUGACUUACUUCCGGGUCCGCUCCAUACUUAACUUGACUUCAAACUCACCUUCAUCGCCCCGCGCAUUCGGCUUCUGUAACUUGGCUUUUAUCUGGAACUCGUACUCGCUCUAAAAGAGUGGAAGUAAACUAGUUAGGCGAAAGAAAAGAGUCAGGGUUCGGGUCGGAAAGGAUAGUUCCGCUCUCUUCUCUUUGGCGCAAUGGAUGGAAUAGAGAAAUAGAAUGCAAAAAAGUCGAUGCGCAAGAGAUGGAUUCCAUUCAAACUUGAUAUAGUAUAGGGCUGCCUAUAUCUAGCUUAGCUGACUUUCGGGGCUUUGGAGUUGACUCUCCUUUUCUUUUAUUGAGUAACCUUAUACCUAUUACUACUAAUGCUGCUAAUGAUAUGGAUUCUUUUCCUGCUGAUGAUCGAGUCUAUUUCGACUUUCCAACUUAAGAUCUUUCUCCGUAUGAAGGUAUUGAUACUGUAGUAGUUAAUCCUGAGGCUGCUAAACACUAAUAUGAUUCCUAUAGUUUGGUUCUUUUAAGCGUUAUCAGAUGCGGGAACAGAGGCAAAAGCUAGAUCCGGAGUUGGAGCUGGAUAAGUUGUUUCGAGAAAGGACAAAGGCAGAAAACUCACUACAGAGGUAUCGAGAAAGGACAUAGGCAGACUCCAACAUUAGGACAUAGGCAUUCGAAUUCUCAUUUGUAUCGUAUCGGCGUUAGUGAGCUAGUAACUUCACAAAACUUCCCCCGUACCUAUACUUAAGCAAGAGUAGAGUCCCACCACUCAUUAUCUACUGAAUCUAGCUAUCCUACUGCAUCCUUAAAAAACUCACUCCUUAAAAAACUCACUCCUACUCAAUCCCGAAUCACUCUAAAGUAAAGAACAGAGUGCACCUAUUACUAUGAAAUAAUCACAGUAACCUAACAACACUGUUUUGCUUCCUUACUCUCAGUCAGGGCUAGAUUCUAUGGCUUAAAUGCAUCUUAUGGCCUAUUUACGUCCCUUCUUUUAUUUGCUUUCCCCUUGCUUGCGCCUUUGCUUGUUUAAAAUCAUCUAGAUCGCACCACCACUCAUAGAAUUGACUAAUACCUAAAAGCUUUCUCACUGGCCAAGUAACGGAUAGACAAGUACUGGAACUGGCGAACACAGGACUUGGUCAACGACAACUGUUCAUUCGGCUCCUCCCCUAAAAGACAAAGAGAGAGACAAGCGUAUACCACAAAAGCAUAGAAAGUAGACAAGCAACUGGAGUGGUUACUGGCAAAGAGUUACUCAACACUUUAUGAACUCUAUAGUCAUUAGUUUACUUACCUCAACUCCGAUACUAAUGCAUACUCUAGAUACAUCUACUAGUCAUUGAACCCUGCUGUCAACUAAUACUGAUGAAACUAGGGACGAAGACUAUCACUUAACUCUCACUGGAUCGGUAUUCCACUCUACAACUACAGGACUAGCUACUCUAAACUAGCAACUCGAAACUACACUUGAAUAGCUUACCUCGGCUCUGUGAACUAAGGCUCAUAGUAAUAGCAAAUGGAAUAUGAAAGCACACAUAUAAAUAGAAGUUCAAAGCGUAAUUAAUAUAAAUGAAAAGAAUACCUAAGGUCGGACUCAAACUCAAUUAGUAGUUCCUUGGCUCAUAGCAAAGCAGACUUACUGUGGCUCUUACUUGGCGACAACUGGAAUUCUAUCUUUCUUAUUAAGGAUUACAUUAAAGGUAAGGGGGAAGUUUUCCCUUGCCCAACCAGUGGAGUAGUAAAGUAGUCAAUAGAGAACCAGUUGACGGGGCUCCUGCCGCUACACAUAUUUUGAGUGACUUGGCCCUUAGUUACUUGGCGUCUGUCUGCUUGUCCUUUCGCCCUUACUUGUUGGAUUGAACUCCAAGAUAAGAGACAGAUGGAUCAGUUCUAAAGUCUGUUUAUGAAUGACCUGUUAGAGUGAGAGUUGAAUGAAUUAUAAUAAGGGGUUUCAGACCGGUAGUACUUGUUCUUGAACACAGGACUUUCCGUUCAUAAAUAAGAAUGAGUUGACAUAGCAGAGGGAUAUCUUGAGUUAGCUGAGCCGGGAGUCAUAGUAGCAUACCGAUCCUGUUCGAGUGGAAUCCUAUUUAGAAGCUGUGCUAGGAAUGGAGUGAAGUGUUGUUAUAGUGAUUUUCAACCCAUAUCUGAGGGUCGGUAACUAACCAUGUACAGUUGCGUUUGUAGUAUAAGCUUUGGCGGUAUUGAAUUCAACUCUAAAGUAGGCGGGGGAAUUCCAGAAUUCGACUCCUGUGUUCUUUGGAAGGAGUGUUCUUAUAGCUACGUUGCUUGUCUGCGUGUCUCCAAGCUCCCUUUAGCUACACUGUAGUAGUGACUUGGCUAAUAGUGUCUUUUCUGCUUGCCGGGAAUUGGACUCUCGAGCAUCUAAUCAAACCUCAGAUUUAGUGAAGUCCAAUUGCUAGCGUAUUCUAAGAAAAAGUAUAAUAGAAGGAAGGAUAGAUCUAGCGCAUUAGGUAUAAUAAUUAGGCUCAGGGCCAUAAUACAUAAUUUGCUAGCCAAUGAAGUAAGAAAUAAAGAAUACAGUGUCGAGGAGAGGCCCUUAUUGUAAGUUGCAGACUAUCUGACUUGCUUUGAUGCGAGGGCAGCGUCAGCUGCGAUGCCUUUAGUUGAGGUUGCCAGUACUUUUCUUGUUGUUGGUGAAUCCCUAGUUAAGAGAGAAAAGAUGCUAUGUGAAGUCCUUUUUCGGUUGCUUUGAUGCGAGGUGUACUAAUGAGGGUGUAGUUAGCAGACACGCAGCUUGAAACAAUAAGUAUUAGUUGCUUACGUAGCAUAGAAUACCGGUUGACUCUCGUCUUUGAGUCCAGUGUAAGGGAAGGGCGGACUCUGGUAUUCUUCCCCCCAACUGCUCUAAUAAAGAAUUAGCCACACUAGUGCAUUUUAGUUAAAGUCAAAUUAGUUACUAUAUUAUAUAUGCUUAUUUUAGUUACACCUGGAUUCAACUCCUCUCUGCUCCCUAGUAGUCCCGCUCCUUAAAGUAGUGGUGCCAGUGCAUAUGUAUUUAUAGCUAGAGUCGAGGGAUGGAGGUAACACUUUCACUUAUCUGUCUGCUUUAAGAUCUUUAGAAUGGAAUUGACUAGGAGCAGCUUCACGGUUUGAACCCGGCUUAUGGUCCUUCUUCCUCACCUGUAUUUGAUUAUGUAUCGCCUUUACUAUAAAAGUUGGAAAGUAACUUCAAGUGGUGUUCGAGUGGAAUUUCAUUAUGAUCUUAUUAUAGGAGAACGGAUGAAAGGAGAACGGAUGAAACAGCUUCCCGAACCGACCUCAACUCGACAAACUGGAUUUAGCCUUUCCGUACUUGAUAACUGGAACAAUACUUGAUACCCGAUGAAGUUGGGCUUGGAAGCAUACUUGUUUUAGUAACACCUAGCCUCUGGUAUUGAAGUUAUGAAUGGAAUUGAAUAAGCACAGCUAAACAACUACUAGAACAAAUCUCUUAUAUAGAAUCAAUCAAUAAAUCCGAGGAAGCUGUAAGUACUAUUGAUCCCGGGUAAGAAACAUCAGAAUGGGCUCGGUAAAGAAUGGAGCAGCCAACAAACUAAGAUGAAACAAGGGAUUCCGCUCGGGAUGAAGACUAACCACUCGAUACUAUGCCCCGACCUCCACUAUCAAAUAAUAAUGAGAUUGCCUAGGAACAGCUGCAGGUUGCCUAGGAGCCUAAUGAAGUUAGCUGACUCACCCUUGCCUUAUACAGGAUGCGGAAGAUUUGUCAUAGGUGUUCCAUGAGUUCAAUUCAAACUUUGAAUACGGAGUUGCCUUACUAGGGUUAUAUACUGAAUGCAGAGAAUGGGUCAUACAGGCCCACCUCUCCUAUGCUCUUUUCACUCUUGUUCUUUAUUCAAAUUAUAAGAAUUCAUAGACUUACCGCUACUAAGCAAAAGCAGGGGAAACAGGCAAUUUAGAAACACAGAUGAGCCAAGACACGGAUAGACAAGUCAACUCAUAUUCAUAUAAUAUAAUAUAAUAAUAAUAUAGUAGGGACCAAGCAUAUACUAAUGUAGUGCGGAGGAAGCAAGCAUAUACUAAUGUAGUGCGGAGGAAGUCUGGGUACUGUUCACUUGUAUAUAAGGGGAGUUGAAAUCCCUCUUUGUUUUCAAUUGAGUUUAGCUAUUCCUAAAGUGUGCAGUCACUUCUAUUCCUAUUCUUAUACCUGUCCUAUUUUCAUUGAAACCCGCACCCGAGUCACUGAAUAAAACAAGCCUUCGACCUCGAAUAGCAAAUAGAGAAAAUCAUUCAACACGACCUGUGCUAAUACCUGAGAUUCAUUCCUUAGCUCCUAGAUGGGAAGGAAUGUUUUGAACAGCUCCGGUUUAUCAUCACCUAUGGCAACUGCCUACUAAACUUCCCUGGCCUACCCUGCUGGCUUUUGUUAGUGCUCUGUCUGAAGCUUAUUCCCUGGCCCUAGCUUUAAGAGAAUCAUAUGUCUCUUUCUGCCCUUGCCUACCAGCCUACCUUGAUAAAGCUUAUAAUGCAUCUACCACUUCAACACCCGAAACAAGACUGGAAGACAAAACUAGGGAUGAAACAAGGUAUUCCACUCUAAAUCCUGUCUUCGUAGAUGUUUUCACGGGCAAAGGUAUGGUCUGCAAGAUAGAGGGAAGGAGUUUAUUUACUAGUUUCUUUACCUGGUGCAAGAGAAGAGAUAGAGUCACUUCAUUCUUAUUGCCCUAAAGGUGUAGACUUGGUGCAAGAGAAGAGAUAGAGUCACUUCAUUCUUAUUGCCCUAAAGGUGUAGACUUGGAUCUUAAAGCUACCUAUCCCUUUGGUGACUUUUCCCUAGAAGAAAGAGUAUUUUAUUGAAACCAAGCUGACAAGCCGACAAGUAAGUAUUAAGUAAGUCAUAGAAUAAGUAGACUUCCAUGGAAUAAGUAUCAGAAUGGAACAAGUAAGUGCGGGUACUAAUGAUAAGCAGGUACGAUCUAGCGAUCUAUAAGUAAUCAAGGAUAAGGCCAUAGUCAAUAAUUGCUAGCGCAUUACUACUAAGAGCGGGAGAGCAAGAGGAGAGGAAAGAAAUCACCUGACCUGGAAACAAAGAAUUCCAACAGUAAGGGCGGAUAGGUAGACAAGCCAAGCCAAGCCCUGUUUUAUAGGCUAAAAGGGAAUGAUUUCUAAUCUUAUUUAGUUUGAUGGGCAAAUCAUAAGAAGUGUCGUUAGAGUGCAUUUGAGCCUAUAAGAUUUACCCUCUUGCUCUGUGAACUCAGGCUCAUCUACCGGUAGUCUUCAAACUCCAUUCCAUUCUUGCUUUAUUCGGCUCAUCUACUGUUGUUGCUUGGCCCCAUGCUUUCAAGCUUCAGGCAUAAAAUCAAGCUGAUAUUGGCACUAGCAUAUUAUAGGGAAUAAGGAAUAGGGGUAGAAAGCGCUUAUGAUUGAUAUCAGUUAUAAGGACGUUGAUGACUCCUCGCUUGUGUCCCUAAAUAAUAGAGGAAUAGGGUUCCAUAAUGGGUUUAGAGCUAAAGAACCCGAUGGAAGAAGCACCGCUGGUGUAAUAGUCUGCAAUGUCAUCAUUGAUGGAGGAAGUUGUUUCAAAUGUCUCACUAGAGAUGGUCGAUAAAUACAAACUUCAGUUCAGAUAGACAAUCCAAAUAUCAUGGUUUCAGAAAAUAAAUGACAUAAGGGACAUUGAUCACUUUCUCCAUUGGAAAACCAACCCACCCUACAAGGAUGCAAUUUGCUGCGAUGUCGUACCUAUAACAGACCGAAGACUGCCUUGUGAUACAGCAGCUUCUUCUAGUUUUAGGGGUAGGGUCAAUAUUAUGCGUGUCUUAUGAACAGAAAGAACUUCUUCUAUUUUAUUAUGGCUCGUCCUUUGCCUUUAUUCUGGAUUUAUAUAUUACUGCUUCUGCUUCUAUCAGACACCACUCCUACCAUUCAAUCGACGGAGAGUUAGCCCGCCCUUCGCACCCUAUCGUACCCAACUAGAAUAUGCGCAUGUAGGAGCAUUAUUUUGAAGCGUCAAGUCAGACUCCUACUCACUUUGCUUUGUGUUAGGGGCCAUGUGGGGAAUGAAACAAUUAACCGGACGUAAGCAUUCCUCACAGUAUAGCCCGAACCUCAAACGAUCCCAAGAGGGGUUGGUGAUUGAAUAUAUGAUGGGCGCAAUGAGAAAAGAAACAAUUGUAGAAAAUAAGAGAAAGAUUGAUAAUGCCAUACCUAUAGCUCCCCUUGUGUCCUACUAAUCAAUGGAAGCGCGAAAGGCAGAAGCGCAGAAAGGGUUCGGAGCGGAAUGCCAGUUCAAGUUCAAUUCCUGGGGACUUCUAAAAGCAAUUGUGGGACAGUAUCACGACCUAGCCCAACAAUUAAUGUCAAAAUGAAAGAAGUAGCUAGCUAGUAGCCGCAUUGAAGCAGCAGCCACAGAUAGAGCUUUAAGCCAAGGAAAAAGCCUAUUUUAGGGGAUAACUAAACAAUCGGAAGGUCUGGUCUGUUUUUAGUGAGCUUUCUUAUACUUUCUCUCUCUUUAGUAUACUAAUCCUUUGGAAUGUAGAGCACCUAACCUAAGAACUUAUGCUAAUAGCUAAUACCCGCGCCAUGGAUCAUUCAUUCACUUAGGGCGAUGCUAGCCAAUAUGACGAAGGAACGCAAAGACAAAGAGCAAACUAUGUAAUAAGUAGAAUAAUGCUUGCCGCCGGUAUAACUAGUCAAAAAAAGGGAAUGCUAUCAUGUUUGCAGCACGGAAGAUGGCACCUAAUUGCUAAUCCCCUUUAGUUGUAAUGAGUCCUCCUUUGAAAGAUCCUUGGGACCAAGUUCACUGAACGAGGUCGAUACUGCUCUUUGUUUCGGGUCGAUACUGCUCUGCUCUUUAAUUAAGUAUAAUAGAAUAUUUGUAUGUAGCAGGGCGUUAAGCACAUCCUCCUGACUGCCUUAUUUUCCCUUCAUUUCUAUUGGUAUUGGCUAUGUAAGAUAAGUUCCGGCAUGAGGUUGUUUUUUUUAUUGGAAUAAAAGGCAAUGCCAUUCUUCGGUUAGCAUAAAAGUGACAGAAUAGCUCGUCAAAACACAUAUAUUAUAAAGUAUAGUGGAAAAGGCAGGCCACUAAGGAAGUUGCAAAGACAAGAUUGACUUAUCUUAUUCCCUUCUUUGCUUUACUAUUCUCAUUCCGAUUUCGGGCAGGUUAUUAAUGAAGCUGGAAAAAGCCUCUGAAUAAAAAAGAAUCAACAACAUCAAGAAAAAGUAUUAGGGAGAGAAAUAAGUCCAAUAACAAGAAAGAGGGCUCUUAAGGAAAUGGAAGCACUGCUCUUUCGCCCCUUCGUUGGUCCGUUUAGUCACUCGAAAUCGAAACUCAUAUCACGGGGAAGGAUUUUCCGCGGAUUAAGUGAGGACACACAGUUUCAUUAACCUAUCUCCGUCUAGCUCGUGAAUCAUGCAGAACCUAGUGACGAAGAGAGCUUUCACUGGCUUUUGAACUAUAUGAUUCCCAUUGAGAGCGAACUACAGGUGGAUCGCAUACUGAUCCUGUCCAAUAUAGCCUCCCUUCUUUGAAAGAUGGAUCUUCUCUUUUGCUAAUCUGGAAUAAGAAAGCAAGCAAAGACUUUAGCUAAUUUGGAAUAAGAAAGCAAGCAAAGACUUUAGCUAAUCUGGAAUAAGAAAGCAAGCAAAGAGGUAGCCAGAAAGAGAAUCCCUGAGGUAUGUAGGUUUCAAAGAGACCAUUGGUAGCAGAGGACUGAAUUUGGCAUGUGAUAAAGGUUUUCGAAGAAUAAGAAAGGGAGAGAAAUGGAUAAAGCGGAUGGUGGUAAAGUCCAGCAAUGGAAUAGAAGAAAGUAUUAGUUGUGUAUGUACACUAUGAGUUUUUGAAGUUUCUGGAUGAAGUCAAAGCUUCUGGAGAACUUGCCCCAUUUCUCUUUUUCAACAAUCGGAGGGAAAGGUGUCUUUCUAAUAGGAGUUAAGGUUUCUGGGUGGGCAGCUUUCUUAUUGUUGGCCUUAUUUGGAGAGAGGAGAGCACAGAAAGCACUUUUUGAGUUCUUUUGAAAGAGAAUUCACUGACGGAGGAUGUUAUGCUUCCCUUUUAUGUGUAUAACCUAAUAUUUCUAUUGAGGAAGGCUCUUUGCCCAUCUGAGCAGUUGUGAUUGAGGGUGAUCCCUCUUUUUGAAAAGAUGACAUGUCAAGUCCAUUGAAGAAUAAAGAAAUGAUGUCCAAUCAACUGUCAUUCAGGAAAUUCCUUCGUUGCCUUUGAAUGCUCUACUUUUGUAUCCACAGAGUGUUCUUUUCCCUUUAUUUCAAAAGAAUAAGAUAGCUCCCCAGUAAAGAUCACUUGCCUCAGUCUUAAAUCAGAUUUCUCCUUUGUAAGGAAUCAGGAGAGGUCGGCCAAGCAUUCAGAGGACUUCCCAACCAACACCCUUUAUUAGAAAUCUCCCCCGUCGUAUGGAGCCACCGUUUUGAUGAUCCUUCCUUUGCUCCGAUCGGCCAGGGCUUAAGUCUGAGUAGAAGGCCUGUGUGUUACGGGAAAGAGAAAGAUCCGGGUUUUUGUUACUGGACGGUCUACGCUACCAGUCUAAUACCUCUAAUAAAAACACUAGAUUCCCGGUUCAAGAGAGUGAAGGAAAGGCUUCUCCCAAUAAUACACUAGAUUCCCGAUUUGGGAAGUAGGGCGACAUUCUUCUUUUAACAAAGCUGUAUUUCUUAGCUAAUGCGUUUCUGGGAUCCAUAUGCGACAUCAUUCAAUGGUAUUUUGACAGGAGCAAUGGAUGGCGCUUUUCUCUUUCUUAUGCCGGGCUCAGGUUACUGAAACGGAUCCAAAGUGAUAGCUAUUAACGGAGUUGUAGUUUGCUCUGUCUGGCAUGGACUAUGGUCUGAGUACUAAAUAUAAGGCAGUGUCGGAAGGAGGGCAUUUAGACCUAAACCUUUCUUUUUUGCUUAGUUCAUUCUAUUCUUCUUCACGGAAGUCUUGUUCCACUUAUUUAGGUAAGCACGUCGGGAAGGGCCCAGUCUGUAGCCCAUUCGUUUACAAUGGAAAAGCCGGUUUACAGGUAGUGCUGCCUCUUGGUCCAGGUUUACAGGUAGUGCUGCCUCUUGGUCCAGGUCUUUCCUACUAUACUUAUCAAUAGUUUUUCAAAAGGGAGUGUUGAAUGAGAAGGCGCUUCAACCUUUAGAGUUCUAUUCGAUGUCGGAAUGAUUACCCUCCGUUUCCUGAUGCAAGAUGGUCAGCUGACGCGAGAUGGACUGCAGCUGUGAUAGAAGGAUUUCCUAAUUCAUUUAUUCAUCUCCAAGAAGUUAAUGAUUUAUGAAUGGUAUUCUCCAGCAGAAUUGUAUUUAUCCAGUAAGUAGGGAGGCCUCCAAAGAGGAAUAAUAAAUGGAAUACAUAAAGAAAGGUCCCCAAGUUCUAAUAUUCCGUGACAAAGAAAUGCUUUCAAUUCUCCGAUCAAUGAUUGCGCGAGGCGAGGGACAACAACCGACCUACUCUAGCUUUCCACUGUCAUGCACUAGGCUGGCAAAUUCGAGGUUUGUUUCGAAAAGUGCAUUCUUUUCCUUUAUCAUCUUCUUUCUUACAGGAUAUAAGAAGGUUACGUAUGCUUUUGCGAAGGCUCUAUGAAGAGAGUGCAGCUCCUUAUUCUAGUGCCACCUCGAUUGGAGAUAUUUGUCCUAAUUCCGGAGAUUCGAUUUCCCCUUAUAUAGCUUCCAUACUUAUUACUACUGAGACAAGAUUGCCUUUUGAUUGAGUACAAGUCCAGCAAUGACUUGAUUCUUCCCACGCACGACAUGGCUUCAGCCUUCGGUUCCUUAGAUACUUAGAAUUCCGUGACCCUAUUCAUUUCCAGCUAUCCUUCCUGCCAACCGCCAAAGCUACAAGCCAGAACCAAAAAGCACUGGUCCUCAUAUCAUAUGGAUGAGAAAGGCGAAAGAGGCAGAACCUUUACUUACCGAACUUUUACCUUACCGAAUAGAACACUUUUUCUAUCUCUUCAAUUGCCUUGAACAAGCUAACCUACUAUCACACACAAAAGGGAGCAGGCUGAGAAUAAUAUAAAUAAUCUCCUAUGGAUUGAUUCUAUCUUGGAAGACCAGAGCGACUAUCCAGGAACGAAUAAUAGGGUAGUAAGGCUUGCGCUCUAUAGAAGAGAAGAGCUCCUUUUUAGAAAGAGAGAAAGAAAGAAAGAAACAUAAUAAUGUAUUAGUAGCAGCUGUUACCAAGUGCUGUGUUCGGCGGCAGGAGCUUCGGCAAUACCAGAUAAGUAGUGGAAGAGUACCCGCUCCUGACUGCUUACUUUACUCAACAACAGACAGGUAGAUCGCCAUCCGCAACAGCCAUCGGUUCAGAAACUAUAGUUCGGCAAAAGGGAUAGGGAUGCAGGAGGUGUCGAAACAAGCUAUAGUCAUAUAUGCGGAAAGUCAUGUUAUUAUUGAAAGAUCAGGCCCUUACUCUGUUGAAAGAUCUUCAGUCUCAUCAGUCUCAUCAGUCUCAUUAGUCUCAUUAGUCUCAUCCGCAGUGCGAGUGGAAUAAGAAUAGGAAUGUGCUAGCAAUGUUGUAUAGGGCCCUUAAACGUAGUUCUUCAAUUCUGUAUUCCUGUGCCCUUAACCCUACCCUUACUUUCUACUUUACCCCAGCAGUUUCUAAUUCCGUCUUCUCUUUACAUUGCAUUUCGUCGACAACACAAACUCGGGAUGAAACAAGUACUAGGGGCGAACAGAACACUUCACUUCAUUAGGACAGAAACACGGUUCCUUUGUUGGUUAGGCUCAAUCUUAGUCUGGGUAUCAAUCAAUUGACAGAAAUAACAGAUCAAGCUUGAUUUAGGGAAGAAAAGAAGCUACAGCUACGGAUAGAUCACCAGAAGCAAACAAGGGUUUUGGGUAUAGACAUAGAGACAUAGACCCACAUAGCGGUAAUAAGAAUCAUAGGCUCUUAAAAGAAACAGAAAUAAUAGCAAGUUUCCUGUUCGACAAUAACAAGUCUAUAUUUUCGGAAUCUAUAAGGCGACGAGAUAAUCAAGUGUUAAAGCUUCAAACCAAACUAUCAAUCAGGUGUUCUUCAAGCAGGAGAAAGAGCAACAUAUGGAAUUGGAGUAACAGGACACUCCUUCGCCCUACUAGUAACCUCAAUGGUAGCCGCCUAAUAAAGUAUCAAGUCAGGCAGUAUAGGGUCUCAAGUGCAAGUGAUCAGAAGGGUUGCUUUGCCAGGACAGGAGACUUUCGUCAAUCAGUGUUAUCGCAUGUAAGAAGCUGUGCCCAGAAUCCGCAGAAGAUUUCUCAGGAUCAGAAGGCCUCCGUGCUUUUGCAUUCUUCUGUUCGACAGUAAAGUGAAGGUGAUUCUAUUCUGUUGUCGAUUCAUAAAGUAUUGUUCUAGAUUCCAGUAUUGUGUUAGAUUAUAGUAUUGUUCCAGAAGUCGAAGAUCAUGCCCACUACGCAGGAGUAGAAUCAAGAUAAUCGGUGUCGAGAUGGUAUAAACGUGUUGGUGCAGGAAAUAUUAGUAGUUGGGGUAAUAAACAAUUCCAUUCCUAACUUCCACUCUGCUAAUGUAAAGAAGCUACUCGUAACACUGCAACAAACAACGGAAUGCAAAGUCUCAGGUAUCUCCUUUCGUAGGAAGUGAACCUAGAAAGAAAGUGAGUAAUGCUCGCUCUGUGAAAGACUAAUAGUAAUGCUCUGUGAAAGACUAAUAGGGUAAUGUGCUCAUUGCAAUAAAGUCAUUUUCGCUCUGUUUGUUUACUUCUAUCUAUGAUAUGCGAGAUAUCUUCUUUUCUCCGUUUCGAAAGAGCAAGCCCCGAGAGUAAGCCGUGUUAGGUGAUUUGGAGCAAGCAAGCAAGCUUCUGAUUCUUGUUUCGUAGUGCGCCAGGCAGUCAAAUAAGUAGAGUGGCCGUUACGCUAAUGAAGGAGUCAGGGGAAAUCACUCUUGAGACGGGAGCUGUGAGCCCAGGAAUAAGAAUGAAUAUAGUAACAGCCGAACACAGGACUUGGUAAUGACUUCAGUAGUGGAGCAUCUAACAUUCCAUUCUGGAAUUCUUCUUACACCUGCACAGAGCACAUUCUAAGUAUUUGUAAGUAUAAGAGUAGUGACUUGUAUGCCUUUGUAGUUGUAGCUUGUUGGGAUGAAACUAUCACUGCAGCUUAUAGGUUUGAUUCACCAGGUUGUAGGGAAUUCCUAGUUGUGAGUUGUUUUCUUAUCCCCGGCCCAUAGGCCUAUACCAAUAAGUGCAAUUCUGUCUUAUCUGAGCACAAGUUCCCCUAACGUUAGAGUAUGUCGUAGUAGGUGGGGUCUCUAUUACACGUUUUUAAGUCUUAUUAGUCCACAGACCCAUUAUGAGUAUUCUCUUAAACGCCUCUUAGUAUCCAAUCCGAGGGGGACAGUGACUAUAGUAGUGGAAUAAGAAUAAUAGGUUUAUGCUCUAGUUCAAGGUAGAGCGGGGGAAUGAUAUAAGUAUAAGAUAUUAUGGGCUUGGAAGCUGGUGAGUUAGGCUCGGACAGCGAGGUAGGCAGUAAGGCUUGUGUAGCUGGGCUUAGGUCCUAUACGUAUAAGUGAAUUCCCAGUUGCGUUCUUAUAUCAGUAGUGUGAACCCUGUUAUCAGUAAGGUGUAUUCUUUAUUCCCAGUGCAAUUCCCUAUUCUUUGUUCGACGAUAGGUGUUCUCUAUUCUUUGUUUAACCAUAAGAUAAUGGUAUGAAAUUCACUAUAGAAGUUAGGAAAUAUAGAAUUCGAUCUAGGAAUAGAAGUUAGCGAGUCAGGUUUACUACCUGGACAAUUCAUUCUGAUUGGAAGUCAAAAGUAAGGUGUUGUUGAGUGUGCCAACGUAGACUUUAAGCCAGGCAAUACUUCAACUCAAUUCUUAAAGGAAGUAACACGUAUUGCCGUUCUCAACUGCCCACGGAGCGAUAAAGUAGAAAGUGUCAGCAGCAAUCGAAGCGGGAGUUGUUGACUUUAAUCAGGAGUUUAGAGCAGCGCUUUAUAACAUUCUUAAAGCUAUGCGCAAGAGAAGAGAUAGCUGAUUCCAUUUCCAUUAUGAACUUCAGAACAAGCUUAGGCUCUUGCAAGGUCAGGGUAGAAAGCCUGUGUUCAGAAGCAAAGGAAUCAAGUCCAGUACGGGUAAGAAUCAAAUCUAAAGUAAGGUUAAGGCUUGGCGGUUGGUUACCUAUAGACCUUAGAGUCACUCAUAUACCUCUGGCAACUAAUCUGAUAUAAUACCUAGGGCUACGGGAAACUAUUCUAUACUUCCCGCUUCUACAAGAAAGAAGGAUAUUGGUCUUGCCAAUCAAUACUCUAUUCCUGACACAGCUUCUAAAUAGGAUGAUCCUAGAGCAGGACCCGGAAUUGGACUUUCAUACCCAACAAGUCACUCACUACUUGAAUACCCAACAAGUCACUCACUACUAGUUGCUAAGGUUAGCUUUGCUGUUCCAUAAGGAGGAUUUUAAGCAGGUAAUUCAAUUAGAUAAUCAGCAGUUCGAGAAUCUGCAUCAGAGCAGGAAUUAGGAUAUGAUACUGGCUUUGGUGUUCACCGGCUAAUGUAUUUAUUACGAGUCUUGUGUUUGUGGGGGACAAUAAGGCUUAACCGACAGGAAAGUAACUCAAACCCGGGCGUAAGGAGUUUGCCGGAGCAAGUUCUAUUAUUGAGUUCGGGUCUGGGGGCCUAGCUUAGCGAGUUUAGUGCCUUUCUGAAUCAGUUAAAAGAGCUACUGUUGCGCUAACACUUACUGUUCGGGGUGCUACCACGAUGAGUGAAGUUUGCCCUGUUCGACUUGAAGUCCAUUCUUGGACUAGUGGGUACAACUCCUAAUAACCACCACAAAGCCCCCUUCUCGAAUUCCUUAUUUAGAGUAUCAUUCCUUGAUGCGCCUACUCAUUCCUAUUGGUAUGAUUUGGGUAUUCCACUCCUAGGAUCUCACAUCUGACCCGCCCUCAAUGCCUAGUUGGGUCUCGCCCACUCCUUGGUUGAGGUAUGUAUUUCCUGCCCGAAGUCUAUAUGGGGAGUUCACCUCUCCCUAUACUAUCUCUGAUUCUUAUUCUGACUAUACCUUCUCUCGGCCUGCUACUGAUUACUUGCAUUCCCGCUUGUAAACUACCUUAUUGCAUUAAGUCUUCUUUUAUUGUAUAGUCACAAUGUCUUAGUAUUUGCUUAGGUAAAUUGGGUGAAAAAGGGCGACUUCUUUAUCGAUUUUGGGAGAACUAUUUGUUCGGGUGUUAAGUAGCUGGUUUCCUCUUAUCUGUUUGUUCGUUAAGUAGCAUCGUUCGUAUCAAUGUAAGGGCUCGGCCUAGAAGAGUGCGUAUCUAUGUAAGGGCUCGAGCGUUUCUUCUCGUACUUGUGGAUUCUGCGUAAGAUGCAAAGACAGCAAAGACAUCAGUAGCAUCCUUCUUCUCUGUAUUCUAAGUCAAGUUAUAUAAGCUACCCAUGCUAUGGAUACUGGCAAGUGAGGUAGUUUCUCUAUUGAAACAAGCGCUACCUAUGCUACGCUACCUAUGCUAUUGAUACACGUAACAUAUAGUGGUGUUCAUUGCUUCCUUACCUAUGCUAUUGAUACAAGCAAUAUAACAAGCAAGAUAUUCGGGUAGUUUCGUUCCAUAUGCUUAUGUGGUUGGUUUAGUUUCAAGAAAUAACUAGCGCUAACAAGAAUUGAGACUUUCCCCAACGGAUAAGACUGACUUACAUAACAAAUACGUUAACUCAGAACUAGCAAUCGGACACUGACGAGCAAGACUCAAAAUACCAACAAUCUGAAUGGAAUCUGUAACCGAAGUACUACUCAACAGUAGCCGAGCCUUACCGACCCUUAUAUUCAUUCUUUGUUCUGAUUGGGGUUAAUCGUAAUAGUCAAUUUGCCUCCGGAGUUUUAGGCUGAAGCUCCUAGCUGGCUAUUUCAUUCUUAUAGUAGCCCCUGGCAUUCCUAUAGUUUGAGUUAGUUAGCGCCCUAUACUAGCUUGCAUUCUCCGUAUUGUUCCCGACAUGCCUAUGUUCCAGGCUCUUAGCACCUUCCUUUCAUUCCUUAUUUCAAGCUAGAGUCUUUUUGACUUACUUAUUGCAUUCGUUAUUUGUUGGCGGCGUAGUAGAGCUAACUGGCAUCUCUUUCAUUCUUUAGUUGUAGCUUCGGUGUUAAUGGAAUUCAAUCGAUUAGUGCUAUAAGGGCUGUUGACCCAAACUCUCCAUAAGGACCAUACCCGCCAAGGCUAAGAGCAAGAAGUCAAAGGAUUUAUACUCAAGCUGUAAAAGAAUGGUUACGCACCGAGCAAGGGAUCCAACUAAGAAGUGAAGUCUGACUAAACUCACUUAUUAAUCUUACCUUCCUAGCUUUUAGUCCCACUGUACUAGCUUUCAAACUAUUAGGAUCGAUUGCUAUCCUGCCUUCCAUCCAAAACCGAAUAGUAUACCUUUCCUGUCUCUUGACCUGUCCCUAUGACCCCUUGCUUGAAGUCUUAGAUGCUAGAGGAACAACAAAGAUACUACAGUAGUGCCCCCACGUACUUAAUCUCAGUGAACUCAACUCAAAACUCAGAAUUCACCCAUGACUAAUCAGAAUAGAACUCAAAAGACAUAGUCCCACUUUCGGAUAAAGAAUUUCACUCCAUAACACCUGCCUUGCAAUCGUAGCUUAAACCAAAGAAUUCGACUAUAAAGUCCGGAUACUAAGGGAAAGUCCGGAUACUAAGAAGGGGGUGGAUCCUAGCUUAUUCACUGUAAACUAAUAAAACCACUAUUUAUUGCCGACCUAUACGCCUAUAGCUGAGGAAGCACCAACCUACUUAUCUUUCUGGUCGACUGGAAUUUAUGAAUGGAAAAACUCAUACGGAAUGAAACUACUUCCCAGAGGAUUGAAUAAUUCCACUAGAAACUAGGAAUAAGGAAGAAAACGAAACCUAUUGACACGCGCGACACAUGAAACAAACACAGUCACUUUGUUAGUAGGCACAAACACACCCACUUACUAGUAGGCACACACAAACCUACCCACGGCAAUUCAUUCAAACAGGAACGAACUGGAAUUGAAGACAAAGAAACUAUACUUGCUGCUUUGCGCCUCUCUCUUUCAACUAACCAACCUCUUCUCUUAGCGCCCCAUAUGCUAAUGUUUGCGCAAUCCAAUAAAGAACAGAAUAAGGAUUUCUCGUUGUUUAAUAAGCACUGAUCUUCUCGAGUAGCAAAUACAGAUUCCAAUCGAACUCUGAAACGGACUUUUGAACCAAUGAUUCUAUUACUGCAGACACCCACAGACACACGCCCACACACGGCCCACAUACAACCACGGAGACACCCGAAGUGACUUAACUCAUACUUAGAAGAAACCAUUAACCUUAGAAUCAACCAUUAACGUUCCAUUGCGCCAAUUCCAUGAAAAAGUAGAGCUGUUUUUUGACCAAUAAACUCUAAGAAAUUACUGGAAAAUAGAAUAUAUGAUAAGAAUAAAUGACCUAUUCCCCUAGUAUCCCUUUCCUGUCUCUAACUCCACCACUGCCUUAUCUCAUCCUGCCUUAGUGCGCGGGGGCAAACGGAUACUUACUGCCUUUAAGGCUUCCUCCCUUACGAUGAAAUAUGACUACAUCUAUCGCUACACUUACUAUGUUACUUGGCUGAGUGUCUUGUCUUGUAGUUCCUUGGCGCGUAACACAUGGGUGAGACUACCAAUACCAACUACCCUUAAAGAACCAUACCAGAGAUUCUUUAUUGAAUAGUUCCCCGCCUUAAAGUAUUGAGGUUGGCGCAUCCUUAAACUCCAUAUUUGCUUUCUGUAACUCCCGGAGUCGGAUCCAACUUACACCGCUACCCAUAAGAAUGGAGCUCUAGUAAUAACAAGAAGCAAACCGGUACACAUGAAUUCCACUAAGUACUAGCGAGGAUCAAACCAAUACCCAUAAGGAUUGACUCCUGGGGAAGGUACUAGAACACCGGAAUAAGUAAUCAAACUAAUAAUAGGAAGCAUUGACUUGCUCAUAACAGGAGCAAGUCCUGUUUUGUUACCUUAUUCUAUAAGUUGUCAGUUGUGCACUCAAUGAUAUGAUUUGGGCACUGAACACUCCCUUUACCCUCUGCCUCCGUCCUUUUCUAGUAUGAGGUUAUCUUAUGCUGAUAAGUAUUCUUUUCUUAAAGCAAGGGAGGAAACAUCAUUCUUAUUUAUUACCCUUUUCUUAAAGCAAGGAGUUAUCUCACUUAGCCUAGAAGGUAAUGCUGCGGAUGAAAGAGGUAGCCAAGCCCCUGAUUCCGACUAUUUAUUCGAACUCUCUAACUCUCUCACGCUUUAGUAACUCUUUCUCCUCUCCUAACAACGCGCCGAGUCAAACACUAUCAGAUUGCUUAGUCUCUCUUCUAUAUCAAGCAUUAACCGAGUAGUAGGGCAACAGGAAUGGAACUAGUUUGUGCAGAAGAUAAGAUAAGAUUACUUGUUCUCUCUAUCAAGCAUUAACCUAGCUGUAAAGACUGUUGGUGUUCACCCCAAUGGAAUCUAUAGAGCAUAUUCUAUAAUUGAGUAUUUGACUCCACCACUUGCUUCUUUUUCCGUUGCUUGCUCAUUACCUAUUACUUGCCUUGUUUACUUGUUCCGUAGUUUGUUCCUUUGCUUUAAGAGCAAUUAACUCCCUGACGCUAAAACACAGGACGUCGAACUGGAAACUGGAUACUUUUUGGAAACUGUAUACUUUUGCAAUAUAGUAGGGGCGAUAUACUUGUUCCGGCAAACUCUAACGCUCUAUAGGGUUUCUGUACUAAAAAAAGUAUGGAUAAGGUUCUUUACUUGCUUGACCUUUGCCUGAUUGAGUACUAGGGCAGGUGAUUGGCUUGACGUCGUACGAGAGAGGUGAUUGUGUGAAAGAACUCGUUAACGCGCAAGGCCUGGUUUCGUUAUCGGGGGAGUUGUUCUGUGCAGUGCAUAAUGAGAGUACUUGCUUACGGGGCAUCGCCUGUAUCUGCAGCUGCUGCUUUCGAAAGAAUGGCUCUCGGGUCGUCUUCAUUCGUUGGAUUCUUUCUAUACAUAUGUGUCACUGAUAUUGGAUUUCAAUAGCUAUAUUCAAUGCUAUAUUUGAGUUUUGUAUAGGGUGGUUGUUACUAGAUUCUUUCUAUACAUAUGUGUCACCUGAUAUUGGAUUCUCUUCUGAAGUAUAGUUUCGUAUUUUGGGGUCAUAUUAUUCUCUCUCUUAUAUGAAAUGUGGUUUCAACAAUAUUGGAAUUGGAAAUGGAAUGAAAGGGUAACUAAGCACUCCGCCUACAGCCUUUAAUGGAAUCUAAUCCGCUCUCCUGUCAAUCAAGUAUAAAGAGUGGAGUAUUGUAUUGUAUUAUAAAGAGUUUAGUAUUGUAUUGUAUAGAAAUUGGGUAGUAGUGGGUCAAUAGGGAUCAACAUCUACUACUAUAUUUACCUUUCCUCGGUUGAAACUCUUUCCAGUACCUUUUGUCUGAUUGGAUUCAACUAGGCUGGUUCCUCGGUGAGCUUGAGCCAAUCUUCUCUUACCGGGGUAGAUGUAAGCUCCGAAUUAGUGAUAGUCUCCCUUCGCUCGGUCAAAUUGCAACCAAAACAGGCUUUCUAAAGUAUAGCGUCAUUCUCUGACUUUAGCUCGGUAUUGGGUGAAUCUUUCCUUUUCUUUCUUUCAUUCUUCUUUGUAGUAGGUGAGUGUGACUAAGGGAUGUUCUCCUCGGUAGUAGGUGAGUGUGACUAGCUAGCUUAAGGGAUGUUUUCCUCGAGGACUUCCUUCAUCUUUUCUUUCUAUCAGUUUGUUGAGCUCUAAGCCUAGAAGGAUAUCUUUUCUUUCUAUCAGUUUGUUGAGCUCUAAGCCCAGAAGGAGGAGCUAGUUGCUAGGAGAGCUAGGAUUAAGAGGAGCUUUGUUCCUAGGAGCUCGGAUUCAGAGGAGCUUUGUUCCUAGGAGCUGUUAGCUGGAGAGGAGAAGCAGAGCAGAGGGUCGAUGUGAUAUAGCUCAUUAUAUAGUUAUUGGUGGGAGGGACGAAGAAAGUAAGCAAAGAGAAGAGCGAAAGACUACUCACUAGCCCCCAAAACUCACUCAUUGUCGGGAAACUCAUAACUCGCGUUAGCACUAGCGCACCACUAACUAAUGCACAACAGACAGUUGCCGGGUUGCUUGUUCCCCGAACUUGACUUUACCCCCACUUCUUUCCCUUGCUUGCUGAAUGAAAUAAUAAAUAGACGAGAGUGCCACUCGGCCUUAGUCCGGUGAGUUAAGAGCAACGUCGUCUGCAAGUAGUUCUGUUCCAGUUCCUUCUUCAGCGCUAAGUGGUCCAAAUCGUCAAUGGAAGUGCGGUGCAUACUCGUCUCUUUCAGUUUGAGUUUCAUCGUAUAGCAAGUCCGCAUAAGAAGCCAGGAAAGUCAGAGUUAGAGUUUCCAAGAACUCCCCCCUUGCACUUUCCCUCCCGCUUGUAGCUGACUUAGCGCUUGAAGGUUCCCCUGCGAGAAUCAUCUUUCCCUCACCCGCCUAUACAAAAGGAAUUGAUAUCUCGGAAGUAACACAGGAAUCUUUCGAGCCAACACACACCUUUCUCUUUUGUUCCUAAGCUUGUUCGUCUUGUCCGAACUUACUUCACUUUGAUGCUUGGACGACUACUCGGUUUGUUUGCUGAUCUGAUCUUCUUUCUUUCUACGAUAAGACUACACUUUCUUCGCACUGAUCCCGUAGGCUAUGCUAUCAGAACUCCCAACACUUAGAUCCGGAGGCUAUCUGAACUCCCUUAACUGACAGAGAUGGAGAUGCUUGCCCGAACGUCCCUUACCUGAGACCGGAUAAGUACUUAGUUCGCAUUAUGUUGUUGGGCCAUCAAGUACCUAGCGCCUGAGAAGGCAAUCUGAGUAUAGUACAUAGCUUCAGCAGAAGGAAUUUCUUAUGAUCCUUAUCUUCAAACUCUCACUCCAUUUGAUACAGCAGAUGCGGAUUCAUAUUCUUCUCUAUUUGAUUUGAAUGUUAUUAGAAUUCUUUCUCACUUUAGCACUCUCGCUCGAGGAAAGAAAGAAAGAGAGUGGAUUAAGGGAUAGGCUUUGUGUACUAGCUUGGCAGAGUUAUGUGUCCUCCUCGUAGAGGGAGAGGCCUGUAACCGAUUUCUAAGAAGUGCCCUUUUCCGAACGAUUGAAGUUCUGCAGCAAGCCUUUGACCUUUUAAGGAGGUACGGGCAUGUCUCUUUUGAAAGAAGGAGAGCGGUAUUGUAAAGCCAUGGAGGAAGCUUCCGAGCGGUAUUGUAAAGCCAUGGAGGAAGCUUCCCAGGGUUAAGAUCGGUAUUGUUAUUUGCAUUAAGUAAGUUGUUCACUCACUUGAGACUUAAGCGCGGAGUGGGCAGUUUAGAUUAGCAUUCUCAAAGAGCGGGGAGCUCAUAUAUAAGAAAUACGAUGACAUUCGAAAAGAGAUGGAUUAAUGUUAUAUAUACUAUUCUAUAUACAAUUACACACUCGCUACAAUGGGACCCCUACCCUAACGGAGAUCAAAGCCCUUUUUGCGUAAGCCACAGGGUUGACUAUUUUCUAAGGGAAUCCCUCCCCGAUGGAGGUACCGUAUCGGCAGUUCGUAGGCAUAUUAGCCUAUCAUCUUUCUGGUUCCUUUCUCGCUUGCUGCUGUCAUCUAAUCUUUCUGCUUCUCCGGAUCUUUAUGCAACUGUUGUUAGUGCUUCUGCUUCCUCAUCUGUUCCGUAUCCUGAUCCACUGCUGAUGCUUCUUAUAUCUAUGACUUUCCUCGCACUGAACAAGCGUUAGGUGGGAACUACAAAGAGAUUCUAUCAUGGGACCCAGACAGAUGAAACGGAAACUCGAACUGGCUAUGCAAUGAUUCUUCUUCCGCUAUGGAUCCAGCUUCUUAUUCGUCACCGCUACGUGGGCUUUCUUCUUCUGCUUCAGCAGUUUCUCAUUCCAUUCCACAAGCAAGAGUCAGGGUGAACGCCCACAAGCAAGAGUCAGGGUGAACGUCUACAAGCAAGAGUCAGGGUGAACGGGAAAUUCGAUCUGUAUUUGCAAUAGGGCACAAAGAUAUUAGGCGAAAAUGCCGUAUAAGAGCCGUGCUCGCGUAAGCGCAACAUUCAUUUGGAUUAGAAAGUGAGUAGUAGUAGCUUGGCCCAGGGCGAAAGUAAUCUGCUAGCGGGUAAUCUUCACUGAAAAGAAUGGAUUUGCAUCUAUAUAUGGAGAAGAGCCACAUAUGGAAGCGCAGUAAAGAGACUGAACAAGUCAAGUUUUCGGGAGUCACGGGGGCAUUCGAUUCGAGAGGAGAAUCAACAAUUCUAUAAUUUCCUAUUUCUUGUGCAGAGUAUCUAAAUAAAGCACUUCCUCUUUAACUGAUCCAGAUCCAUCUUUUGAUCCUUAGGUACUGAUCCCGAUCAACCUCUUCUCGCCUCCUUUAUUUAAGAGCAACUCCCUUUCCAGUUAGCGCAGAUCAAUCCUCUGACUCUAGUGACCUUAUUCUAUCUAAUGUCACAGUGAAACAAUCACCUUCUUCUUAUCUUUCGAUGUGGACUUCCCUGGCACAAUAACUCCACUUUAUGAAUAGAAAUUGUAAGUAUAACCCAAAGCAAGGAGACUCGAUAUACUGAAGGAAUAUGCUUAGCGCUGAACAAAAGGAGAAAGCAAAUCACCCAAAGCAAAGGGAAGGGAAAGCCCAUAACUCCACUCACUUAACAAACGUAGCCCUACAGAGAAGUAAAGAACAGGUUGCAACUCUACCUACGCCACUACACUCCAUUAGUGAAAGUCAAAGCUGCUCAUCUUGCAGGCCAAUAAUAGUUAAGUUCCACUCCCUUCCCUGACUCACCUGGCGCAACUCAAACAUAAAUGGAAUCUAUUGCAGUCAACUCAACUCGCCAUUGCCAAAACUAGAUCUGUUCCCAAAGAGACUCUACAGAAGCGAAAACGUGUAGCGGGCAUUCAUUCAAAAGGAGACUUCGGCUUCCGUAGAACACUUUCCUCCCUCACACAGCCUUAUGCUUCUGGUUAUCUAUCACUUGUGGAUUUGAACUAACUAAGGUAAGGCUAGGCUAGGAACUCAAACUCUCAUAGGCGCACCACUCACUCUUAUGCAAUCGAACUCAUCUAUAAGUGCUCUACUUAACCGAACAAGCAAACUCAGUGAAAGUGGAAUAAGAUUGAACAGUGAGCUCCCUUACGUGCCCCAAGAAAAGAAGUAAGCUUACGCGUAACGGCGAGGAAAACAGUCCAAAUCAAUAUUACUGCAUGCUCGAUAUCAAAUAGAUAGGAAUGAAUUGCACUAGCAGAGAGAAAGUCAAUACUUAAAUGGAACCUAUGCCAUUGAAUGCCCUCUUUCUACAAGGAUAUCUAUAUGGACCAAGCGCACCUCUUUCUACACUCCGGAGUUAAUCCCAGAUACAUGGCUUAACAACCACACGCGCGGGCCCGGCUCAACAUUCUUGGAAAAUAAUCGAAUCUCAGAAAGGCUUUUCAAUGACUUGGCCAUUCAAUCUUGUGAACUAAUCGAGACCGAUAUUGGAUAAGGAGAUACGAACGGAGAGGAAUAACCAAUCGAUGAAAGAACAUGAAACCAUUCUGUUUCAAUAGAGGUACGGAAAAGGGUUGGGGGCAAUGAAGUAGGUGAAGUGGUUGGAUUUUGCGAGCUGUUCCAACCACUGCAGGAUGUGAUUCUAAGAGCCGAACAAGAAUGAAUACCACACAGAAGAGUCAAUACCGGGCUCCCUAAUAGAAUGUUUAACCGAUCCAUUCCGGAUCGAUCGAAUUGGUAAAGAAGUUGUAACAUGGGAAAACCACGGAAAACACAACUUAUUUGAAUAACCCGGUGACCUACCAAUUGUAGAAGUAGGAUCUUUGGCAAGCUAUAAGCACUUACAAAAUACAUUUCGAGUGUACCAUCUUCUUUGUCAUGUCGAGGAAAAGGUUCGGGAGGAAAGGGAAACAACAGAGGGAUCCGAAUCAGACCUAAAUGGGAAUGACAUGAAAAGUGUUUUUCGAAACCCAUAAUUAAGGGCAUUACUAAAAUAUAGAAUAGGAAUGAAAGAGCACUCGUGAUUGGUGUUCCGGGGAAGAUCUGCUUAUGAAAUAGUUCAAGAAAGAGUCGUCUCAUUUCCAUACUCACUCGUUCUUUAGAAUACACUUCUUAGGCUGGUUCUGAACGCCGCGGAACGGAAUUAACGGAAUUCUCUUUGUCGCAGCUGCAUUCGUGUUUGUUGCACAAGAUUCUAAUGGAGUCUUCAUUAAUGGUCUCUAAGUCUUUUUCAACAUGUUAGGUUCCCAGAUUGUUUGCAUUUCUCUAUUUGACAAAUAUGGUUAUCGCCUCGUAACUUAAGAUAAGACCAGAGAUGCUAAUUCUAUCAUUGAAAAUACAUUCUCCUUGACUAUUGGUUUGAGUCUACUUACUAGAUACUAUCCUUUUGAUGUCGAGGUCUACUCUAUAGCUCCAUGAUUCUUUUUCCCGAGAGUUAUUAACCCUUUGAAAAGGCUCAUGUAGCAUACUUGCCUAGAAUUAUGAUGGAAAGUCAAAAACCCCCUCUUGGAGAUGUUCCUCAAUUGAUCUGCUUUUUGAUUUGUAGAAUUUCUCUCUGUGACUCGAGUCUAUGUGCACUACCGCUUUUCUCUCAAACUACUGGCUUUUCUUGCUGUUUUCCAUUCGACCCCUUUGGAUUUCCAUCUUAUAUGCAUACACAACCCCAUAGAGUAGCAAUGAUUAACUAUCGCUCUCCCUUUUUGGAACUCUACCUACAACCUUGAUUGUUGCCCUCCUUUUGAUCGUCACUUCUUUUAGUCGGCUAACUCACAUAGGUGAUCCGGAAAGCGCGCUAAGAUAGGUGAAACUCCUACUCCAGCAGGCAGAGUGUUUGAACCCCUAUACUUAAUAUAGAUAGUUGGACUCGUGACAUUUGGAUUUGGUUUUCUUCGUUCUUGCUCUCCUUGUAUUUGCAUCGUUCACCUACUUAAUCUUAUUCCUAGUUUCUGCCCUCCCGACACCGAGACCAAAGGAUUUCUCUCUAUUGUAUUUAUUCGAUCCCAAAGCAUGCAUCUCUAGGGUUGACCCGCCUGGGCUUCCAACAUAACUUCUCCAAGUUUUCAUGAAAUAGUUCACCUUCUAAGCGAAGAAGCUCCUCCUACGAAAAAGUACGGAAGGAUGUUUUCGAUUGGGAAGCAGGCCUUGCGAAGGAAGGGCCGACACAGCCGUAGAUAGAAGGAAAGAGGCAGCGCAUGGAAAGCGGCACUUGGAAUGCUCUCGGCAGGGACCGCGGAACCAACUCAUAGAAGUGCAAAGAGGGGAGAGAUUAGGCAGCCUCACCUUAAUUCUAGCAAGACCAAGGCAAGGCAGAUUCUUUAUCUUCAAAUAAUAUAAAUAAGCAGUGCAGUGAUUUCACCUUCUUUAUCUGAAAUGAAUGAAAAUAAUAUAAAUAAGCAGUGAUUUCACAUUGCCCGCAAAGUGGUUAUUGAAAGUAGUGAUUUCACCUUCCAUAUGUUUCCAAAAAACCAGAGAUUUCUCAUUUAGGAAGUAGACCCAUGUUUUCCACUUACUUCUGCUGUUGACAAAGAAGAUAGAAUAGAAGAUAACGAGGACAGACAAGACAGAGCUAUGAUCAACCUCUUUCUAUAUUGAGAGGACAGACAAGACAGAGCUAUGAUCAACCUCUUUCUAUAUUGAUUUAAAUAGAAUAUUAAGUGAGGACGGAAUUGACUCCACUUGUGGGAGCUGAUAGAGCGCGUAGUCCCGCCCCUGAGUCAUAGCUAGCAACACCACGAAGCUCUUUCUCUUAUCUUUUAUGAAAGUUUCUUAAUGGUGCAAAAACGACCAACCAAGAGGGCGAAAAAGAAGCUGCUGAAUCCAACUACCAAGAAGGCGAAAAAGAAGCUGCUGAAUCCAAAGAGGUUGUAGAUAACAAAGAAAGUAGCACUAUAAAUAAAGCCGGUGGUCCGUCCGUCAAAGAAAAGAGAGAAGAUUCGAGUGAAUGAUCGGGUGUUAAAUGACUAUCAAGUGGCAAGCAGAGAGACGGAAGCCCAUACUCAAGCAUAAGACUAAUUCAUCCCUAGCUGACGUUCGCCUCUAGAUUGCUAAACUCCAGGCCGAGUACAGUUCCUAAAGGAAAAGGCGGGUGCCCAGAAAGAAACCCUGGCCAGGCUAUCAAAAACAAAGCAAGAGCUAUUCGGCGCUGCACAACCUCUGAUUGAUGGCCACAUUUGGUCUAAAGAUGCAAAUGUUACCUUGCGCAUUAGCGAGUUACUUAAAGUCAGCUUACGCUUACUUCUUGGGUUGGGGUGUUUCACGUUGGAGAUGAGUCCUUUUUUCUGCUGUUGAACAAUAGAUAGCUGAGUUGAAGCUUUUGGCCCAUUUCCUUCUAUCUCUGCCUUUCACUUUAUUCUUUUUGCUAUGUCUGGGACCUUUCUUUCCUUCCAUUCUAUUUGCACUUCCUUUUUGGAUAUUUCCUCUGCUCUUAUGAUCAUGUCUUCUCAUUUAUUUGGAUAUGAUGGAAGAGGCUGUGAUUCGGCUUUUGAACUUGGAACAAUUGGCUUUGGUUGUACUUGCUACUGGCCCCUUUUUACAUAGUCUAUGUGUUUCACCGUGGGUUCGGCUUAGAUAUAUGCUACUUCACUUUCCAUUGUGCUAAUCUUGGCCGGAGCUGGACGGAUUCAAUAAGUCUAGGGGAAUCCUGGCCAAACUACUGUCAAUUAAUAGAAGAAUUAGGGUAUUGGGGUUUUUCAACUAAGAUUAUGCCUCGGCGCAAGAGAGAGAUUCCAUUCGACUUCCUCGGUGCAAGACGUCUAUGAGAGAGAGGUGAUUCUUUAGGCAAGGCAAUAAAAUGAUGUUCUUGAAAAAGGGAAUGGACUGUUCGACACUUUACUUACGAUCUAUACCUGCUUCCAUACCUGUUACUUACGAUCUAUACCUGCUUCCAUACCAGGUGCUCGAUAAGAUGGAUUCAAUUCAGUCACUGAUAGGAAAAGGUUGGUGCGAGUGCGAAGCCUGAAGGAGACGAUGAUGAACUUCUGGUCGAGAUCAAGUGCUGUGCGGUAUAAAGGUUAUUAAGACGACGAAGCGGGACAGGAAAGUGGAAUUUCAGUAGAUAAGCCACUUUCUUAGUUUCACAUGGCAAAUGACCUUUAUUGUCUACCGACAAUGCUCCUAUAAUGCUUUUUUGUCUAGAAACAGAAAACUCCUGCUCGGCUCAACACUGGACCGAACCGAACCCUCCUUGAAGUGAAGAACCACAAUCCACUGUAGGAUUGGCCUUCAACUUGGAUUCCUUCUGCCGACCUAACCCCUUAACCUAUACUUCAAGUGAAACACCGCUUACCGCGUAGCCAAUAACGGAUCUUGGAGACAACGCGCUUGCAGCCCGGAACCCUGCUCCUCAGUAUUCUAAAAGAGCUAGAUGAUCUUCUUCAUUGAUAUUUGCUUAGACUAAGUGCAACUCGCUAAUGCUGAAAAUAGGACUUUCAACUAACUAACUAAGAAAGUAAGCUUCAAGCUGGAGGUAAAGUGUAAGCAUUGUCUACGUUUCACAUAGGCAUAGGUUAAACGACUCGAAAUCUUCAAUGAAUUCUUCCGCUGGAGAAGAAACUGUUCGAGUUCAAUAUCCAGCUCGACCUGACUGGAGCCUCGGAUUCCUCUAUCACGUAACUGUAUUUCGCACCCCGCACAAGUUAACAAGCAAGGGUAGAGUUCCCUGACUAUAGCUAAGGGUAGAAUUCCGAUUCUUUCUGGAUGUCUUUCCCCCCUUACCUCUACUUUUGGAAGUGACUUCCUAACGCCGAGCGGAACUAUGGUUGCUUAUUUUGUUCCUAAGCUUGCUGCGUUGCUUGUUCACUUCAUACUCGUAUCUGAGUUUGCUUUCUGCCUUUCAUUCUUUCUCGUUAGUUCUGCUCUCCGAGAUAAUAAGCGAGUUUAUUCCUUAGCGAGUUUCUUCCUUCCUUAGCGAGUUUCUUCCGUUGUGCUAAGGCGAGUUCCAUUUGGAGCCCGGUUCAUUAAUGACUUACCCACUAUAGGCUGAAGGAUGGGUAUGAAUCCAAUAAUGACUUGCCUACUAUAGGCUUCCGGGUAUGAAUCAAAUCUCUCAAGAGCGCUACGCACCUCUGCAACUUCAUUUAAACAUUGGAUGAUGUUAUCUGAAAGCUCUAACUACAUGGAGAUUGGCUAUGCCUCUGUUCAAGUUGGCUGUAGUGAUGCCUAUUCCUUUUGAAGGAAUUGAGUUAACCCUGUACUUGCAGGACUGAAAGGACUAAUUAGGUUAGUGAGUACUCGUCUCGGAAAGAGAGAGGGGGUUUUAUAGGUCGCCAUGUGUGCAUGACAUUCUAACACAUAGGAUAAGUUCAUAUAGAGAUAAUAGAACAUAGGCCUGAUAAGUUCAUAUGGAAGAUGGAUAAUAGAUUGACAUUCCUUUGAAAAGGGAGCCCGCUAAUGGAAUACUGAUCCAGGUCAAUAGUCAAUAAUAAGAUAUUCUAUUUGGUUGGGGUUGUGACAAGUUCUUUUCUCAUUACCUUGAUUGGCUCUAUCAUUUUGUCUUUUGAUACUUCUAAUGUACAUCUUCCAUAUGUAAGUCAAAUAAUGAAUACAAUCAGGAUCUAUUAUAAUGAAACAAACUUCUUUAUCAGAUGUCAUUAAGUAAACUUCUUUUCUUUCUUGUGUGCUAAAGUGAUUUCUUGCUGGCUUUCGAUAGCUAAACGACGAGGCGCUCCCCUUUCUUUAGAGUUAUAGGUUAUCCAAAUGGCUUUUCUUUUUCUCAUAGGUUGAAGCUUACACUUCGGCUGUCGGCAUUGCAUUCCCUUCGGAGAGAUUUUGUGAAGCAGAGAGUUCUCACUGUGCAAGUUGGAUUACUUUACCGAACCUCGCCCUCCUUUCUUUAGACUCGGUCAAGGCAAGGAGUGGUUGGCUGCUCUAUUGAUAGGAAGGGCACUUAUUAAUAUGGAUUAGUGGUAGUAGAUUGAUUGCCUUUUCUAAUAGUAUGAGGCUCUGUAUCCGUGCUGAACUCUUAAGGAAAGAAAGGGUUUAGUUACUUUAUAUGUAAAAGCCUAUUCGCGUAAUGCGUGAGAAGUCUGGCUAGAGUAAGAUAGCAUAUAAGAAAGAGAUGACAAAAACCAAAUAAAGGCAUACGCAAGGGACCUAUGUCAUUAUCAAAUAGCAGAGUAUAGGGCUUCUUACUAAAGACAAAUUUACAUAGAGAGCAUAUGAUUCCAGGCGACGUAUCUUCGCUUUCAUCUUUAUUAUAACACACUUGCAUCACUCCUUAUAAUAUACCACCCAUCUAAAUUACUCUCAUAGGAUGGAAAGAUUCCUACUGCUGCUCACUUCCUUUAUACAGCUGAGUGCUUCCUUUCUUUCUAUUGCUGCUUACUUCCUCUCUAUUCUAUUGCUGCUUACUUCCUCUCUAUUCUAUUGCUGCUUACUUCCUCUCUAUUCUAUUGCUGAGUGCUUCCUUUCUAUUGCUGAGUGCUUAUUCUUUCUCAUUUUAGAACAUCUAAGCUAUUACUAAAGGCUCUGGCUCUGGUUCUGGCUCUGCUCUAUCUGCUUACAGCCAUUUGUUCUUCUUGUUCUUUCGCCGGUAAACUCACUAAUGCUAUUGUUGCUCACUCCUGUAAGCUAACGCACUAUGGUUUCUGGAACUCUACUGAAGUCAAGAAAGAAGCCCCGCUCCCUGCCGGUUCCCUUGCUUGGUAUCUACUGAAGGAAUAUGCUUAGCGCUUCUGGUCGUCAAUGUGCCGCGUACGCUCGUAGCUCAAAGUAGUUUAAAUACGGUUCGGUUGGUUGAAAGAUGGCUGUAGUGAGUAAAGCGAGUGAAGUCAAGUAUAGAGCAGCCGGGCCCCGGGCAUUAACCACAAGAAAGGGUGCCUCAAGCUUCAUUCAAAAAAGGCAACAAGCAGCAAGGGAAUUAGUAGAAUAAGUGAUUUACAAUGCCAAUGCUUCUCUCUGAGUAAGCAGUGUUAGGGGUUCGUUCCUUUCUUUUUCUUAUAUUAUAUCAUGUGCAGCAAGCAAACUCCACUUCUAUUUAAGCUCGCAAGAGGAAGCAAGCAGUCUUUUGUCACUAAAUUCUAUUUCGGUAGCAUUCAAUUCUGCUAUUCAAAAGGGAGUGUAAGUAAACAAAAAAGGAAGAUAAAUUGAGUGUGUGCCUCUGAUAGAAGAAAUAGAAUUGAUUAAAAAACCAGAAGGAAAACUCAGAUAUAUUACUUGUCUUUAAGAACUCAUAUCUAAGCAUGCCCAUCAUACUUAUAUUACUUGUCUUUAAGAACUCAUAUCUAAGCAUACCCAUCAUUUCGAAUAUCGGCACUACCAUGUGUUAAGCAAUGAGAGUUUAGAUGGAAGUGAAGACUUAAGGAGUUGAUAUACCCUUUCUAGCAAGGCCCUAUACUAACUACUUGGAAAGAGGCAAGGCAAAGAGGCGGGGACACCGGUACCGUGUUAUCUAAGUUGAUACUUGUUCCCGCUGGCGAAUGCACCUAUUGUAUAGACUUAUUUACGAACAUCUGACUUCUUUCCAUUAUUGAUUGCGGAUUGCUUACUCCUGGUAUGAGAGCUCGAAUGGGGAUUACUUUAUUAUAGGAGCACAAUGAAAUAACUGCCUAUUACUGGUUUUUUUGUUCCGUGUUGCUGGGAACUCUUUCACUUGUUUGCUUUAAGUAGGAAUUGAGUCUGCCUUUCUUCUCCAUACGAUACUUCUAAAGCUACAACAGUUGGGCGGGGGCUUAGUAAACCAUUCAUGAAAUAAUUAUGUGGUGCACACACAUAUGAUAGAAAUGAUCAACCUCACUGCAAAACAACAAUUGAUAGAAAAAUGGAACUCAACUGCGAAACUCCAACUCCAAUAAGUGUUAGCACAACCGCUUGUUGAAAAGAGGCACCCCGACCCGAGUCGCUUGUUGAAUGGAGGAAAAGAAUGUGCACUACUCUACUAUAAGGACUACUAAUAGAAAUAGGCUCUUAGCACCUUGCUUUCGAUCUACUCGAGUAGCUUGGCUAGUUUGUGUCUUGCGCAACGACUAAUGCUAUAGUAACUUGCGUUAGCAUAAUGUGUUUUCGCCAGAGCUUGUUCAUCCUUUUGAUUCUUCCGUUGCAUGUUUCUCCACUUCUUUGACCCUUGCUGAGGAAGGCUUCUUUCUCGUUGUUUAACCCGUGUCCUGUACCUCGGGGGUCUAUUGCUAAUAAGUCUAUUAACCUGUACCUCAGGGGGUCUAUUGCUAAUGAGUCUCGGGGGUCUAUUGCUAAUAAGUCUCGGGGGUCUAUUGCUAAUAAGUCUAUUAAUGGGGCUUUAUUCCGUGUGGGUUUCGUAAGGUUAAGGGCUAAUGUUAAUCUCCGAUAGAAUAAGAAUGCUUUGGAAGGGUAAAGUGGAAAGGAAUGGCUGAAUUGGAUCUAGCGUUGAUACAUUAUAUAGAACUCAGUCAUUUUCGAAGUGUUUUUCAUAUAUAAUAGAAUUCUUCAAUGAAAAGAACUCCCCAUUAGAGGAGCCAGCCUCAGUCAGUCCCAUCACUCCGGAUUGCUUACUGCUGGCACAAACUCACGUUUACCCCCCGAAAACUCCAAAUCAUGGAAAUGACUUGAAUAGCUUUACUUGGAGAAUUCCCUCUCUUGCGCGCUUACUUUCAUAAUUCCUUCUGAAGCAGACAGCCCAGCAGUUCGAUAAUGGUAGUGACAAAAUCACUAUUCUUCUAUUCCUUCUUAAGCCCCCUAACACGCUAUAUUAGUAAUAGCUUUUUCGGUAUCUUCUAGUUUUAGGAGAGUAUCCAUUGGUGCCCCGAGUGUUGUAGGAUUAUGAAUUAGCAUAGUUUCACAGAGUCAUAUAAUAUAGACGCAAAAGACAACUAUAAGAGUGCUUACGCUUACUUUCGCAGUUGCUGCAGCUUGUUCCGUUGCGAGACGUUAAUCUUUUUAGAAAUCAAUUCUUAACAAGAAGGGCGCCAAGGCCGCUUUUUGCCCAAGCAUCCUUCAAAUGGAGUGCAUCAUCCAUUAUAGAAAUAUGGUAAACAACCACUAUAAUAAGAAUAAAGUAACCAAACUCUAAACUCCUCGCUCUUGCUUUAAUUAAUACUUUAGUGCAAAAUCAUAUUUGAGAGCGUUCCUGCUCCUGCUCUACCUAACAAAACAGUGCUAGCCCCACUUAAUAUGCAUGACAACUGAUCUAAGGGCGGAACCUAACUGCUUGUUAGCUUGUUUUUGCGCGGUUGCUUUCUCUUAUUUAACAGGCUCCUUACUCUAAGGAAGAGAAUUGAGCAUUACACUUAAUAUAGAAUAGAGAAAUAGUAACUCAACUGAUUGACUUCUUGCCUUGACUUUGAUUAUUGGCUUCUGAAGCGGUUAAGUAGAAAAGAAGCUAGAAAGCUAGUAAGUCUACUACCCUUGCCCGAGCUCACUAACGCACAAACAGAACAAAGCUUGUUCCCCGCACAACACCCAAUUGCUUCCUUUAAGAACUCAUAUCGGCAUAGAAAGAGCGAGCAACAACAGUAGGGCCAGCCAGUGAAACUGACUAUAUCCAUAUGGGGAGGAAUUUACAAAAUAAUAGCAGAAUAUAACAUAGCACCCGUUACUACACUCUAAUAAAACGAAAAAGUGAAGUAAGCGUUAGCAAUAGCCACUAUAGUCAUAAUUAGCAAAACUAAGAACUCUCAACUCACACUGCGUACUCUGAGGCAUGGGCACUGAUCUAUACGUUUGAUUGACGACAUUGCCUUUCCCUCAAACACUUGACAUUGCCUUUUCCUCAAACACUUGACAUUGCCUUUCCUUUCCUUUCGCACUCCGAAACUCACUUAUUACUUCUGAAGCCCUAGCUUGUUUCACAUGAUCCGCACAACACCUCUAUAGAAUUAGGUAACCACCUAACAAAGCAUCGCUAAAAAGAAAACUAUUGAAAACCCCACCAUAUUCAUUGUUGAACUCAUAACAUAGGCGCACCCCAGAAAGCGUAAAGUAAGCUAAUGCACAACUGUAACCCGUAAAGUCAGAAGUAAGCGUUAGCGCGUUGCGAGAGUCGAGUGGACUGUUUGCUUUAAGGUAUCGGUUAGGCGGAAAGGGUGCCAGGGAAAUGCAGCCAAAUCUAAGUCUAAAGUAUGUUUUGAAGCCGCCCCAAGAGAGUAAUAUGUUAUAGGUUCCUAUUCCUAUAUAACAUAAGUUGUGCCAUCCAUUCCAUUUAUUAUUUCUCCAUUUAUUAUUUCUUAGUAUUAGGAGCGUAAGUAGCCAAGUAACUAACUUAGAGAGGGCAAACUUCGAGCUAUAACUAAUGGAUUAGGGGUGGAUUUUGGUAUUGCUGGCUAAACGGAGUUGCCUUCCACACGUGUACUGAAACCGGAGUCUGCUACUCGCCUUAGGCAAAACCCGGAGUCUCUUGCUUUAAAGAAGGAAGGACUGAACGGUGGCAUAAAAGCCUUGGCUGCCGCGCCUGAUUCGACUCACUCUUCGAAUUACCCUAGUUCCUUAUUAAUCCAAAUAGCCAUAGUAGAAGCUGAGCUAUCUACCACCUUAGCGAAAGUUAUCAAACAAACAAAGUGACAUUCCCCUCACUUACGGAAAAAGACCUUUACUAGUAGUUCUGGUUAGCCCACUUGCCCGAGCACACUCUAAACUAGUAGAUGCGCCAAUCCUGCGUUACCCCACGAGAACAGAAAAACCAACAAAGCAUUAAGCCCUUAUUUAAGCAUACCCAACGCGGCAAUCGGAACUUAUCGAGAAGAAGAGAUAUUAACAACCUCUCAACAAGUUGCCUCUUACCUCUGUCUCACGACCGCAAAUAGAACCUUCCGCUAACAAGUGUGCCCCGAGUAGAAUCCUACGUAAUACUCUGAAUCUAGUUGUUUGGCUCCUCUGCCUUAAUCUUCUCUUGUAUGCCUCGGUUUCAUUCUUUAGGUACAUCAUUCACUUGUAUCUGGCUGGUAUCAUCGGUUUCUGAUAGAGCCUUGACACUUUUCUCCUGUCUGAACCUACAUAAUGAACUGGGAAAGGAUUACUCGACUACUAUGUCAUGGAGUGAGUGAGGGCGCAGCUACCGGCUCCCCCAGCAUCUCAAGUUCUUAGGCGGGGACAGGAUUCUUCAUUUACAUAGUAUCAAUGCUAUCUUAAGUUGUCUUGAAGUUAUGAAUAGAAGGGAAAAGUAGUAAGGGCAAGAAGGAAUUCUUUUAUGUGAAUAGUAGCUGUACAACGGUUCCAGGAAGAAAUGCCAUCGGUCAGUCCGAGUGUGAGCACUCGUUAGAAAGGCCGGAUCAUUAGAAUCCGAGGCGUUUUCACGUGUUGUACGUACUGAUCGGGAGGAUUUUGCUACUCCCAAACCGAAACCAGAAGAGAAGGCUUUCAGCACCUUGUUUCUAGUCAUGCUGCACGAGGUAGAGGCCGUGGGGGUCGGACGCUCAUCGAUUGAAGUUCACCUCCUACAUGUACUCAUUGUGGUAAGCGUGGUCAUGUCCAACGAUCGGGACCUUUAUGGGCGGACUGCCUAGAACCACUACUUGUUGGGGCAAUCAGAUAGUAUAGUAGCAACAGUAGAAGUGAGUUCAAAAGUGAUUAUAGAAGAUAGUAGCCAGAGUAGAGGUAUAGUAGUAGGAGCAUAACCAGUAACAUCUCUUAUAUCAAGGUGAGAAUUAAGGUACAAGUGGUAAGGGAGUUCAUUACUAGGGAGUUUCAGAGUGAAAGAAAGAGGAAAGAAAGGUGAGCCUACGGUUGGUAUAGAGCACCCACUUAACAGGGUUGGCCAGAAAGAAGUCAACUAGUGAGUUAUCGGAGAGAAAAGAAAGAGAAAAAAGAGAAAAGAAAGACUUUCCUAGGUAUAGCAACAGUCAAAAAUCCUCUGUCUGGGGAUUCGCGCCUAUGUGUGAAGUGUGAAGGAAUAAAACCUGUAGUGGAACCCAGUAAGAAAACUAGUAUAGCAAUAGUCAAAAAUCCUCCGCUCUAAGGGAGUUGUAUAACCCAUGUGUUCAGCAAGUAUAAAAUGUAGUAAAUAGAGAACCCAGAGAAAUGGAGUGGAGUAGUAGAACCCUAGUGUUAAGCAAUGAUCAAAUGCAAUGUUGUUAGUUUACUAUAACCUAUGUGUUCAGCAAGUAUAAAAUGAAGCAAGUAGUCAAUUAAUCCAUAAGAUAGUCAAGGCUUUGAAGCAAGAAAGUCAGAACUCAACAGGAAGGGAAGAAACAUCAGAAUUAGCGGGAGAGCCUGAGUUCACAGAGACGAGGUUAAGUAUCAAGGAAGUCAGCUACUGUCACUACAUCUGCUUACUUGUCUAGUAGUAGCUUGCCGUCUUGUCGUCUUAUCUGCUUGGCCCGUUCGAACUAGCAGCCCUUUAGCGCUACUCUCACAGCAACUGUUACAGUGUGACUAACAACAAAGAACAGUACCAGCUCAUCAGUGGUUCAAGUGCUGUGCCCAGAAACGGUUCACAGAUCUAUGGCUAGAACAAUUUCUCAACGGAUCCAUGGGAAGGAAAUAGAUUCCAAAUAAUCAUUAAAGUAAGUAGCCUUAGUUGAAUAACCUAAAGCACCGGUCUUAUUAUCAACAGCAGAAGCAAUCCGAUGAGGGUCUCUUGGGUUCUCCUCUAUGAUUGACUUUGAUAUGUAUACUUUAGAAUCUAUCUGGAGACAUGGCUAUCGUAUGUCCGCUCUAGUUUUGCUCCGCAUCAAACGUGGGUAUUAUGCAUUCAUCUUCAAAGCGUUAUUCUCAACGGCUUUUUUGACAUUUACACUGGGUGGGGCUACCCGAGCAAUCCGGCUGGGCUGCAUUUGUAUCAUACUCGCCAAGGCUAAAGUUUCGUCUUCACCGGUGACCACAACCCACCCUAUUCAAUGAACUUGUUUUCGUCUUCCGAUUGGGGGGUAAAAACACUCUCCCCCGCUUUUAUCUAGGGUGCCUUUUCUAGUCCAAAUCCACCAGGAGAAUCCAUGGACAGUCUUGAUCCAGAGAGAAAUCCUUCAGACUAACCCGCCCGCCUUUCCUCCAUACAAUUUCCUCUAUACACACACCUGUUAGGAAUAAAUGAGUUUGACUUCCCACAAUUUGGCAUUGUAAAUGGAAAAAAAGAUUGUUCUCUGAGAUGGACAUGAAACUGGAAUCCCAGCAGAUCAUUAUUCCGCUUUUAGUACUGGAUGUCAAAUGAAAGAAAAUCCUGUAAAAUUGUUCUGCGAAGGACUGGCUAGGUCGAAGUGGUUCUUCUCCCUCGAUCUGUCUUCGUUGGAAGGUUGGGUUUUCCCUCUAUCUGGGUGUCCCGUUGAGUGCUACAUCCGGUUGUCUCCCUGUUGGGAGGUUUGGUUUACUUACUUAGUGGACAUAGGAGUAGUUAGUGUACUUAAGAAUCCAAUCCAAUCCAAUAGUCCUGAUGAAUCAAAAUAUAAGAAAGAACAAACCGAAAACAAUUCUUUCAUAAUCUUUAAUAAGAGUGUUCCAAGUUCUCCGAAGGAGUUCCUUCGUUUGCUGGUUGCAUCUUUAUAUAUGAAACCGAACAAUAGAAUUAGCAACUGAGUGAUCGUAGCGAAGUGGGUGCCAAUGGGCUUGAUUGAGAGAUCUUUAUUGUAGGCUCUGCUUAUUCUAGAGCCCUGUUAGCUCUGUGCUCCUCGCUUAUCUCUCUUCUGAAUUGUGUAUAAUUCGAUAGCAGCUUCCCCGCUCUUGUAUGCCUUGCUUUCUUCUCAGUUCUCUAGGAUGGAUUAGUCUAAAUUGGAACCCGAAAUAAUACCCAGUAGUCAGUAGUAAGCCUACCGAUUGCCAGAAGUAAGUUACCCAACUAAAUAAGUGAUGUUAUAGUGCAUUUUCCACCCAUAUCUUUAGGGUUCCCUUUAAGAUCCGGCUUUGAAGCUCUAAGUGUAGAAUGUACUGUUCUUGUGUGAGUUGAAGACAGGGAGUACUUGUUCUUGAACACAGGACUCCAACAACUUUAGCACAACUCCGUCCUUAUGUCCUGAGUUGCUUGUCGGACGAAAAAGGGUAUACUUUCUGGGCCCUUGACUUUGAUAGCCUUCUUCAGCGAGGUGUCGUGUUUCGAGGUGCGUUAGUGAGCUCGGGCUCGGUUAACGCUUAAAUCCUUAUUUCUUUCCCGAUUCCUAGGGCCUUCAAAUGCAUUUCCGUCUAAUAUCUUUGAUUUCGAGUUCCGGGCACAGCACAGAAGAAAGUAUUGGAUUGAGCUAGGAAGCGAGGAUUCUUGAGCAAGCGUUGUUUGUUACCUAACAGCAGCAGAUCCAUCUUAUGCUUACGGUGAACUCACUAUAGCUUUUUUCUUGCACCGAGGAAGAGUCAAACAUGCAUUUCUUAUCUUUUGCGCACGCACAUCUAUAGAAUUAAGUAACCUAACAACUGAACUUGGCUUUAGAAUUAAGUAACCUAACAACUGAACUUGGCUUUAGAAUUAAGUAACCUAACAACUGAACUUGGCUUUUGCUUUUGCCGAACUAGACUUUACGCUUGCUCCGGAUUCUCUUCGGCUUCUUGCUUCCGCUUUAUAUAUAGGUAGGAUUAGACUGCUAGGUAGGAUUAGACUUAUUUACUUCCUGCAACACAAUAACCUCCUCAUAUGUCAGCCUUCUUCCCAGGAUCAGCGGUAAUCUCCCUUGCAUAUGGGUCCUAUAACAAACCUUUUGGUUGGUGGGAAGAAUUGCUUUCUUUAACCACUGCUCCCGUAUCCGAGUGAGUAACAACUUAGCUCCCGUAUCCGAGUGAGUAACAACUUAGCUCCCGUAUUCGAGCCGAGUGAGUAACAACUUAUUGAGUGUCUGGGAGUAUCCCCCGUAUCAAAGAAAGAGUAAGGAGGCAUGUAUCAAUAGCGCUAUGCUUUUAUUAUCUCCUUGCCACCAGGUCAGUAACCAGAGACUUGAAGGCUUUUUGAAUGAAGCAGCUGAGCAUAACGAAUCGAAGCCGAAGGCGGAUCCAAAUACGGUUGCCUCUCCUCUGAAAGAAGAAGUUGACUCUCGUUCCCUCUCCUCUGAAAGAAGAAGUCGACUCUAAUAAGUAAAGCUAUCAUAGUAAUUGACUCUAGGAAAGCCAUAAGUAAAGCUAUAGUAAUUGACUCUAAUAAGUAAAGCUAUCAUAGUAAUUGACUCUGGGAAAGCGGAACGAAGAUCCAAUGAAUGAGCUUGAAAUCCCGUUCAGAACAGUUCAGCUCAAGUUAGUAUGAGUUCCUAGCUUACGGAAUUACGCAAGGUUAUCGCUCAAUGCCAGGAGAUGCUUUUGCCUUCCUAAAUACUGCUAAGGGUCCUUCAUCCAGUAACCUUGUUCCCGCAAGAGAACUUUAGGCACGGGGGUGAAUACAAAUGGCAAAAUGAGAGGCUCGCUUUUUCUCAGAGCUUGCUGGCUCACCUUUCGGGUUGCACUGCCUAGCCCUCUACACCAGCUAAUCUAAAGAAAAUGGCCAGUUCACAAGGGGAAUCGGCCCCAUAGUCCAGCGAAUCUCAAGAAAAGGUCGGUUCACAAGGGGACAUAAGCAUCGGCACCAUAGUAAGGGAGUCUUUCCUCACAGAUUAACACAGUAGGGAGAGCCCUCGAUUCGCUCAUUUCAACGAAGCUCAGUCAGUUAGUUUUGGGCUGUUCCAUUCUUUUGGUAGAGGCUUUUCCGCGGGGCCAAGCAACUACUACUGUGACAGAGGCAAAGAGCCAAGCGUAUACCUGGACUAUCGACAUCCUUAUUAGUGUUGAACUUAGAUCCUUCGUUGAUCGCCUCCGCCCCUGCUGUCGUCUCUGCUUUAUAAGCGUUUCUAUCUUUCUCUGCUCGCACCUGCUGAUAAAAUCGGAUCGACUGAUACAGUAUAUGCUAUCGGUGGAGACUACCUCAACAACAGGCAAUUGGAUCUUGUCCUCUGCUUCAAUUUAUGAUGAAACUGCGGUCGACUCGUUCCGUUCUUGAUCUAGAUACUCUGACUCGGUACCCAGAUGCGACCCGACCCUAGCUGACCCCGCCCCGCUUCUUCUGAUGGGUUGGUUUUCAAUGGGGAGUUACAGUAGUUUUGAAGCAACGAAACAAUCUUUCUCUUAUCUUAUGCGCUCUCGGGGAUGAAUUUCACACCUAUGAGACUCUGGGGGAUUAACCUAACACUGCCACAGCUCGCGCACCCUUUCCAAAAGAAAGGUAUCGUUGCUACUCCGUUGAAUUGUAUCCCUUUUAUUCUUUUCUGCCCAAAGCCCCCACCCGGACAUUCUUAGCAACCUCAGCUGUAGAGAUUAGAUUCAACAUUCCAUUCUUUAAGCAAGGGAAGCAAUGCUUAGUUUUAUGACUGCUACUCUAUAUGUGGAACGCUCAAUUCUCUUCUCUGCCUUUUGCACUCACAUUCAAUGAGAUUAACUUUAAGGGUCGAACAGGAACGAACAGGAUCGCGCAGUAACGAACUGGAAUGGAUUUCUAAGGGAGUAAUAACGAAACUACUAAUAAGGAAAAUUCGAAUAAGAUAAGGGAAAGUCCGCCUAUGAGCAGGGAAUGUUAGACUAAAGGCCAGUAGCAGAAAGACCAGCAUAAGCACAUAAUCAAUAUAAUAUGUAGUUCAUGUCAGGUUGAAAGCCCAAAUCCCGAUCGGUAACUACAGACGGAAAGGCAGUGUAAGUUUCAGAGCGCGGAUAGUCGGGCUUGGCUACUACCCUGCUGGGUAGUUCAGUUACUUAUGAGUUCAAUUAAGAGUUUUCUACUUGGACCUGGGUAACCAAUGAUGUUACUGCUUGGUGUGAAUCCUAGGUUGAUUCUACUACCUAUACAGACUACUGAUACUGAGACUAUUACUUAGUUGUUAACUCCUUACUUCUUAGUGCGAUUCCUUUACUUAUGGGUUUCCGUCUUAUCGGGUAGGUCGUGAUUUCUUGUUAUCAGCAGUUCGAUUCGAUUCUUGUAUAUGCUACAUCUCAUCAAUCCCCACAUUGCUAAAGAAUAAGAGUAAGGGCUGUAAGGCUGUCAGGCAUUAGUUGCUGAGUUGGUGUUGGGAAUAGCAGACUGAUAGGCAAGAGAUAUUGGCUUAGUUCCAAUGGGCAGUAUAUAUAUGCGGAGUUCCAAGUCCCAUUCUUAGGUUUCUAUUCUGGGUGUCGUUAUUUCAAUCUUGUCGACACUGGAUUUAUUCUGUAUUAGCGGCAGGGUUCCUACUUAUUAGUUUACGAAGACAUCAGCAGGACAUAACUAAUAAGAAAUACAUAAUGGGGGCAUUGAGAGCAGGGUCCUAAGCCCCUAAAGACAUUAGUGGCAUACUUCAGGGUGUAUGCGCGCCUGAGACCUAAGCGGAUUAGUUAAGUAGUGACAGCAAAGAGAUAGGGAAUGCAAGGGACAAUUAGAAGACUGGCUACCCGAAACACGGGAGUGGAAGUAAUAAGUACAAGAACCUGGCUACCUAUUAAUAAGACUAAACCGAAAGCAUAUAGUAAUGAGAGAGCGCAGUCGCAGUUUUCUGCUAUAACUAAAGAGUUCAAGAAGCAAUACGGAGGCUUAAGGUAAAGAGUAGAGGACAACAACUCAACAGUCGGAAUGAAAGCAAAGCAUACCAAGAGUGAAGGUCAAGGUAGUUAGAAUCAAGGCAAGGAUGGUUAUAAUGAGAAAGGAGAGCGAGAGGCGGUAAUCAAAGACAAAGUAGGCUCAGACUCCAACAGCAGAUCGGGAAUUCGAAUAAGUAGUUGAUGUUUGAAACUACAACACUAGUAAGCGAAACUGGAACACAGGAGUUUAGGGAACAACUAAAAGAAUGCAAGGCAGGAAUGUCAGGGCAACAUAAGAUAAUAUGUGAUGGUCGUGUCGGGUAUUUCGAAUUCAAGCAAAGAGAGGCGGGCUACGAAAUAGUUUAGUCAAAUAAGAUCCUAGGGGCGAUGGGAGGGUAAUACUUUGGAGUUCGUAGUGGAAGGCCUAUACGCUUAAAUACAAGAGUUAGAGGAAGGGGUUCAAGACCUAGUUAUUAGUUCAAGUAGUGUUGGGCGCCAGUUUGAGUUUGAGUUCCCCGUUAAAGUAAUAGAAGCACUGGUUGGUUAUAGGCUCAUAAGCUAAUAAGUAAGUAAGGAUCCGGUUCAGCAACUAAUAGCCCUCAAAGAAGUGGAGCGGGCCUGCCCCCACAAACGACUAUUCUUAUGAAACUACAAAUCAGUCUGCCCUUCCUCACUUACUUCCUCUAGUCAACGAUUGAAACAGACUUGACUGUCUACUAUACGGGUCUACCCUGCCUUGCUUGUUAGUUCGAGCCUAUCUCGCCUAAAUCUUAUUUGUCAUAUCAACAACUAGAUCUUUCUGCCACAUAUCCAUGCGUUAACACAUAGGUUCUAUUACUAUAAUGGAAUUACUAUACGAAAACACAUGCUAUUAUUAUAUAUCAUAUGAAAACGUUAGAGUCAAUAGUGGGUGCCAAGGGAAUGCUGCGCUACCUUAUUCAUUAGAAUCAGAAAAUGUAAGUAAACCCUGUCUUACUUACUAAGUAGUCAAUCUUUUACUCACCGGCAGCAUAAAGCCUUAUUCAACAGCAGUCCACGCCUUACUAUAUCUAUACAUUUCCAAGCCUUCCCUUAAAUCAUUUCACUCUCCAGCUGAUUACUUGUAUUUUUUGACUACCUGAUCCCGGGUCCUUUCACCCAAACUGACAUUGCUUUACCUGAUUCUUAAUACUCUUACGCCCUUCCCCGUGGCUAGCUCCUCAAACAAAUAACGAGUUUUGUUAGCUGGGUUUCUACCCUUGUAUGCCUGAGCUCAAUUCGCUAGGCAGUAGUCAAUUCUUCUAUAUUCACUAGUUCGACUCCGCCUCUAUGGGCGCUGUAUCCUAUUCUGAAUAUAAGUAAUAUAAGUAAGUAAACAAAAAGAGCGUAGCUAAAGUGUGUUCUGGACUUCCCCUACUGCCUACGAGGCUUGCUUUCCCGUCUCUAAGCCCCACAGCUAUAGGCACCAACCUCUACUUGUUCUUUCCAUGCCUAUGCUCCAGCUAAAGUAUUAACUACUGAGUUGAAACCGAGCCUAGAGCAAUUAACGUAUUACUUCCCCACGUAUCUAAGGCUCUUACUCUGGGUCCUUUUUUCUUCUUGUAUACCGGGCAGUGGGUUUGUAUUGCUCCCUAAAGUCACCAGAACGGAUGAAGGGCUAUUACUAACGACUUUCAUCGCACAACUCACUUAUUUCUGUGAUUUAGACCUAACCCCGCUUCGCUCAAGUAAGCUUCUUUGAGUGCUGCCCCAACUCUUCUUUAUCCUUUUUGCAAAUCCAGUUUAUACAUCUGAUCCUCCUCUUUGCUUUUACUACUCAACCUUAUACUUGUUGGUAUCUUCUUUAUGGACUUUAGGCUUAUGCUGCCUUAACUCAAGAUAGGGAAUGGAGCUACUCACUAUAGGCCUGUAACUACUGAUAACCAUUCUCCAUCUAUUGAUCAAACUAAAACUGCUUACUCGCAUGACCUUUCUCUUGUUUUGAAACUAAUAGUAAGUUAGCCUGCCUCUACUGGUUAUAAUUCCUAAACUCCGGGUAAUGAUCUAGUGCAUCUAAUCAUAGGAAUAGGUCUAAGAGCACUAAGCAACAAGGCAACAAGAAAAAUCAGUAAUAUGACCAAGAAUAAUAAGUAUAAUAAGUAGAAUAUUACAUAGAACCAAACUCUGUAUUAUAAGAAUUGAGGUACAGCCCAACGCAUAUAGGUAUAAGAACGUUCCACAGAGAAUAUGGAAGUGAACUCAGCCAGCAGCCAGCAGCUGACGCUGACCUUGCUUCACCGGCGUAACAAUCUUACCUCCACCCGGGCAUAAUCCUACUCGUUAGCUGCGUUCCUCUCUUAGGCUUACUCCCUUCUCUAAGUUUCUGGUUCCUGCCUAUCCGCCUGUCCCCCACACUGCUGACUUCUAUUCUUUAACUAAUAGAACCCAACCUUUUACCUCCUCUUUUCACCUAUGAAGCCUGCUACUAUUGAAUGCAAUUCUGGAGUGAUGCUGCCAAACCCCCACAAUAAUAUCGUACUUGAUUCCAUCUAUAGAGUUCCAUUCCAUGCCCUACUCCUUUAUGCUUAGACUAAUAAGCUCCAGUCUGAUACUCGGAUUUGUUCUUCGGAAACAACUGCAGUAAUAACUUCUUAAUAACUAAUAUAUUAGCGGACCUGCCUUGCUUUAAGUCUAUCUUUUCUUUCUUCAAUGCCUUAGUUCAUUAGCUUCAUCUUAAUUCUUCUGUUUACUGACAUCAAUUAUUCCUUUCUCAUAUGAUAACAAAACGGGCUUUCUGUUUUAGAUAAAGGAGUGGACUAGUGAAAAGGUGAAGUCAGAACGGAACCACACUCUGUAUUAGUAGAAAGAAGUAAGGGACGUGCCCUACAAUACAAGAAAGAAUAAGAAAAACGGAAAGAGUUGAAUCACUGGUAGCGCAUCCACUAAGAGAAUAAUAGCUGUAAUCAGAUAUUAGAAUAAUUGCAGUAAUCAUAAGAACGGAACCCGGAGGCACAGUGAAAGAACGAAAUGAGUACAAGUAAGGCUGUUGGGUAGCAUUUUCAAAGAGUGCUAUAAGUAGUUCGAGGCUAAGGUGUAGUAAAGCCAGGAUGGGGAUCCGCUGUUAGAGAACGCAGGGAGGGAGUCACAAACAGACCUAUACCCAAACCCAAACAUAGGAGGAGGAAUGCAAGGACUAUUAUCAGAAUUGAGCACAUAACUCGAGAGGAACUAAGCACAUAAGAUAGCCUGCCCUUCUGAACUCUAAACCUGAUGCUGCUUUCUCUUAUUUGGAAACCUUGAACAAUAGGUUAGUAGGGCGUAUAUCAACUCUCAUAAGAAGGGGCUAUUUCGGCUAGUUACUAUUAGAAUGGGGCUGGUGCCUUGCCUAUAAGACAGCAAACAGUGCUUCCAAGCAUUAAACACAGAACCGACUUACUGAUAAUCAGAAUCGAUCUACCGACAAACAGGCCAAAGAGCUACUGCUUCCAAGACAACAACCACUGCUUAUAGGACUUACCCCGGAUCGAACAGCCACUUAUGAGAAUGGAGUAAUUGGCAAACAGGCUCUAACUACUGAUCCAGAUCUUCACUUGUGUGUUGGGCACGUUGCCUAGUACUAAAGCAAUAUAAUCAAUAUAAGUAAACAGAAUCAUAUCAAUAAUACAGAAUUCAUAUCAAUAAUAUAAGAUAACGGAAUUGUUCUCAUAACUCGAGAUUGAACUUAUUAGCCCUCUCUUUCUCCUCGGUAAACCAACACAACACCCCUCGCUUUCGUUCUUCAACGAUAAUGAAUUCCAAUUCUUCGGCUCCUUACCCGCAUUCUGUAGUUCGAGAGUGACUCUGCCUAUCCUCUAAAUGAUUCUGACUGUCCUAUCUCUAUGUCUCCCGCUCCUUUCCCUUAUUCCUAUGUUCAAUUAUUCAUAUGACAUUACCUUCUCUUAGUUCCAAUCAAUAGUGAGUCCGCCUAUCCACUUUGACUCCCCUUAUUAUUAUUAUAUUAGAGACUUUCCUCCACCCCGCUUUUAGCUUGCAGCCCCGACUAUUCGUAAUAAGUGAGAGGCCUCUCAUCUGAUCAACUCACUAUUCCUAGACAGGGAAAGCUGGCAAAGCAAAGAUACGACUUCCUGCCAUUGGAACGAAGCAAGAGGACAAGAAAGAACCGAGGUAAAGACACCUGGCGAACCAUAUCCACACGCUCCCGCUAUACGACAACAACAUAAGGACAAGAGGAAAGAGCUAGGAAUGUACCAAUGGAAAGAGAGCACCGGCAUUGCACCUUACUUGAACCACUUGGCCCGCAGGGGCCCGCCAGGGAGAGCCAACCUUCAAGGAUCUCUCCGGAUGCCCGUAUCCUGAUAGCCAAGAUUGGAUGCCGGCGGAACCUGUCUGGGCCUUACACGAAGUCACUUCACUCGCGGACAAAAAAGAAAUGGAACCUCACAAGCCAUAGAAAAAAUAGGCUACUUCGACUCCUAGACAGAAGAAGAGAGAGUAGGAAUGCAUCGACAGCUGGGCGUGUGGUCUUAGUAUAUUCCUACUUCAACCAACCCGACUUCGAAGAAUCAAAAGCACAGACCGAAGCAGACGGAAUAGAAUAAGAAAAACGCUCGUAGUCUUACCCUCGUUCUCCGAACCAACUUACCAACUUCAGGUAAUAGACCUAAAGAAAGAAUAGACCUGCUAAUGGAAGGCUAACGUACCGAAUAGAAGGCUUGCAAUCCUAUUUCUAAAGAGAAUUCCAGUAGUCCUCUCUAAAGAGAAUCCAAGUUUGAUCUCCCGGGUCGUGCCAGUUAGACAGGAAGAAAAGAGAAAUACCUUCCUUCAAGGAACAAUCAAACUAGAAGGUUCUUUCCAUUUUCUGAAACAUGCUAUCAGAGAACGAGCUUUAGAAUCCUGCUCUCUCUACCUGCUGACUGCUAGCUUUAGAAUCCUGCUCUCUCUACCUGCUGACUGCUGGCUCCAUCUAAAUCAAAGAAUGUGGACAAACCACUUAUGUAAGUAAGUAACCUGACUGCUAUUAAUUAUCUUAUAUCUAUUUCUGUAUCCAACUCAAGAAAUGUGCCCAGCUCAGGCAUUCUAUCUGUGCCGAGUAGUGCUUUCCCUUAACUUAAUGAGUAGUGGCCUUUCCUUUGCUUGCUUAGCUUUCCCCUGUGUAUAAGAAGCGGUUAAUAAGUGUUGGCUAAAGUCAGCAGAAGAAUUGCCAGUGAUAGUGACAGGUGCAGAGUCCAAAUAAUCCAGAAAGGUAAGCAGUAGAAAAGUCAUAAGUGGUAAGCUAAGCUGGACAGAAAGAAGUUGUUUCAUCCCAUAUAAAAGAAGAAAGAAAAAGAGCAUCAUAUCUUUUCGAAUACCCAAUACACUACACGUAGCGGUUAAGGCAAUUCAUUCUGUUUGUCUUUAAGGUUAUGUUUAGAAAGUAUAGAGCCAGGAGUGGAUAGGUGAGUUAAGGUAAAGAUCCAAGAUGCUGCCCUUAAGUUAAUGGGUAAAGUAGAAAGGAAACAGGCGCAAGAAGUCCUUUACUUAAGGUCUAGGCCGAGCAAGCCCCACAAGUUCUGUUGAUUCAAAAGGUUGAGUUGAUAUGAUUCCGGGGUGCUCUUAACCAAGUUCCGUCUCAUACACUCCAAAUUCAUUUCUGGAACGGGGAAGAUCAGAUGAUAGGGAAACCCCUACCCUCUUGGUUUCGAGAUCCUAUAUGGAACCAUUUGAACGUCCAUUCGGGCCUCAUUCUCUUCUCCUCACGUUUCAGUCAGAGCUCCGAAAUGACUUUGCCUCAUAAACCAGCACUUAAUCCUAAUCGCCCGUUAGCUAGCCCUACUUUUCUUUUGACUCGUAAAAGGCAGUUCAAUCCCCUUUUCUACUUUUAUACAAUAUAUUCCAUCCACUUUCCAUCCACUUUUCGAAUUUUCUACUAUGAUAUAUGGAACAACUAGGCCAACAACUUGACUUAGCCAUUCUUCGGAUCAAACACCCCUUCUCCUGCCGAAGUGCCAAACUACGGGAACUGGUUUUACCUCACUCCGCUCGCCCACCAUGGAGUUCUGAAUGAAGCUCUUUCCCGCGCAGGCAAUAGCACUACAUUGUCCCCAGCUUAUCAAUUCCAACAAGAAUAGGUCACUUUGCUGAGCGGAACAAACGAAUGAAUGGGUAAAAGCUCUCGCCUUACCGGGGUAAAGAAGGGUCUCCGCAUUUGAAACUCAACCCCUCGGACCACUUUCCUUCCAUACCCAUAGGACCAAGGGCUCGUACCAACCUAACUCUUUUAAGACACCGGGCUCUUCACGAAAACAGAGCAAAGGUGCUCCUUAACAACCUGAGCCACAUCCGCCCAUGGUGGGCAAUCCCAUCAGUUCUCAGUUCUUUGGAUUCAAUUCUAUCCAAAAGAAAGGGCCCAGGUAGCCUAACAAAUGCGUCUUCCGCUAUCUUAUCUAAUUCAAAACCACGGUCACUUCCACUUGCCUAGCUGAUAAAACCACUGUCUCAGUAGCUUCCUCUGGAACAGCAGCGUAUAAAACAAAUAAUAAACAAAGAUGUGAGAGCUUGAUAUACCUAAGCUAAGGGUUCUCGUCACAAUGAUUAGAUUUCUUUUCAAGCAAGAGUAAUUCAUUCCUUUUCGAUAAACAAAAGUAGGCCGUUUUUAGUAAAGUAAUAUAGAGUUAUACAAUUGGAGUAAUAUAGAGUUAUACAAAUAAGAGUGUCAUUCCUUUCGAGAAAAUGCCCAUCACGCCUCUGCUCUGACAGUCCCUUCAUGCACUGAUUCCCGUCAAGCACUCGUGGUGGAGAGUCGCGUGCCACUCACUGUGGUUGCAUCCGAGUUUUGGUGGAACCUCGCGUCCCUGCGCCUCACUCAUAAGGUAAGGUAAGGGCUGAAGAGGGGCUCGAUGAGGAAGAUCUACUUCUAAUGAGCCUGUGUCAGUGGUUGGACAAUUGAGACCAGUAGUUUGGACAGUGGAAGUGGAAAUGCAAUCCCAAUCUGAAUCUGUCGAAUCCGAAGCCUCGGUGGGGCAUUUUGAGUGUCUAAGGGCUCAAGUGAAGUUGGCAAUCAGAAGCAACGACGGUGGGGGCUCUCACUCAAUAACGGCGUGCAUACUAGGUCCCUAAAGGCGCUUGUGGCAACCCUUCACACAGAGCAGAGCAAUAGAAAGUUCCCCGCCCGGAGAAGCGAGAUCUACUGUGGUAGGAUUUAGUUCUAGAGUUUCUACUAGUUAUCCGGGUGAAAUGUAAAUCAAUUCAUAUUCGAUGCCUUGACUUGAGUUUGGGAUUCAUUCGAACCAAAAUGAACUACCCCAUUACAAUAGGGUGACGGGCUGCCAAUCAGAUUGACUUUGUGCCGUUACGUAUUUGCCUUGGCGUAUAUCAUAUACGGCUCGGGGUAGAUGGCAGGCAGUCCUAUAAGUAUAAGUAUUGGUUUAGUCCAGAGUAAGAUCAUACUGUUAUUGGUCUUGGUUUUCGUCCAGUAAGAUAUAUAGGAGAUAUGGGUCUCGGUUUUCGUCCAGUAAGAUAUAUAGGAAACUUUUCUCUCAGAUGAAUACCGUUCUGUUAGACCCGAGCGACUAUGACCAGGAGGAGAGCUCAAGUAAGUGGCAGUAUAAGCUUAUUUGGAAGGUAAUGAAGAAGUGGAAGAAAGGAUGAGUGGAGAACGACUUGAGUUUUGGAUUUAGCAGCUCCAAGUUCAUAUUAGGCCUUGUGCUUGUUCGCUCAUCAAGGAGACCUACGAGUACGUCUGUGACUUGAGUUUGGCGGGCCUUCCGCUAGCCCCAUAGAGAAAAGCUUUUACCUGGAACACCCUCAUGCUUCCACUUUGACUGCCGUUUGCUCCCAUUGAAGCGUUUGCUCGCCUCUUUACCUGGUCCGGUCGGACCUGGUGGGAACUACUACAUGAGCUUAGAAACGAGAAAAAGGAAAUGGGCUCCCCUGCGACAAAGGAAGCGAAUUUAGCACUUAACCCACACCGACUUUUGUAAGAUACCAAUCAGGGGCUUAUUCACGUCUGGUAUUAAUGUAACGUAACGGGCAGGCAGCGCUCACUACUUCGUGCUUCAAUUGACACCUCUUCCCGACUCACGUCAGAGAGCCUCCUCACGGACAACACAACGGCUAGAAGAGAGGAAGUAAGAAAGAGGGACAGCUAACACACUGUUGAAAACAAAGGUAGUUAGUUUGGGCUUCGCCAUCACCUUACUUACUGAAACACACUCCAACUUAUACUAAUCAAAUAUUCCAGUAUUUAGAACAGCUAGGUACCGGAGCCCCAGAGUGAAGGACACCUUUUUAGUAUUAUGAUUAUUCGAUUAACUUCAAGCCAACUGAACCAAACCUAACUUAUUAUUUGGAUGAAACAAAGACUGUAACUGCCGAGUGCCCUAACAUUGAUUUGACUCCCGGCUUAGCAUAGAGGACCAACGACCUUACGUCUCCAACCGAGUUGUUAGUUUUUUGGUAGUCCACUUAAGAGCGAGAAUCAUGAUACUCAAGGGGCGGGUUCUCUGGGUCAGCAACGGACCCUGGCUUUCCUUUCCUUAAGUUGAUAUUGGCCUAUAAGAAAGAAAGAGGAUUUUGGGAACAGUUUGUAAAGUCAAAACCUGUCUUGCGUAGGACAAGAUUGAGCGGAAGAAGCCGGCUUGUUGCAACCGUGACCCAUUCUAGAGAAGCCAUGAGUCAGUUUCUCUAUGCACUUUCUCACUGGAUUACCAAAGAAAGGUGAAAGGAUUUUGGGUCGAUUACCUUACGGCGAUAAAGGAUUAGACGGUUCAUUUGGAAGCCUUUGGAAUCUUAUUCUUUCAAAUAUACAGAAGUAGUCGAUGACUAAAAGAAAAGGUGCUGAAAGCCUAAGGCAAGGGGUCAGGGUAGUCUACGAAUUGUUGGUCCUGACUAAUGGCGGAGGGAGAGCGUAGCAGGAACUUUCUUUCCUGGUUGUAAGGUCGGUCUAUAAACCAAUAGAGGUCAGAGUUUCGAAAAUCCCCGAGAAGUGUGGUGUAUGGGAAUGGAGAAGUAAGCAUUCGAGUACAUUGUUGCAGACGCCUAAAAAGUGCAAUCACCCACCGACAUUUGCAUAAGAAUAAUCCGAUGAAAUCAUACAUAGCAUAGGUGCAUCUUACCUAAGAACCAGAGUAUAGGGCCGCUCUUUCCCAAUCCGAACCAGCUGAAUAGGCCUAUGUAGGGUCGUAAGGCUUCCUUCAGUGAGUGCGUAAACAGAAACUCUUUAAGAUGCCGAAUCAGAAGAAUCAGCUGAAACUAGAGAAAGAGAAGUGUAUAAGCAAAGAAUCCGAAGACGCAUAGGAACCCCAAUCACCUAAAGCAUAAGUAUUCAUCCGAUAACGCCACUGGUUGCCGUUGAUGGCCGUUGCAACAGCCCCGUGAGAACAGAACAAAACGGAUUGCUUAUUGUUUCUAUGAGUCGACAGGAGAAGCACCGCUCAAAGGAACUUUAGCUAGGUCAUUUUUACCUUGUUUUAUGAAGGUAUUUAGUACUCGAAGGAAAAAAACCUCGAAACCGGGUUGUAGCUUAUGGUGCUUUCUUCCCUUCCUAUUAAGCCUUUUACUAUUAGCUUUUUGACCUUGUUUUCCGAAGAUAGCAGCAAUCCCCCUUUUUGAAAAAAAGUAGAUACAUAAAGUAGAAAGGUAUGGAAUUGUUCUUAGCUUGGCGCGCUUGCUUCCCUCUAAAGAAGCCCUAACGCUUUGAAGUCUUAGGUUAAUCACUCCAUUCUUUCCGUACCGACCUGACCUCUCUCGAAGCAGUAUUUCCCUGAGCUGCAUAUCAAGUUUCUUACGAACUAACAUAUCUUUUGUCUCCUGAACCAAAGGAUCCCUUUUCUCCCGCUCCGCUUUUUCCGAAUCAACAUCUAAUUGUAGCUAGGUCAGUCAUAGGGUUAUUUCCAGUCUAGUCUAGAAUCAACACCAAACUAAGCUAAACCUUAACUACGUAAAAUCUACCUGUGAAAAGCUGCCAAGGAAGGAACCAAAGCGCUAGCUACUCUCCGAAAACUAGCUGCAGUGAAAGGCGACUUGAGAGUCAGAAGUGGAGAAGGAAGCGACAAGUUCCUCAGAUAGGCACGGACACUACCCAUUAGGGGUACUAAGCUUUCCCCGGGCAGAAGUCUAGCUCCAUUUUCCAUGUUGAGCAAUGCCGAUACUGCGCGCAUGCUGAUAAACAUAAAAGAACACUUCUGCUUUAAGCUAUAGCUAGGUCGGAGCCCCUUUCUCAUAAAGUGGAGUCUCUUCUUUCUUUCCCCAGUUACAGAGGAUUGACUAACCCCAUGGAUAUGUUGUCGAGGAUUGACUAACCCCAUGGAUAUGUUGUCGAGGAUUGACUAACCCCAUGGAUAUGUUGUCAUCACAUUUAGCUCCGCCUGUUAUAGCAAGCAAGCAAAGCCUACUUCCACUUUGUUGGGAGAGAAAUCCUUCCCCUAAUGCUAUUUGAUCAGCGGAUCAUAAAUGAGCCCAGCUUGGCGAAACUCCACCGUGAAAUAUGCGGGUAGCUCUUCACGAAAGAUUGUUGGCAUGCCUCCCAUAAGAAGGCGGAUAAGGAAACCCAUGAGAGCGCCUUGUCUUGUUCGAAUCUUUUUCCUAAAGAAAGAGCAAUCGAUUACUAUACUAGUGCAUGCAAACUGCAAUCUUAUAGAGCACCUUGAUCCUAUUGAAAAGAAAGGGCUCAGGCGAGAGGGCCUAAGGGUUAAUAAGAGUUCAGAGAAGGUUGGAUCCGGGAAGGCUUAUAAGCCCGAGCGAGGGUUGGUUUUGAACCCUGCAAAAGCAAAUGAAUUCGAUUCCGAGAUGAUAGGUUGGGGCUGGCUUGGAAGGCUAUUUUGCUACAGGGGAUGAUUAAGCGAUAAGAGGGAAACCACACUUUUCUUUCUCCCGUUUGUUUGUGGAUUUCCAAAGAAGAAGUAAGUGUAAUCGAGUAAACAAGCAAAUAAGAUCUGAUGCUUCUAGAUUUCUACCGUUUGUUUGUGGAUUUCCAAAGGAUAAGUCAGUGUAAUCGAGUAAACAAGCAAAUAAGAUCUUCCCUUAGAGCCAGGAAAUAAUACAAUGGGAAUUGGAGUCGCUUUUUCCUCUUUUUCAAUAUAGCUUGGGGUAUUAUUUCUAUUAGUAUUGUCCCACUGUUGCUAGUUGCAUUAUUGGUGGAAGGCUAAAGAAAAGAGGCGGUGUAGCGAGAUGACUUGGAGUGGAGCCUAGACCUUUCAUAAGGAUUGGUUUAUUCCACGUCUUUGGGUCCGGUGGUCACAGGGAAUCUUGAAGCGGCUAAGGAGUGACUCGGGAAAGGGAGAAUAGUUACGGCUAAGGAGUGACUCGGGAAAGGGAGAAUAGUGACUAAAGGUGCGGUUUGGAAGGUAAGGUCGGGUCGGCCACCUCUAUAUUCUCUUUUGACAUUCCAUCACCUCGAGGAGGAGUAAAUAGCAGCAUUCCGUUGGAUAGUUUUCGGGUGUUAAGGUUAAGAAAGACAUUGAAUCGAGGUUGGAUUGACUGGCUAGCUUGGGCUAUCCUAUCAACGAAUAAUUCCUUUCCCUUACUUAACGAGGAGAGAGAACCCUCAAAUAAGCUAACGAAAGUCAUUCUAUAGUAGCCUUGAUUCCGGCAACCACAAAACCGAGCGAGGGGGACUUCCAUAAGGCUAAGGAAAAAGAAGACCACGUGUCGGAGACCAAACGAAGUCAAGACAGUAAAGACAAAGAGUAGCGAGAGGCAUUUCUCCUUGGUCUUCUUCUCUUCUCCGAUUAGGUAAAGAAAAGCUUGUUCGAAUCGAGUCAGUGUUCAUAAAAGAAAGGACAGUUAUUUCACCGCACGCAAAGGCUGUAAGAGAGAACUAGAUUGCUUCUUUGACAAGCCAGAUGGGUUAUUUAAUCAAAAGAGAAAAUACACAAGUGUUGUGAAAAGAAAGUGAGAGUCUUGCUGGAAUAGGUUGUUUAUUUAAUAUAAGAGCUAGCUAAAGCCCCCGAACUGGGCGAACAAACCAACUUGGGCAUUGCCAAACCAACCCCGCGUCUCCCAGGGCUUCCCUUUCCCCAAUAAGAAUGCAUGAUGCUUAUUUCCUGUUUUCUUUCUACUAGCACAUGGAUCGUGAUAACUCUCUUUCUUAUAGAAUGAGGGGCAGUUUCCCUUAGAGUAAUGCGUAUGACCAGACGGAAGCUGAUGAAUGGUUGUCGACUCUGAACGUAGUUCAUGGCACGGUUCCCCCGACCCCGCACCAUUACUGGCAGGCGGCAUAAAGAAAGCCCCAAUCCGCAAGGCUCUUAGCACCUCUUUGGGUUUCAAUUCAUUCUGAACUUCAAUAGCAUAGCCAGAGUAAGCGGAGCAAGUCCCUUCCUUGAUAAGCAGAGAAAGGAUCAAAGAGAAGAAUCUCCGUGGUGAGCAAGCAGUAGCCGAACAAUCCAAAGGAGGUACUAGGAUUCUUGGUAAGAUUGAACUACAUUGCGCAUCCCACAGCUAACUGCAACUUGUGAGCCUAUUUUGAAGCUACUAAAGAAGAGAACAGCCCUUCCAAGUGGGAUGAGGAGUGUAAGGAGGCGUUUGACAAGAUAAAGUAGUCUUUGAUAAAUCCACCUGUUAGAUCUCCUCCGUCUCCGGGGAAGCCCCUACUGCUGUACCCUUUAUUGACAGAAUAACUUGUCUUUGUUAUCAGCCUGGAGUUUUUGUAUAGUGCUGCUAGGAGAGCUCACUAAGACUAGGAGCGGAUUCUAUACCAGUCACAGCGUAUUCUGGGCAUCAAUGCACUAACUCCUUCGCUUAUUCACCCUUAACCUCGUUCUUGGUUACGCGCGCCGUCUACUCUGUGCAUACACUAGGGCUCUCAAAUGGUCGACUGCGAAACACCUUGUCCUGGAAUUCAUUCGAUUUCUAUUUCAUAUUCCCCUUGUUCCUUGGAAAAGAUCUUCUUAUUUAUUAUAUAUUAAUAUGGAAAGAUCUUCUUAUUUAUGACUUAUAGAAUAAUAUGGCUGGAAAGCCUGAGUAAACAAAACAAGACAAGGGAAAAGCAACACAAGUAAAGAUUGAUGUAAUUGCAAGGGUGCUAUAAACCCCCGGCUUACCAGAGUUCGUAAAGUCAUUAAGAGUUCGAUCGAAACUGGGAGAGUUAAGGCCGUUAAAGUUCAUAUACUCAUAUGUAGAUGUAGUGCUUUUCAAAGCCGACUGAUAUUGAUAUAUAAGAGAGGCUGAAGCUAUUGCCUUGCGAUGAUCAUCUUCGGUGGAUCGAACCCAUACUAACAAGCUGCAGUUAGGAGCUCCGGCAGAAAUAGGUGAGUUGGGGUAGAUUUAAGCAGGGGCAUGAAUAGAUCGUGCUUGCACCGGACAGAGAGGCUGGUAUACAGAGGGAAUCUCUUGUGAUAGAUGAGCCGUAGUCCUGGGACAUGAGUCGAGAGGUACUCUAACCUAGCCAUAUGGUUGGGGUGGCAGAGAAGUCAGAGUGCAAUUGGAGACUUCACGACCCCGGCGUCAAUCCUGGCAGCAAUCCUUCAGGGAAUCUAUUACACUCAUUCUAUCAAUGACUCGCCUUAGAUAGCAUCUUAGAUGGCUGAGCCCUUAUUGAAUGAAGCAGGGCUUGACUCCACUCCUUCCCUCCUAUCUUGAGCCUUGACUCCACUCCUUCCCUCCUAUCUUGAGCUUUGAAGCCAGAGUUAGCGUACUGAUAGUGGGGCACUACGGAUUGAUAAUAAAGAUAUGAAAAGACGGAAACUACAGCCUUCCUUUGAUUUUAUGGUUCAAUACCUUCUCUGGCCCAUGAAACAAGAUUGGAAUUGAACCGCUCUAAGCCAACAAAGAUUUCUUACCUAGCUUCAAAGCCUGUAAUUGACUCUGCUACUUACUAUAUGGGCCCGACCCGAACUCCUCUCUGCUAACAGAAUGAGGCUCCUCUCCGGUAUUUCACUAACAAAGCUACUACUAGCAUUCCUAACAAAGCUACUACUGUUCCACUCUAACUCAGAACUCGGGAUUCCACAACUACAUUAAUCGUAAAGGGCAGUCCGCUGAGCUACACUUCCCGCGCGCAACUCUCAAUCUGGUCUUAAAGCCAACUACUCUGUUGCUACUAGAUUCUUCUUAUUUCCCCAACUCGUUAACUGGGGAUGAAACUAGAACAGACAAAUACAAAUAUGAAGUAGACCUCGCUUCAAAUCAAAUACCUGGAAGACGAGACAGAAGUAGAUCUCGCAUCAAAGGCAUCGCAGCUGACGCUGCCCUCGCAUCAAAGCAAGUCAGAUAGUCUGCAACUUACUAGAAGGGCUUCUCUACUUCCUCUUUGAACUAUCACAAGAACAGGACUCCCGGAGACGAACAAAGGACUUGAAGUGCGGACUACCGAAGUCAACUAAUUCCGAUUUCUUACGUACACUCCGAGCCUUACUAUGAAGCUUCCAACUCGCGAUGCAACUCUCACUUACCCUGGACUACCGGGCAAUGAAAUAAGUGUCAUCUACUAUGAAUGAAACGACCCCUAUACCGAUCCCUAUCCAUACGCGCCUACCCGAGUAAGUAAACUACUAAGUCAGUAAACCAACCGACCCGACCCUAGUAUAGGAAUUCCACUACUACGGAGAAGGUAUCAAACAAAAGUAAGGUUAGCAAACAACCAAUAAGGGCCUCUACAUUCCUUCCCACACCCCCACUCGGCAGCAUCUGAUAUGGCCAUGCAUUCUGAACCCUAUUCUUCUAAUUCCACACCCCCGACCUCGUAUUGGAAUGACACAAGCCCUACCCCCUAACAAGACACGCCUACCCAUACCCAUACUAGGCACCAGUGGAUUGGAUCUUAAGUCAACAAAUCAUGAAACAACUCUCCCUUUAUCUGAAGCAACAAAUCAUUUCUUAUCUUGCGCUGAAGUGCCUACGUUAGCCUCAUCUUUCGAGCAGAGAGAUCUUACCAACAGUUGGACCACUCCCCGGGCCGGGCGCAACUAAUUCAUAUGGAAAUGGAACGGAUCUGCAUAUAUAGUAGGAAAUGCAACUCAAGUAAUGGAAACUACAUCCCUUUUGUCGACCUAAACAGAACUUUAAUAAUCUACAAGCCAAUACACCGACAGAUUCCACUCGCGAUUAAACUCAUUGACAACGCGCUGAGGAAACCAGUACUUUUGAGUCCUUUAACGCAAGUCAAGCUGGCUGAUAUACUCCCUAUAAGUUCACGCUUAUGCUUUUCUUCGCUUUAGAUCUGACUUACUUAACAUGCAUUUCAGAUUGAAGAGAAAUCCGGAAUCAAGCCGAUGAUAAGAAGUGGAUCUUCUUUAUGAGUUGCUUCGACAGAUAGCAAAGACUUCUCACUUAUAAGUCAAGUAAAGUAAAAGACUUCUCACUUAUAAGGAUAGUAAUAUUUCACGAGCGAGCUAAGCAAAUUCCAAUGAAAUAGCUGCCCCUCGGAGUCACUUUUCAAGGUUUUUAUAGUCAAGUGAUUUAGAAUAAGUUCGGAUAUAGGAUAGCCGAGUAAGCAAGCGCAUUCAGGGGCAUAGGAUAGCCGAGUAAGCAAGCAUUCGGGGGCAUAGGAGUGGAAUUCUGACCUUUGAGUUCACCCCGACCUCUCCUCUAACUCUAAACUCCUGCUGACCACUCCUGUUCGUUUUCAACCUUCAUUCUUAUCCAAUAACUCCCGGCUCAGCUAACUCAGGCUCAGAUCAUCUCUUUGAACUCUUUCUCCUCUCUUACAAAUAUACCUCCAUCUGUUCUCUUCUCUUGCUCAUCUAGCUAUGUCAACUAGUCCGCAUUUUGCCUCUGUCUCUUAUCCUCUACCUCUGUAAACUGCCAAGCGACUAGGCAAGUCCUGUUUAUUAGGGUUCUUUAUUAGGGUUCUCUUGCCGAAACUCACAAUAAGGGCCCGAGCUAACUCGAUCUUACUUACCGACCUCGACCUGGAACAGGCAAUUCCCCAGGCCAAGCUACUUACUAGACACUCAAUCCGGGCCUAGCUACUACUACUUCAAUCUGUUUCUUAUUUACCGCAAGCUGCUGGAUCCCGAGCGCAUAGCAAGUAAUAAAUACAUUAUCACAGCCUUUGGGAGUGCUUAUUUAGCCUAUGGCAACUUCCAACUAUUAACAGAAUUAGGCUAAUCUCACUCUUUCUCCUCUCCAAUGGAAUACCUCUGGCUCAUAUUCCUUAAUUCUUAUCCAAUAACUCUGGCUCAUCUAACUUCAAUCUGACUUGCUUCAUGAGGCUCUCUUCUCUUCUUGCCUUCAUCUCUUCUUCGGAGAAUUGAGACUUUAGUGACUUGGCCCGAUCAUCUAUAAUAAGAGUGGAAUUCAUAGUUGCUAGCUCAGCUCCUGAUACUGGAAAUUCUCUACUCCAAGCAUGGUCUCGAGCCGCUCUAAGACAACUACUACAGUUAUUGCUCUCAUCUAAUCUAAUAUCAAUACUACAGUUAUUGCUCUCAUCUAAUCUAAUAUCAAGUCCAGGUCCAGUAUCACAGUUGACUUUGGAACUCACUCCUACUGUUGCUCACCUAGUAACUUCCUUCUGGGAAUCGGUGGGCAAGGGAAGCUAAGCUAUAAGUACUUCAGUGAAGAAUUGAACGACUAACGACCAAGCAACGACUAUACCUCUUACCUAUUAGUUCCCCCACUUUCAGUUAGUUCUUACCUUAGACACAAGCACAAUCACCUCCCUCUCUAAACCUACCCGCCAAGCGACUCCUCAUGUUACGCGGCAGCAACAAAUGUACUCUAGUUGACUACCCGGUAAGAAUAGGGCUCCAAAUUCAUUAUUUACCAAAUUCUUAUAUGUUUUUAGAAGAUUGCCCAUUUCCACUAAUAAACUGGCCGGAUAAUGCAUUUCUUCCUAACAUCCUUAGGGUUCCCUUCGAGCUCGAGUAUAGCUUAUUUCUGCCAGACUUAUUUAAUGGUAGAAUCUUAUGUUCGAGUGAAAUCUUAUAAGGAAGUAGGUAACACCCAGGAUAGUUGAUAGGGAGUAUUUAUGGGCCAUUAGACCAGACCUAGCCCCUGAUUCUGUUGAUGACAGUAAACCCUUAUUCUGUUGAUAAAGCUUCUUCACCCGAUCCUGACUCGUUGCUAUAAACCAUAUUCUAUUGACUUCCAAACAAACUCCCGACUCGUUGCUAUAAACUGCUUCCUGCUAUAAUCCCACGGACUAAGAAGACAUAUCUCUUUUGAAUGCCCACUAUGUUAAGGGAAGAACAGAAUCAAGAUCAGAAACAUAAGCAAGAUCGGGCUUUGAAGAAGGAAUUGAUGAAUAAGCCUAAGAUGGAAAGUAGGCUGUCAUAUUUCUGACUACAAGUCGAGUUAGGAAGUCUGCUGUAAAUGAAGUGGAGGUAGCAGCGGUACAAAGAGGAGGUUUGCUAUAAGUGAUUCAGUUUCAAAGUACCUAGAAGCAUUGGUUACGGCUUAAGGAAAGAAAAGCUGUGGAUCUAGCCUAUUAGUAUUCAAAUAGAUAUUAGCUCGUAUAGGCAUAUAAGAACUGUUCUCGUUGGCUCUAAGUGAGGAUCAUAAGCUUCCAGAAGGUAUAGAUUGUGGGUAAUAUUCCUUAUUUAGAUACGACUACUAGGCGCUGCGCUCAAAAGAUUCAAUGAAUUCUUAAGACAGUGGAGUUUAGUCCUUAGUUGAUGCUAGUUAACGAGUUGAUCAAAGUGAAAGUGCUAACGGAGCUCUUGUUGGUGACUUGAACCUUCUUCUCGGCUUGAGAAAAGAGCUAGAACCAGAAACUGUAAUAAUAAUGAACCGGCAUCUGAUCCUGCUCCUAGCGGUAAGUAAACUAUAUGAAUUAUAGCAGUUAGAAAAGUGUGAAGUGACUUCGAAUACUUACUUAUACAUAUAAGGACUAUGACUUAUUACUAAUAGUUAUAGGAGUUAGGAGUUCAAUUCCAUACCUGAGUUAUGAGUUAGUCGUACUUAUCAUUGCUUCACACAAGUCAAACUUUCGAGUUGCUUGCCCACUUCUAGUCGAGUUUCAUCCUAGUUUGCUACUCAAGAAUCAGAGGUUAAGUCGGCAGCAAGCGCAUCUGUUAAACAAGCCAAGUCAGCAGCAAGACGUUCACCAAGUUUAGUUCAGGGAAGAAAAGAGGACAAGACAAACUACAUAAAUAACAUAUAAUAAAGGUACUCCACUUGAAGCAGAAAAAUCCGCAGUGCGCUUGUUAACUACACGAGUUAUAGCAUUUGAUAACCACAGAGAUAGGUCGCUGAACCAGAAUCAUUCGCUGAGUAUGAUAUAUGAGUCCUGUUUCUUUCACUCUCGAAGGAAUACUUGCCAGAAAUGGGAACCUCCACUAUGGCUAACAACUCUUUGAUCGAAUACGAGGGAAAUACUGGGAACGGUCUCUUAUCCGGAAAACAAGACAAGGGGAUGCUACAACACUCGGGAGAACCUCUCCUAUCGAGCUGAGAUAACCUCUUUCAAACAAUCUGAUGGGAGAGCUCAAAAGGAAGUAUAACUAGGAGUCGAGGGGGAACUCAAAGAGGAAUGAACGGAAGAAGGGAAAGGGCCAAGCAACUGGACAAGCUCACCUCUGAGUUUCAUUAUGUAACUACUUAGGUCAAUUCUAACUUUUGGAAAUAGGACCUGGUUGUGUUGGCGAUAUAGGAGAAUAUGGGUAUGUAUGAUCUAUAGGGCCAUACUCAGCAUAGGUACGACUCAGCAGCGCAUCUACCAAUAUGAAUAUAGGUCUCAGAGCACUAAGCAACGAAUAAGUAAUAGGACAGAGAGCCAAACUCCGCUGUAUUGGAAUUCUGGGCACAAGAAUAUAGCCAGUAACAAUAAUACUUUUCACCCAGCGCUAGCAGGAAUCCGCCUAGUAAUAUAGAAUUCACCUAGUAAUGAUAAGACCUUAGCUUCACGCGCCUACCUUACUUGUAUUCUAGAACUCCAAAUAAUCAGAAUUGCACCAACAAAAGAUAGACUGACCUUACUAAGCAGCAGAAGAAUAAAAGCAUAGAUCCAGUUGGAAAGCGAGGAGAGUUUUAGUGAAAGUGCCGCGGGGAGGACAGGCUAUUAGUUAGCAGCUCCAUUCUGAUAGUAAUAAGUGGAUCGGAUCUCUAAUAUGCCCCAAAAGCCUAGUUCCUAUUUACGAGUUGUUGUCUUAGAGAUAGCUGCUACAGCCUUAGUUCUGAGUCGAGGUCUUAUUAGUAGUAGGACCCAAUCCGAUGUAUCUGACUUUCUAGUUGUUCUCUUAGUACUCGGUGAGGCAGUCAAUUCUUCAAUGAAAAUACUUUUAGAAGGAACACACCAUAGGGUUGGGCAAGAAAGAGUUAUUUAUAGUUAAUACAAGUUAUGUUGAAUGGAGCGUUAGACUGAAGCUAUGCAUUGAAGGCAGGAGCCUAAGAAGUUAGGUUCGCAAGUUAGGCUUAGUUGGUGUAUCGGGAAUGUAGGAAGAAUUGCCCUAACCCAUAAGAAUUGGCUGUUGGGUUCUGUACUACUGGUCUGUUACUCUAGUAGCUUAUUCCGUGUUUUCUUAUAUUAGAAUUCGUUUUCUCAUUAAAACGACUUCCCUUUCUACUCUAGUUUGGGUGACUUUACUUUCCUUUCCACCCUUAGGAUGCAACACCAACAGCAUCUUGGAUCUUGACCCUAAAACGGAGGUGAGGACUUCGCUUCAACAGAACUAGUAACCCCAUUAUAAUACUGACUAAUAGGAGUUAGCGUUAAGUAACUUGUUAGGAGUGAAAUUCCAUACCGGUACAAAUACUAAUCUCUAUCCUAUUGCUUUUAUGCACAACACCUUAUUUUGAGUGGCUUGGCAGAGCAAGAAAACCCUCAAAUAAUGGAAUUGGAAGCUGGUUUGAUCUAUUCCUAGCGUUUUCCCUAUCAUCUGAUCUUCCCCGUUCAAUAAAUGCAUUUCAAGCCUAUAAAACAGGGCAGCGUUUCUUGUCGUCUUGUCGGCUUGGCGGACCAGUAGUAGACUCAUCGACAACAAAUACAUAUGAAACUGCUUUAGAUCCCAAUCCAGAUCUGGUUCUUGCUUUCUGCUUUAGCUUACAAACUUGCUCCUUCUUUUUCUGUAACUGGCAAUUCUCCUAAUUAAGAUCUGUCAACUGUUUCUUAUCCUUCUCCCGCUUCGCUUACAACUGACUUAGGAACUGCUGAUUCAGUUACUGUGGAUUCUAUCUCUUAUUGACACCUUGGACUACGGGCAAUCAGUCCAUAUAAGGUCAAUCAGUCCAUAUAAUAAUACUUACCGCAGCACAAGUACCAAAAGAAACGAAACUGGAUUUACUUGUUACUGACUUGCUAUAUGGUGAAACUAUAACCCAAAUAGAUUCAAGUUCAAGGACAGAAACGCUUGUUGGCUCUUCUAAUGCUUUUAAGCCUAUCAUCUUUACCCUUUCGAAAAGAAUCUAUUUCUGGCAUAUAAGAUCUAAUUGAAUAGCAAAACUCACUUCUUAUACUACUGCUGACACAAACUCUCUCACGUGAGCUCCUGUUUUCGGCGUUAGUGUUCGAAAGCCUAAAGUUCACUAGUUUGUUCAAAAGCCUAAAGUUCACUAGUUUGUUCGAAAGCCCUUUUUGACUCUUAACCAACACUAGGAUCUGAAGCCGCCCUUACUAAUAGUGCCGAAGAGAAUGCCCACAGAGGGAUCAGAAGGUGGUAGCAGUGCAAGGACUGGAAAUUCCACUUGUGCUUAUUGUUCUCCGGCUUCUUUUGAACUCAUAUUCUAUAAGAAAUAAGGAUGCGCCUAGCCCUUAAGUAAAUGGGAGUAAAGAUCAGCUCUUUUAGAAUGCCAAGUUCCUGUUCUCAAGUAAAGGUAUAAAGGUGUUUGCGUGGGAAGGGCCAAGCUUCGUUUUGAGUUGCGCUAAGGAGCCCGGGGGGAGUUUCAUCCCGGCUAAGUAACUGCUACAAACACAUAACAUGUAAUAGACGACUGAUGAUUCUUUCUAAGCCAAUACCCGAACAAGAUUUGUAGGGAACUUUCCAAUUGCAGCUAACUAUUGAACUGCUUUUGAUGCUUCUUCAGCAGAUCCUUAUUCCGCUUCCUCACCAGAUCUAGCUGUUGCUUAUGAUCCUACUCUAUAUUCUAAUUCCACAGCAUAUUAUAGAGUUCCUACUCUGACUCUUUAUCCUGUUUCCUCUCUUUCCAUUCUUAUUGUCAACUUACUAGAAGGGCCUCCACUCCCUUACCUGUCAACAGGACCACUACCUAGCGCAACUCUCUCUUAAUUAUGACUUGAAACUAGAGCUCUCCUUUCUGACCCUACUCUAGCUGACCCGACUCUUGCGCCUUAAGGAUUUACUUAUUUGUUUGAUCCUCUCGACUUGCCUCGUUGCUUGGCCCUGUCACAAAUGCAAAUACGGAGCUUCUAUCUCGCUCACUUUAUACUUACCUACCCUAUGGGUAUUCGAAAAGAUCUGAUAUAGUAGACUUCACUCGUACUCCAAGAUAUGAUACUGAUUCACUAACCGUUGAACCCAACACCACAGAGUGGGCAUUCUCUUCUGAAUAAGCAACAUUCUUUUGUUUCGCAAGUCCCGUUUUUCACGUUAAUGAGCGGGCCACUGACUUGGAUCCAGCUUAUGUUCUGCUUUCAACCUAUUCUUUACCAGAUUAUAUAUGAUACUUUCCUCUUAUUGACCCGUGCAGACUUUCUUUCUCGUAGACCAACUAAGGGAAAGCCUAUUAACUAUACUAUACGACAAAGAGCUACUACAGCAGAGUAUUUGAAGUCGCACCUCUCUCCACUCGAAAUACAGAAUGCAACGGGGCCCCCGGGACUACUACUACUGGGCUGGGCUCGCUGACCAAAUCAUUCUACUAUCAACUAUUGGCAAAGAAUGAACUGAGUACCUGGAUGCAAGGGACCGAUCGCCAACAAUUUCUUACUACCACUCACCGGCAAGCUACUAAGAGACCCCAAACCCUAACAAGCUAGUAAGUCAACAAAGUCAGUCCACCACCCUAACCACCAAGCUUAGUAUAGACUAUCUGAUUGCCCAAACUCCCCUUCCCUUGUGUUGCCCAGUCCUACCCUAUAGUAUAGAAUUAGAAUAGAGUCAAAACUACCACUUUGCUAUAAAAAACCCUAGAAUGAGAAUGGAGUCAAAACUACCACUUAUUCCCUUUCCACUCAUGGCAACGUACUAACAAACGGAUUUGCUUAUAUUAUAUGAAUAUGAGUCGACUUGUCCGCUUUUGUAGCACCACUUCUGGCUUAGGUUAGCUUGUAAGAUUCUUCCCCUGCCCCCGGAACUUGACUUUCGAACUGAGGAUUCUCUUGUUUCCCCUGCCCUGGCCCUUGCUUUAGUUCAUUCUUUUUCUACUGCACUGGCCUCUCCUUCUGACUUACAGUAGUACUACCGGUAUUAGGCCUCUACUUCUGCCCUAUUAUUAAGUACUGCUUCCAAAGAUGAAAGUAGGUCUGCUCAUUCUAUUCUAUAUAUGACAACUAAGCUUCUAUAUAUGACAACUAAGCUAAGGUAAAGCCAAUUACCGAACCUAGAUAACACUCAGACACAAUACCGAACCUAGAUAACACUCAGACACAAUAACUAUAAGGGGCAAAGGCAAUCACUCACUCUCAGGCUUCUCCGAUUACCCACAUCGAAUGAGUUUUACCUAGACAAUUAGUUCAUUUGAAACAAGGGAUAUGAAAAGGGUCAAACUCCGUUUCCAGUUCUGAAGGAAGCAAGCCAUAGAGCAUAACCAGAAGCCAAAGUCAGUUUCAACUGAUUCCUCAAUUGGUUAUUAGAGUUCGGGUGCUUCAAGCCUGCAGUUUCUUAACUACUGUUUCUAGGGUGUUAACUAAGUUGACUUUGCGUUCUGCUACUACUCACUUGGAUUUGUACUAUACCUUAUAUAUAAGUAAGUCUGUACUUGCCCUUCCACUAGUAUUCGUUCCUUUAGCCUACCUUUACUUGCAAUAAUAUAAGUCCGGCUUUACUUGCUUUUAAACUCACGAAAUAUCUCUUCUUUCCCCCUGCCCCUACUACUUGGAAGGCUAUAUCACCACUGUGGGGCAUGAUCCUGGCUUUCCAACUGUCGCUACUUACCGAAAAACUUGCUUUGCUUCACUUACCUCUGCAGUUAACUCUCAUUCUGUGGGACGUCCCUUGCAUUUAUGAUUACCAGACUAUUUACUUAUAGAUCAAUACUAACAAUAAGCAAUCGAGGAAUACUGAAUUGAGCUGGGGAAAAGGAAUACUGUUCAUAAGUGAGAGAAUGCAACUGUGCGAAUAAGGUGCUGAAAGCCUAGGAAGCCAAAGAAUGGAAUGUCUGGCCAGUUAAGAUAGUUUCGAGUUAGAGCUAGUUAACCUCACAGGUAGUUUCAGCUUCAAAGUAAGGAUUCCACUCAACUCACUCAGUAGUAUAAGAGUCAAAACCUAGAGUGGAAGCAUCAAAAUCCAACUAGUAAGUAAAAGAACCAACCAGUAGGGGCGUGGAUUCGCUCUAAAGUCAGGAUACCUACAAGACUCUAGGUAGUUAUAUCAAAUUCCAUAAGGGAUGUGAUUCUCUAACACUGGGGUACAGUACAUACCCUGGCUGAUAAUAAAUGCAGGAUACUGGCCCGGGGUGUACUACAGGACCUAUAAGACCAGACAAGUAACUACAACUCGGGAGCUACAUUCCUCUCAACACUAACUCCUGUCCUGUCUCUCGUUCUUUUACUCCCGAUACGACCUAGAGCAUCUACUAAUAGAAUAAAGAUCGAGUGUCUCAUAUUAAGAGAAUUCAAUCAAUAACAGAAGGAAUUGCCCUAAGAAGUAUCAGAAUGGAGUUAAUUGGUAUCGGCCUAGGAUUGAUACAAACAGAGGCGCACAGAACAAGGGCUUAUUCUAAUAGUUUGAAGAGAAGGUGGGAAGUUGCUCAGAAGCUAAAACAAGGUAGUAGAACAUAGAUUCACACUUCAAAGGAGGCCAGUAAGCCUGGGAGACCAAAGUGACUAGUUUCAAAACGAGUUCCGUCAUAUUUAUAGGUGAGUCAAUAAGGACGAGGACAUAGUUGGAGGUGCACAUAGGAAUUCGAAUAAGUAGUUGUCUUGGGAGUUAGGUGCGGAAGGGGCAAAGGUCAGGAUCAAACUCCAGAGUCAGACAGCCGGUAAAGAACCUGUGUUAGUACAUUCUUUCGGUAAAGAACUAGUAUUAGUACAUUUAUGGAAUAUUACCCGCUCAUCAAUUGAAUUAAUAACUUAAAGGUGGAGGCGAGGUCCGCAAUCAGAGAGGGAAGUUCCCUUCAAAGAGCAGAGUUCUGGUGCAAAAGUGAUCACCACACCAACCAAGAGAUUCAGUUGGCGCUGCGUAGUUAUUUGUUUCUAUGCUCGGUAAGUGCUCGUAAGUGCUCGUGCCCCAAAGUAAUAAUGGAAUGGAAGGAUUUAAUGAUCAACUGCCAAAGUGAGAGUUAGAGUUGACAGAAACAGGACUUGCUUGCUGGAGUAGCUUAGCUAGUGUUAUUCCUAUGUUGUAGUUUCAUCCGCUCCCCCAAGUAGUUCAUUCUGACUUCAGUGGUGCCCCCCUUUUUCUUCUGGCUUUUGUAUACGUUGCUUGGCGUCUAGUCGUUGCUUGGCCCUCGCAUUCCCGUUCUCUUGUUUAAACCUUCCUAUACAGCUUGGCAUUCUGACUAUCUUUGAUCUAAUUCUCCAAUGUUGUCCCCCGGUCCUGCAAGGUUGUAGUAAAUAGCCUAUAUAGCCUAUAGGAUAUGGUAGGUAUGAUCGAUCCCGUGCACCUAACAAUUCAAUAAGAAACUGGGAUUUCCACUCAUGCUAACAAGACCCAUACUACUCACUGGGAAAUCUGCUACUUACCUCAAAGCUGUCCUACCUAGCUCUUUGAUUCUGUAACUGAUGCCUAUAAGCCUGUUUACAAUAACUCAUAUAUAUAUUCUUAAUAACCCGCCGAUCAGUCACCGAGCAAACUACUAACUACUAUAGGAAUCAAAUAACAACUAACAAGAAUAAACGGUGUGGGCAACCUUCUACUAUAAGACUUUCCUCUGCUAAGGAAGAAUCAAAACAAAGCCAAGGAAGCAAGCUACUCUAUAAGAAGAACAGGCUUACUUUACUUAAUUAAUUAGACUUGAGUCCGACUCCGAGACUCCUUGAUCUCAGGCUUGCUUUUUGUUAGUUAAUUCAUUAUUCUGGGAUAAGGCAUUAAAAGCGGUAGCUGGCUUCUCCGCUGUAGCUCGCUUCUCAUCCUAGUACCAAAGCCUUGUUGACACCAGUCCCAUUCUUCUGUUGACUUGUUUGAUCCCGAUUGACAUUAUUCGAGUUCUGUUAUUAUAUGCGCGCUACGCCCACGGACCUAAUUCUUAUACUGAUUAGCUUCAUUCUGUACAUGCACCGGAUCAUACCAUCAUACCCUAGCACCGGAGCAUACCAUAUGACCCUAUAGGCUAUUGACUCCAACUUGAAAUACACCUAUUCCAUUGACUCCAACUUUACAUACCUAUUGUUUUAGUAUCAGUGAACUAAGGUUGUUUUAGUAUCAGUGAACUAAGGCCCUAUACUACAUUGCUAGUGCACCUAGGUAUAACAAUUAGUAUUAGGGUAGAAUAAAAGCACAGAACUCAAUUAAUUGCUACUGGAAAGAAUCAGACAAAGAAAUAGGGCUUUUGACUAUUACCUACAAGAAUUGAAGCUACCGCUUUUAACAGUAAAACAAAGAAAUAGGACUACUUUAGCUACUGGCCUCGAGUCCCUGUGCUUAUUGGUUGAAACUGAAACUCAGGACUUGACUUCUUAUCGCUACCAACACUAGUCUUAGAUCACUGCUACUACAUCCCUACUCAAAGCGAUGGCACCUUAACACUUAAAGCAUUACUUGACUGACUUUAAAACAAGUACUCUAGUAUACAUUACUUGCCUAUUUCUUACUAUGCAAUCCAACGAGCGCUUCCAAUCUAAUGAAGAAUCCCACAACAGCAGAUAAGAAUACGACUUACAGCCUAUGAGCCUUAUCUUACUUGCUUCGACUCUAAUACCCUGGGCACUUUCUCUAUAUCUCCUUUUGCUCUAACUCCCUUAUUGCCCCUUGCACCCGGGCUUGUUAAGCUAAAGAAUCGAAUUGGCACCGAUAAUACUACCACAACAAUACUGGAUUUCUUUCUUUCCUCCCCGCUCGUACCUUAUCAAACAAACCCUAGCUACCCCAAAGCAGGGCUCUACGAAACAGAAAGUAUCAUGGCUUUCAGCUCCUUCCUUGAAAAUGGAACUUGUAUCUGUCUUUUAAGGAUCAAUAAUGGCAACAAGUAAAGCGGCAAAUCCUUCUCCAAACUCACGUCUGAACUGACUCGCCGACGCACAACAUAAGAAAGAAUGGAAUAUGAUCUGUGCUUUGCCUGAUGAUUUACAGCUUGACCUUUGCUUUGUUAGUGCUUCUGUAAUGGACUUUUCCUUUGCCUGAGACAGCUUUCCCGAGUAGCUCGCCUUCUUCUUCUCUUAUUGGGUCCUAUCCUUACCCUAUCAAUUCUUCUUUGAUCUACUUCCGGAGGGAAAUCAAUCAGUAUCAAGAAAGCUCUAUCUCUAUAAGCGGGGGAAUGAAAUCAUCUGAACUAAACAAGCAACGGCAAAAGCUACGGAAUAAACAAGCUACGGAACAAGCUACGUAACAAGCUCCGGAACAAACUACUAUUAAUGGAUAGCUAACGGAGAACAAGGCAAUAAUGAAUGAGUCUAGGAUAGGGUUUAGCUGCCAAUAAAGAGCAUUUUCAGAAACUUCAACAAGCAAGAGUAUCAUAGAUGAGCGGUUAAACAAGCGAGUAUCAUAGAUGAGCAAGCAGAUAAUGUGAAUCUAUUAGAUCAUAUGCGAGAUAGAUAAAAUUGGGUAGCUUCCAACUCUCCCGUCUUUCUUCUUGUAAUGGUGGCUUUUGACGAACAGUUGGCUUUAGUUCAUUAUAUCGUAAUUCCUUAAGUAAAGUAAGUAAUUCAUUAUAAGUGGGUGGAGUAACUAACUGUGCCGAUAUUAGUUAUUCAAGCUUUCUUUCUUUUAUUUCACCAGCAAACUCAAGCUGAAAAGAGAAAACCUCAUUGAAGCUUAUGAACGAACCGAACCCAUCUUCCAAAUUGCUAACUAAAGCUUGACAUCACCCUCCAAUAGUUAAGAUAAUAGAAUCUUUCUAGAGAAUUGAAUAUUUACAUCUAUUGAUAGAUAAUAUAAUAUUGACAUCUAUACUGAACCGAGACCUUAACCUCUGCUAAAUCUCUUGGUUUGGUUCGGUUGUCCUCUUUGCUAGCCGGAGUAUACCACUAGUGAAAAACCCUUUGAAGAGACAAGGGAUCGAUGUCGCUAGGCGAGGUCAACUCUAUCAUUGUUCUCCCUUAAUCAAUAUAUAAAUAAGCAAGGCAAGUUGGGCUACAACUAUCCCGAUGCAGCAAAGAAAGCUAGGUCGUGCUCUUAUCGCGGGGAAAGGGUCGACUCCGAAAGAUCAGAGAAAGAACAAGAACCACAUUUGAUCCACACUUAUAGCUAAGAGCGGCUUUUUGAGCUACUAUACUGGCGCUCUCAACGUCGCGCAGCUUUUUCAUCUUAGUAAUCCAUACUCUCGGGGACCUGGGGCAACCAAUAAGAAAGACUCUAUCAUUUAAUGGUAGUUGAGUGAAGAAUGAACAAGUAACGGCUUGCAGCAACAAACAAUGGAACAAGCUACUGUGCAAGUACAAACAAUGAGGCUACUAAGCUUUGGAGUGUGCUGUUAGUGAGCUCUCAGGGCAGUAAAGGCGUUGCGAAAGACAGAGUCGUCUUGAAAAUCGAGUAUUUGAAUCCCUUGAAGAGAUUGUGUUUCAAUACAAUAAAUGCCGAUUCUGAGAAAAAGCUGUAAGCAAAGCAGUGUUUUGAAUCCCUGGUUCAUCGCAUUUCGCCUGCUUUGAUUAGGACUUUUUUGCCAGGUUCUUUCACAGUUAACAAACAACCAUUGAAUCCUGAAGUGACGGAACUACCAAUCCCAAUCAAAGGUCCUACUCCUAUUGACCUUGUAGCAGAUUCGAUAACGGAAUUAGUGCUCUAACAGAAGAGACUUGCUUAGGUCACACCUUGAUCUUAUCCUCCGAGUGCCAAGCUAACUUUAACUAGGAUUCGUUCACAGAGAAAGAUUCGGUUCUUCCUUCUUUUGAUCUUAUCCCGCAACUGCCCCUAGGAAAGAAAAGAGAAAUCCCAGUCUUUAUCAGGUCCGGAUCAGGGAACUCCUCUUUCUAUGCUAAUAGUUUAGUCCUACCUAACUUUAUGUUGAUUGAUACUCGAGAGUAAGGUCAAAAAACAAAGAGUAAGCAAUCGAAGACCUAUUCAUUCUAAUGCCCACUUAUCUAAUCUAAGUUAAGUUCAUUUCGGAUUCAAUCGAUUCUUCCCACCCAUGUGUAGCCUAUGCGAAGCAAGCCAAGACUGGGCUCACAUAUAUCCUAUUCCUCUUAUUGCUGGCAGAUUAUAUAAACUAUUGAUUUGAUUAUAUAAACUAUUGAUUUAUAAACUAAACAUAAGGCAGAGAUAUAGAAAUGUGGGAAUCGUGGAAAAUGAUGUCACAUCACAGCACCUCCCCUCGCUCCACUAGCUAGGUAACUCCUUUUCUAAGCUAAGAAAGCAGCAAAUCAGCGCAAAUAGGCUCUCCUAUCAUUCCCUCCACUUUCUCUUAUAUAGUAAGUAUGGAAUAUAGUCAGUAUGGAAAGUGCUCUUAUAUAGUUAGUAUUGCAAGUAGUCAAGAUGCCAGUGCCUAUGAUAUUGCCCUUCCUUCUCUUGUGCCGGGCGUGUGAAUCUGGAACCAAAGGACUACUUCUCGUGAUGAGCUAUUUUCAGGAAUCUUUCGCCUUCGAAUUUCUUUCAUCACCCUUUUGAUUAGUUUGAACAAGAGAAACUUAUUAGUUUGAACAAGAGAAACCGCGAACAGCUCUUUGCCUUUCUGCUUCAAAGAAAGAGGUGGGGAGAACCAUCAGUUUGGAGCACCCAUAAAGCUGGGGAAAUGCCUUUUAUGAGCCGCCUACCCUACCUAUACGCAACUCUCUCUCAUUGAUUAAGCCUGCCUGCCUGUGAGCCAUAAGAUGAGUUCUGGUCCAAGAGAUAGGACCCACGGUUAUUGAACUUACGUUCCCCGGUUCGGUUAAGCCCGUUAGUAGGGGCGAGCGAGAGCUGAUUUCGCUUUGAAUCCAACUCUGAUCUUAAUGCACCCGAAAAGAAAAACCAUAGGAAUUGCUGAACCAUCGCUAUCGCUAAAGUAAGGAAGAGUUGAGUUAACGAAAGGCCAUGGGGAUAUCGUUGACUCACUUGAACCUGUUGGCUUUAGUUUCCUUAUAUAUGAAAGCGGGAGUAAAGCAAGGAAUUUCUGCCAUAGACAGCGCAGCAAGUGAAUCAGAUGUCGGACUUCUCUCUCGAGAGAUGAGGCGAAUUGAUAGACCAAUGGGGGGCCAAGCAACAGCCUGUAAUGCCUAAGCACCAGCCUAAGUAUACCCAGCAGCAGGCUUAGAUUAUUACUUGCUUCAUUGUCCUGUGCCACUCGGAAUACAGAUUACUUAAUGCGCGUUUCACCUCAUAGGGAAGAAUCGAACAGGUGUUUAUGCGGGCGUCAUAGGGCAGCUAGGGUGAUGUUUCAUUCUGUAUUUCCUUACAGAGUAGCCGGCUACAUCCCGAGUUCAAUCCGUUAUUGAAUCAGUUCGCGGAAGGUAGAAAACGGAAUACAGUUAUUCAAGAAGAAAGUAAGAAGGACAAUAGGCACUGUUAUCUACUACUGGAUCAAGACUAACUUACCAAGACAAACUUCCCAGGCUUAUGGUCUUGCUUCCUUGUCAGUGGAAUUAGUAUUUGUUAACUACGGCGAAAUUGGUACUCCCCAGUCUUGUGUUUUACAGUUAUCAUAUCUUUAUUACUUGCUAUGUGUUCGGCCAUCAAUUGUUCAUCGAUUGUUAUAAUGAAAUGGCAUCUCCUUAGAAGAGGGAUGGAUCUUGGGCAUUCCAUUCUUUUAAGAGUGGGAGACUCAGAGGAUAGGUCAAUACCAGAGAAGAGAGAGGCAAGGGAUACUUUAUUACUUAGUGCAGGACCGCUAGUCAAUCAAUGUGAUGCGCCAUAUCCAUAUAUUAUUAUUAAUGCACCUUAACCUUUUAUAGCUUCUGUAGUGAGUGACGAUCAGAUUGCCCCAUUUCAUCUUUAAUAACAGAAUGAGGCUCCUGUCUCUAUAAGUAUUAGAUAGUAUAGGAAGUGGGCCCUUAUAAUAAUUGCUAGCGCAUUCCCUUAUCUAAUCUAUUAAUUCCACUUAGAGGUCUUAGACAGCCCCUAAAGAUAGAGAGAGUAGCUACCCCUCCGCUCUUAUCCUAACCAAGUAGUCAACAAAUAAUUCAUUGGAUCUUCUCUUCUCUGCGACAAACACUCGAAAGAAACUCGUAUUCAUUUCUGGUGUUGGGCAAGAAGGAGAUUCGAGAGUCAAUUCGGCUUCUUUUCUUAAGCGAAUCCAGUUUUCGGGCCCAGACUCUGUGGUGGCGGCGUCAAGGAAAGUUUCAGAAUGAAAUAUAGUCGCUGAAAGUGAGAUUUUACAGGUACUCUUUGUUAUACGAGCCCCUUGCACCUAAGCAUUCAGUCUUAUCUUAUUCUUUAACAAGUAGUAGUCCAGGCAACUACUAGACUCGCAACGGGACAAGCCACUACGGAUGAAGAUAAGAAGUUUAUUACUUAUACUGAUAGGACAGGCCCAGACUAGAUAGGACUGGCCCAUACUCAGUGGCUAAAGCGAGGCGCGUCAGGGAGCUCAAUAGGAACUCUAAAGUCUUGUUCAAGUGAUAGGGCUGGGCGACAGAAUAGAGGUUAGUGCGGAGAGACAGUAUAGUUCGGAAAUGCAAAAGGGGCAGAACUCGCAUUAGCAUCAAUGGCGAAGUAUCAACUUAUCUAACUGUGCUGUGCUGCUGUGCCGAUAUGAGUAAUUAAAGGAAGGAAUGAGAAUGAGAGAAAGAAGCUUGUGUUAAGCUUAAUUAAAGGAAGAGCAAUGCUGUGAGUUGAGAUAAAAAGCAAGGGUAGUGUUCACAAGAUCUAUAAUUUCUAUCUUAUAUAGAUGGGAGAACGGAUUCCACAUUCUAUCUAAUUACAAUUCCACUCACACUCUUGCCUCCUACCUCUCCACUUAUUAGAGGUUAAGGGUUUACAAGGGAAGCAGCGUACUUAAGAAUAGGGCUGAAGGAGAGGCUAGUGUACUCAUGACGGAUAUUCUUUUUCAUAGCUUCCCUUAUUCCUAUAUAAAGAGAAAGAUUGCAUUUAGUAGGUGCCAAGCGACUACUAGACAAGUAGACAACCAACCACUUUGCUGCUUUAGAGCCCUAUAGGUUAGCGCUAGAUGUAGUACCUAAUUCCAAUAUGACAACUUGUUCUAUUAAUGUCCGUAUUCCAUUCUUCUACUUACUUGUUUGAUUCUCACUUUCCCACUUGUUAGUUCAAUUCAGUAUCUGUUCUGUUGCCAGCAGGGUUCAAUGAUGAGUUGCGAGUUAGCAGAGAUGAGCUAGUAUAUGCUAUUUGGAGUACCCAUUCCUUUGACAAGCGUAUACUAAUGACCAAGCUAGUGACCGAUUCCAAAGGUAUAAAUUCUCUGAUCAUGAAGAAGCUUUCUCUCUUUGUCUUUGCUUUGUAGUAGUUGAUUGGCUCUGUUACAUACUUGUUAGGCAGGUUUACUUCACUUGAGUAGUCAAAAGAGAGUACUGGCUUUGAUACAGAAGAAAGAGAAGGAGAAGAGUUCAUUCUGUAUUUGAAGCCUGAGUUAGCUGGAGAUGAGCAAGAAGUAGAGGAGCCAUCCAGAGUUAUGAAAAAGUAGAUGAGCUAUAGGUAAUAGGUAGCAUAGAAGUUAUAAGAGAUGAAAGAGUAUAUAGGGAUGAAUUCGUAUAUGCCCUGUCAAAGGGACAAGAAACUUACCGGUAUUACUUGCUAUGUGUUUGUGGGAGACAAUAGGACAGGUAUAAAGGACUGGAAGGAUAGAAAGCAGACACAAGUCACAGGUGUAGUUAGUUGACAGAGGAGAGGCGGGUUCGGUGCCGAUAUCCGUUUUUAAAGCAAUGCAGGAGUUAUGAGUUAGUGUAUGAAGUAGUAAAUAGGCCAAGAAAGUGAGUUGUUGCUAGUCGGCUUGUCUAGGGAAAACUCAAUAGUAUACGCUUUGCCCAGGAAUAGCUGAACUAGAAGGAUAGGAAGUAUUUGUUUCAAGAGGAGAGGAAAGUAACGUGAGAGUUUCAAGAUCUGGUAAAGAAGUGGAAGUUGAGUAUCUACUAGAAUAUUGUAAAUAAGAAGGAUAAUACUUAGGAAGUAUUUCUUUUAAGUGCAGCAGCGAUAUAUUCUUAAUCAGCUGUUCGAGUUUUGUAAACCAGAGAGAGAGAAUCCGCAUCCGCAGUUCUUGUGAAGUCUACUCGAUUAGAAUAUGGUAAAGAAUCUGGUUAAAGAUGAGAAAGAAGCUCUGUAUUUGCAUAGUUUGAUCUCUGUUCAAUGACUCGAUAUCAGGGCUCAGAUCUCCGUUUAGGGAGUGUGAGUGUAGUUCGGUUUCAAGUUGUUUUAUAUAGAAGCGAGAAGAAGCUUCAAUUAUGGAAUCAUAGGAUUGAUCUGCGCAAAGUAACAUUCUGUCAACUCGAGAAUCUGAUGGAGCAGGAGAAGGAUCUUCAGCAGUGCGAGAGUAAGUAGCAUGCGGUUCUGAAAGGAGAGUUCGCCGGGGAUACUUCGAAAAAGAAGCCUUAUUGCCUUGACUUGGAUUAUAGGUUGUUGCUUCUGUAACUGCACCAUUGGUUGUUGCUUCUGUAACUGACCCCCAUUUGAGAGUUCUCUACCACAUUAAUAGAAGCCUGACUCCAAACUUGUUGCCAUUAUGGAUAAGCUAGAGGCAAAGUCACCUGUAUUCUGCUAUCCUAUUAUACAGAGCUAAUGAUUCCGCUUGAGUGGAAUUCGCCUUAGUAGUAGAAAAGAAAAGUACAUAGGCAGCUAAGCUAGGAAGGACUAUGUUUACUACCCGGAUACAAAGUAAGCAAGCGAAGGAAGUAGAUCGGCGGUAGAGUCUUAGAAAAAAGAAGAAAUAUAAAGAUCUUCCAACUAGAUCAGGAUCAGAUGCUGUUGUGUUGAAAGAAAGUCUGCUGUUAAGCCUGAAAGUGUAGUUCUUGACUUGACGUCUACAGGUGCUUCUCAAAUCUAAGAAAUCUCAGUUCCAGGAAAGUAUACGAGAAAAUCCGUCUUAAGGAAUUACCCGAAGAAAGGUAGAGUGAGGAGUAACUUCACACUGGAAAGGAGGUAGGCAUGGGAAGAGCAGUGCGAGGAAAGGGGAAUUCAAAGGCAGCUAAUCAGCGGGAAAGAAAUAAGGGUUCCGGGCAGAAUAUCUGACUUCUGAAGCUGGAAAAGAAGCUGUUCCUAUUGAAUCUGCAGGUGAGGAAUUAGGACCAUCGGAAAGAUCUUAUUAAUCUGUCUUUAUUGGCUCCGAGGGAGGUCAAUUCUUAAAUGACAACUUCACAACCCUGCUUGAACUUAAUCAAGAUUCUUUCCCCCGAGACUUCUGGAACUUUACUUGCGGACUUAGAGCUAGAGCACCAACACAAGUCUCUCCUGACGCUAACUUCUCUUGAAGACUUCCCACCCACUUGCAGCACUAGCAGCUUCUGGAAGUUCUGACAAUGCCCUCUUUUCUCGUAGACCUAAAAUUCAUAGUAAGGGUCCUGCUUGCUUCUUUACUUUAUAAGAUGAAACAAGGGAAUAAGAUUCAACAAACAGUAGUUGUUAUGGAGUCCUAUGAACUUUAUAUAUAAUGUUAGGCGGCAGUAAAGUCUCCUCACUUUCCUCGUACCGACAAGUCAAUCCCCUCUAUAGACUGAACUUUGAGAUCUAGAUACAAGCAACUUAACUGGAAAUCGUACUAGAAACUAUAAGGAGCGUAAGCCUUAUACACAAGCACUUUCACCUUUAUUUACUGAUUGAAACCCUUUCUGCCCUUCCUGAACUUUACUUGAGAACAGAAUACUAACGGAGCGAGGAUCUACCUGUUGCGUAAGGGCAUCUACUCAUUGCAUUGCUUCUUUGAAUUAAGUACUCGCCUAGCUGCCUUGCUUGUUUUAAGAACUCAGAUAGGCACGCACAGUUGGCCUAGUAGAGUAAUAAAAGAGUAUGCACCUAAUAAAGUAACAAUAUUCUCAACUCCUUAUGAAAUCAAUCAAAUCAAUAAAAAAGAAUAGAAGAGAGUUUUCAUCAUAUACAGUUAGCGCAAGUGCUGUUUCGGGAACUGGAAAUUCUUUUGCUGGAACUCUAUACCAUAAGGAGCUAGAGCACCAACAGCCAAGCCGACAAGCAUAUACAUAUGUAGUUGUGCGCCGGACACAGGUGAACUCUGGAUUGGACUAUUUUAUUGCCCGAACGUAGCUUGAAGAAUUGUUUGAUGCUGACUUGAGAACUUAGCUUUCUGCUUCCCUUGCCGGCCUAGACCUGACUUUAGCCUCUUCUUCUGUUUCUUCCAUUCAAGGGUCCAUUCCAUUCUGACUUUCCUACUUGCCUACUGCCACUCACAAGCUUGCUCGUACCUUAGUGCAAUUCUGUAACUCUACCUUAUUAGGUUCAUUCUGAAAUGCCAACUAGCACAAGUAAGAUAAGAGCUCCUGCCGCGACACAUUAGUAGUGUCUUGGCCUAUCCAAAUAUCUCUUCUUAUAUUAUAUGAUAGGAUGACUGAUUCCACAGCCAAUCUUCAUGAAGUUAUGGGGGCAGAGGCAGAAGAGACGGGCCCUUAUAUACUAGUUCACAGGACUUGGUCAUAACUGCUUGGAAUUCUGAGUUUAGGUAAAUCCUCUGGUAGUGACUUGGCUUGAGCUUUCUGACUUACUAGAUCAAUUCCCUUUUUGGACCGAUUGCAGCUGUCAACUAUGAACUGAUCAUUCGGUAUACCUUAUUUGUUGAUUUCUCUCUUUGCCUUUCUAGUGGUUGCUGGGCCUAUUUACUACCCCGGACCGGACAGGACAAUCAACUCUAUCUCUACAACAAGGGAAGGGACCAUAGGUAUAAUAAGUGGGCUCCACCCUAAGGUUACAGGAGGGACGAAGGAAAGGUGGUAUAGCUAAUAGUUCCUGAACUGCCUAAUUAUUCACCCUAGCCAGAGCCAGAGGAGUGGUAAAGUGGAAUUUGUAUUUGUAGUGGUAUGGUCCAGUGGGGUUGGUGCUCUAGUUCUAAGUCAUAGGGAUGGUUUUGGUAACCAAGUCCUGUCCUCGUAUAUGUCUUCUCCCCAGCAGCAACUGCUUCUUCCGUUUUCUGGAAAGCUAUAGGAAAGGAAGCAGCUUUAUUGCCUAUUCAUUUUCUUUAUGCAGGAGCCGGAUAAUAAACAGAAUCAAGAUCUUGCAGCUGGACAAAGAUUCCAUUAAUGAUUCAGAUUGUCCUCGUUGAGUAUAGAUCCACGGAGCGGUAAUCGGGGUAAUAGAAAGAUUCCAUUCUGAACUUGCAAGGAUAGGUCGGACAAGAGCAUUGGCGACCAGAUCAGAAGUUGGAUCCGAAGCCGUAGAAAGUAUUAUGCAAAAGGACCGGAGGCUGGGCGAGGAAAUGAGAGGUCGGAAAAAGAACUAGCGUUGCUAUGUCUUUACUUUUUUCUAUCUUUGGUGCUCGAAAGUAAGAACACUGCCCGUAGAUUGAGGCACCCAAUUAAUAUACAACCACUUAUGCACAAUAGUAACCGAACUCCGAACUCCCUUUUUGUUCGCCUAGUUCGAGUUGACGACUUAAGAGAAGCUAGUAAUAUUACUCCAAUUUAUCUACGAGGGUUUUGCUCUCAAUAUUAUCUGAUGCUUCUGUUCGCCCUGUUCCACUUGACUUUAGAUUUCUACCUUUUGCAAGAUGGAGCAAGAGAGAUUCUGGAACCUAUUGUAUCAUAAGCUAGAUAGAUUCCAUUCAUGAGAGAAAGCAAGGUGCUGAAAGCCAAGAAAGCCCAAACUAUUGGACGAUGGAUCGUUACACAUCUAGAAGAAGAAAAGAGGUGAAGCGGUUAAAGAACCAUAUAUUAUAUAAGCGCAUUGUUACCUCACUGCAACAAGCAAGGGCGUUAGCUAAUUCUGAGUAUUUGCGCUAAGAUCUUUUUCUUACCCGCCCGCACACGUUAGCACAACGACCCGACCUUUCUCUUUAUUGUUUAAUCAAAUAUCACUGACAUAGAAAUCUCACUGACAUUGUAUAGAAGGACGUAAACAAAUGGCUUCUUUUUAGUUAGAAUAGAGAUAUAGGGUCACUAAACAUUAAGAACGAAUUGAGGCAGCCUUACCCUAUACAUUGCACUAAAGCACAGAGUAAGCCAAACCCUUCAAAACACUAGACUAGACUAUAAGGACGGAGGCAGACUAAGCACUUGCAGAGGCGGAGUUGGCUUCAGGUAGAGAAUCAGAGAUUUGACAAUGCCCCCUGGAGUUGAGAUCAGAUCGAUAAAAAGAAGAGAAAUAUUGCUCCUAUGUUCAAUUCAUCAGAUGGGUGGGUUUCUCUUUCCAUUGAAUAGGAAUUGGAAUAGGAAUUUGCACCGAUCAACGGAACAAGACUACUGCGUUUGUGAGUUUAAACACUUAUAGAAUAAUGCACACGUAUAGAGGAAUGAAUGUAACCAAACACCCGGACUUUGAGCUACUGCCCACUAGAGCAAGGAGUAAGGAGUUCCAGAAGCCACAAGACUAAGUGUGCUAACAGGAAGUGGAGUUUGAGUUUAAGGAUAAAGGUAUACUUCAGCAGCGGAAUGGACUGGUAUAAAGUAAGUGGUAAAGAAAUGAGUAGAUUACGGGUCGGGUUGACUGCGAUGAAAGCCGUAGAUAUAAGAAUGAGUAAGCAAGAAAAGUCUCUGGAAAUGCUGUUUCUGUUAGAUGGAAAUCCUUCUUUGUUGUCGACAAUAAAAUCAGAGGUAUAGCGGUUAUAGGGCUUACUUCCGUAUUGUUAGGUUGAUCUCGCCCAGUAGAAUCAUAUGUUUCAGUUUCCAAAGCUUUAUAUGUAUCUGAAAGCGGGAACUGCUAAUGUAGCGCAGUAAGGUUCAGAAAUGACAUAAUAAGGUAUAUGAAGUGCACAUAUAAGAUUCAACAAGCAAUGCUGUCAUGCCCAUCCUCAUUUCUUUCACUCCGGGGUGGGUACCCACCUUCUACUCAACAAGUCGUUGCGCGUUCAGGAGUUUCAAAUAAUAUAAUCUGCCCUAAACAACACCUCAGCAUUAGAAAAGAGAUCUGAUUCUUUUAAAGAGAAAAUGAAAACUCACCUUCUGUCAGGAAAACAAGACGGAACUGUAAACUCUAAGUUGUAGGCUACCCUAUGAAAACUUUCUAUUGAACUUGCCUUGCCCAAACUCCACUUUCUGACUAAUACCCGAUUGUAGCUUACUUUGACACCGCUUCCGAUACUGAUCCAGUACUUUCUUCUGGGCACUGCUGAUUCUUAUGCUGGAACGAAACUUGAUACUCUACCUAGAACUCAUUAUGAUACUGAUCCCGCAUCUGCUUCACCUGACACGGAUCCUUCUCCUACUACGGAUACAGGCAUACGCAACUCUGUCUUUUUCUCCAGCAUCAUAUAUUUCUUCUGCUUCUACUUCCAACUCUCCUUUUUCCUCGCACAGGAAACCUGUCAAACACGGAAUUCCAAUCAUUCAUUUCCAUUUCACUAUCCUUACGCGCCGAAGCUUGUUUCUUGACUUUCUAUCCUUGCUUAGGCAUCCUAAGAAGUUUCUCAUUCUGUCUGAUCUGCUCUUCUUUCUUUAUACGAGAAAAACGAUACUUUGGAGUCUAUAUGUCACAUACACAAUGAAUCGAUCAACCAAGCGAACGAAACACUAUUCUAAUGAAAUAAGGCUUUGUCCGAGUACCGAUCUACAACUAAGUAGAUGUCUCACGGGCGAAGGAAUAGAGUUAGGACCGGUCUUGACUUUAGGUCGGUUGCCGUCCUGCAAACUGAGGGCGCCGUUCGCCACACACUUAAUAAAGAGUACAUCAGGAUCAGAGAAAGAGUACAUCAGGAUCUGAUUGAUGCAAGAGAUAGAUCGGCCUGCGGACCCUAUCCUUCUUCCAUACUCACUGCGAGUCCAUUGUGCUUAGAACGAGUAGAGCGUCUUCAAUGCGAGUAGUGCGUGGAGUUUAGCCUAAACAGUUAACAUAGUUGUGUUUGUACAGUGAAAUAGCGGCGUUUGUUGUUUGCCCUGCCUUCGGAAAGGCGACUCCUAAUGGUACCUUAGUUCUCCAUGGGCGUCAGAAGGGGUCGUUUAGUUCAGGCAUUCAGUAAGUUGCCGUCAAGCAGUUCUCACUCCAAGCGGGACUCUUUUCUAUGGAUUAGUGGUAAGGCGCAGGAUAAGAGAGGAUUCGUCUAUGUAAGUAGCUUACGAGCCAGUACUGUUCGUGGGCAAGCAAAGUAGAAACUCGCCAUCCAUUUCUACAGAACGUAUAAAGGUUCUGCAGGCGGGUGUGAAUUUGAAGUUUCCGGUGGGUUCCGUGUGUAUGGAAAGAAAGAUGAAUAGUUCGGUUGGCCUUGGGCGGAGAUGGAUACAGAGGUGGUUAGGCUUCUAUCCUACUAGUAGGACAUGCAGUUCUCCCCGACGCCUUAGGGCAGGCACGAAAUCAAUUAACAGCUUCUAAAGAAAGAGGACUACUUAAGACAGCAAGAACGUCCAAAAGCAGUAAGUUCACUCUCGGAACAAUUCCAAGAAAUCGAUGAAUGUGUCCCGCAACGAAGAAGCGCUAGCUUACCUAUAGAGUAUGAGGAAGGUGAAAUACUGUCUUGUGGGUCCCCAAGGGUUAGAACCUAUAACGGGAGAAUUCGCUUUCACUAUUUGAGAAAAGAGAUGAAUAGGCAGAGCUGAACAAGUACCUUCCUUCAAAGCUUUGAACUCCACUUGCGCCCGCUUCUGAUCUCAUUCCCAGUCCAAGCUCUGACUUUACCGGAUAACUCCGUGUGUGGACCAAUGGCAGAGCACUUGUGGCGUUAACCAGUAUCGCUCUCAGACUCAUAGCACUUUGUUCACCCCCAAGAAGUUAGCCGAGGCAUUAGUUGCUGAAGCUGGGGCGGAUUCCCUGAUUGACUCAUCCUUGUUUCAAAACCACCACCCAGUAUACAAGGCAUACUUGCUCACAACGAUCUCUAGCACUGUUUCAUUCUAUCCUACCCUAUACGGGCUGGCUGGGUCAAGAGUGCCUUGCCGUUGCUGUCGCCAACCACCCUAUCGGUAUCACCUAUGCUACUCAUAUCUUAUCCCUACCUUCUGGCUUCCGUACCUGAUCUGGCUUGGUCCGCCAAUAACUUAUCUUGUCCGCGACUUAACUAUCAUUAUAUUACCUUAUCCGGGGAAACAGAAUCAUGAGCGAGAUCCGAUAGAAUAAAGUAAGCGCAGCGGGAUAGAAAUUGUUAUUGAGAAAGAAAAUAA
RNAcentral lists this long non-coding RNA (89971 nucleotides) under Musa acuminata (dwarf banana). RNAcentral's name for it is "long non-coding RNA (MACU_LNC008416)". Lineage: Eukaryota; Viridiplantae; Streptophyta; Magnoliopsida; Zingiberales; Musaceae. The record is from RNAcentral.